Molecule: long non-coding RNA, 144248 nt
Filed under: Citrus maxima (pomelo)
Lineage: Eukaryota; Viridiplantae; Streptophyta; Magnoliopsida; Sapindales; Rutaceae
Description: long non-coding RNA (CMAX_LNC000735)
Rfam family: Small nucleolar RNA Z247 (bases 117288-117424)
Source: RNAcentral
AUGUAUAACUUAUUAAUCAGAGUCCUGUUAUUAUGGUUUGACACUACUGACAUGUUGUGUUGGUAUUUAUUUGUACUUCCCUUGGUUGAAUUAUUUGCUGUCUCCAUGCCAUUCGAUAUGGUGCUACUUGGUUUUUGAUCAUCCAUGACGCUAUAUAUAUGUAAAGGAUGAAUUGAUUGUUUUGGCUUGUAUUCUCACAUUUUAUGAUUGAUCGAUGGAAAGGUCUUCAUGUAUUAAAUUCAACCUCACAAGCGUAAGAUUGACAGAUUGUGGGAAAAUUUUCAGGAAAAGAAACUAGACUUCAUGGAAGCAAUGAAGCUUGAAAUUGAACGUCUGCAGCUGCAUCUUUCUGCAGCUGAAAGGGAUAGAGCUUUAUUGUCAAUUGAAACUGAUCCUGCCUCUAUAAAUCCAAAUGUAUUGCUUGAUGAAUCUUACAUGGGAAGACUGUCGAGUAGCAACCACUCUUGCAUUACUUGGCCAAACUUCCCUAGAAGACAAAAUUGUUGGUGCAAUUGGCCUUGAGAAUAGUGAUGAUAGUGUUUUAGACUUCUGGAAUAUUACUAGAAUCGGAGAGAGUUGUUCUGGUGGCGGGUGCAAGGUUUGUGCAGAAACUAAGGUGCCUGCUCUUGCUUCCUCAACUGCAACAUCUGUUGGAGCUUCACAAUCCCCUUUGUUGUGUUCUCAAUGUGAAAGAAAAGUUUGCAAAGUUUGUUGUGCAGGAAGAGGAGCUCUACUGUUUUCAAAUUAUAAAUCAAGGGAUGUGACCAACUACAAUGGCUUCUCAAGUCAGAGUGGAUGAAGCCAUGGAAGCCAAGUUGAUGUAUCUACCAGUCGUUCACUAACACUGGAUGGCGUUAUCUGUAAACACUGCUGCCAUGAGAUUGUGCCUGAUGCAUUGAUGUUGGACCAUGUUAGGGUCUUGAUUAGCUUGCGAAGAAGUUCCUGUGCAGACAACGCAGUCAUACAAUGCUUUGAAUGAGGUUGUUGGAUCCUGCUUAAAGGAUAGUGUUUCUGAAAGGAUUCAGUCUUCCGAUAACGUGCAAGCUGCUGAAGUCCUUCACCAAUUAUGUGGUGGACAGGAAUCACUUGCUGAAUUUCCAUUUGCUAGCUGUUUGCACUAGGUAUGUUCUUGGUUUGUAUUCAGUUCUCAUCAUGUUAUGUUUUCCUUUUAAAUUUCUUUUCUUGAUUAAAAUUUUUAGAAAUAUGUUUUAGUAUUUGUUCUUAUGAUAUAUGCCCAGAACAUUCAUCCCACUUAUCCAUGAGAAUCCUUGUCUGGUUUGAUUUUCAAUUGAGACAUUUUUGGGAACCCUGAGCAGGUUCCAUAUGCUAAUAAUCUUUGAGGUAAGGUGUUGUAGGAUGCCUUGAGAAGCUAAAAACCUAUUACAAGGAAAAGCUCUUGCAUUGUUUUGUGGAAUCUGUGUUGUGAAAAUAGGUAGAGAAAAAGUUUAUGGAAUAAUUCUCUUAUUUCAUAUGUUCAUGAGACUGUACACAGUCUUUAUAUAGGGAUACAAGAGACUAAGAAAGGAAAGAAAAAAUUAAAGCAGAAUAUUACACACUGAUUUCUAGGAAGCAAUAACUCUAUAUUUACACCAAAUAUACACCUAAAUAUAUAAGGAAAACCAAAUCAAUUUGAUUUGGUCAACCUUUCAACACUCCCCCUCAAGCUGGUCUAAAAAUGUCUUUCAUGGCCAGCUUGCAAACCAAUUUCUCAAAAUGUUUCUUAGGUAGUCCCUUGGUGAGUAUAUCAGCAAUCUGCUCAUUUGUAGGAAUGUAGGGCAUGCAGACCAAACCACUGUCCAGUUUUUCUUUUAUGAAAUGUUUGUCCACUUCAACAUGUUUAGUUCGGUUGUGGAGUACUGGAUUAUGUGCUAUUGCAAUGGCAGAUUUGUUGUCACAAUAUACUUUCAUAGGUAGAGAAUUAUUUGCCUUAAGUUCUUCAAGAACUUUUUUGAUCCAAAAAACCUCACAAAUUCCUAGAGCUACUGCUCUAUAUUCUGCCUCUGCACUACUUCUUGCUACCACAGUUUGUUUCUUGCUGCGCUAAGUGACCAAAUUUCCUCCGACAAAGGUGCAGUAACCCGAAGUGGAUCUUCUAUCGGUUACACUACCAGCCCAGUCAGCAUCAGUGUAGACUUCUACUUGUAGGUGCCCGUUUUUUCUAAACAAAAGACCUUUACCCGGAGAUCCUUUUAAGUAUCUAAGGAUUCUAUAUACAGUUUCAAAGUGUUCUGGUCCUGGAGCAUGCAUAAACUGGCUGACUAAGCUCACUGCAAAGGCUAUGUCCGGGCGUGUAUGUGAAAGGUAGAUUAAUCUACCUACAAGGCGUUGGUACCGAUCUAUGUUGGUCACAUCUUCAAUAUUAGCUGGCUGUAAUUUCAUAUUAGGAUCUAUGGGUGUCUCGGCUGCUUUACAUCCGAGUAAACCUGUCUCUUCAAGCAAAUCAAGAACAUACUUGCGUUGAGACACAACAAUCCCAUCUUUUGAUCUAGCAAACUCCAUGCCCAAAAAAUACUUCAGGUUGCCUAAGUCUUUGAUUUCAAAGUCACGUGCAAGCACUUUCUUUAAUCUGCAAAUCUCAACUAAGUCAUCACCAGUCAAAAUUAUAUCAUCUACAUAUACAAUUAACACGACUAAUUUCCCUUCAAUAGAAUGUUUGUAAAACAUUGUAUGAUCUGCCUGACUUUGGGAGUAGCCGUGUCCCUUUAUAACAUUACCAAAGCGUUCAAACCAUGCUCUAGGAGACUGUUUGAGCCCAUACAAAGACUUAUGUAGUUUACACACUUUACUGUUGCCAUGAUUUCCCUCAAAACCUAGUGGUAAAUCCAUAAAGACUUCUUCUUCUAGCUCCCCAUUCAGAAAAGCAUUUUUAACAUCUAACUGGUAUAGAUUCCAAUCAGAAUGUACAGCCAAUGAGAUAAGGACCCGGAUGGAAUUUAUCUUUGCAACGGGGGCAAAAGUUUCUUGAUAAUCAAUUCCGUAGGUUUGAGUGAAUCCUUUUGCUACAAGCCUUGCCUUAUAUCUCUCAACACUCCCAUCAGCAUUACAUUUAAGUGUAAACACCCACUUUCAACCCACAGUUUUCUUUUCUUUUGGUAAAUCCACAAUCUCCCACGUACCAUUCUUCUUUAGAGCAUUCAUUUCCUCUAAAACUGCUAACUUCCAAUCUGGGUGGUCUAGGGCUUCUUUUAUGGUUUUAGGAAUUGGUAUUUGAGAGAUUUUUGUGGUAAAGGCUCUUUGUUUAUUGGACAACUUUUCAUAGGAAACAUAUCUAGCAAUGGGGUGCUUAGUACAGGUUCGGGUUCCUUUCCUAUGUGCUAUGGGUAAGUCAAGAUCAGGAAAAAAAGUGCUGAAAUGUUUAGGAGAAGAAAUGUUACCUGAAUUUUCUGAGGAAUCAGUGCUUGGAGGCAACGAUUGAGGCUGUAUCGAGUUUAUGAGAGGGUCUUUACUGUUGUGAUGAUACUUUCGAGUAUAAACACGCAGCUCUGGUGGUGGAAUUUUAUCUUGUAGUAUUUCUCCCCCUGUCUCUGGUACAUUAACACUUGGUUCCUGUAGUUCAAGGUUUCCUAGGUUUUCAUUAUUAGAAAUAUCAGUUUUUUGAGUUUGAGUUGGAGUGCCCAGAUCAGGUAAAAACUGAUUAGGCAUAGGUGUAGAAGUAUGCCAAAAAUGAUCUUCACUAUUUUCUUUCUCCCCCUGAAGAGAAUUUUGGCCAAAAAAAGGUUGAUUUUCGAGAAAUAUAACAUCCAUACUGACAUGGAAUUUCUUUGUUUGAGGAUUGAAACAUUUGUAACCUUUUUUAUUAGGUGCAUAGCCCAAGAAAACACAUUUUUCAGAUCUAGGAUCCAAUUUAGAUCUAAGAUGGUUAGGAACAUGAACAAAUACAGUGCACCCAAAGACUCUUAACUGAAUAUUGGAGGUAAUCCUACUAGAAGGAUAUAUAAGUGUGAAGUAUUCUAAAGGUGAUUGAUACUUUAAAACACGGGUAGGCAUCCUAUUAAUCAAAUAACAUGCUGUUAAAACAGCAUCACCCCACAAAUAUUUAGGAACAUGCAUAGAGAGCAUGAUAGCCGACUAACUUCAAGUAAAUGGCGGUUUUUUCGUUCCGCAAUUCCAUUUUGUUGUGGAGUAUCACGACAAGUGGAUGUGUGAAUUAUACCCUUUUCCUUACAAAACACCUCUAGAUAAUUAUUAAAAUAUUCAGUACCAUUAUCUGUAUGGAGUAGACUUAUUUUUGUUUGAAAUUGAUUUUCAACCAUGUUAUAAAAAUCUUUGAAUAACCCCUCAACUUCAGAUUUUUCUCUCAUUAAAUAAACCCAACAAAGCCGAGUAUGAUCAUCUAUGAAUGUUACAAACCAUUUUUUUCCAGUUAAAGUGUUGAUUUUUGAGGGUCCCCAAACAUCACUAUGAAUUAAAUAAAAAGGUUUUGAGGCACGAUAAAUAAGUGCUUUAUAUGAAACUCGAUGACUUUUAGAUAAAAAACAACUUUCACACUGAAAAGUAGUACAAUCAACAUUUUUAAAUAAAUUUGGAAACAAAUAUUUCAAAUAAGGAAAGCUAGGGUGUCCUAGUCUAAGGUGCCAAAGCAUUAUUUGAUCCCUAGCAGAGUUUGAACUAAUACUACUGCUCAAACCUUGAGUUUGUUUAUUCCUUGAUAAGUAGUCAUCAAAAUAGUAAAGACCUUCUCGCAAACUAGCACUGCCAAUCAUCGUCCCCAAGUCCCUGUCCUGAAAUUCACAAUGGGAGUCAAAAAAGACAGCACAACAAUUAGAAUCUUUGGUUAAUUUACUGACAGAUAACAGAUUGCAAGAAAGUUUAGGGACAUGUAGCACAUUUUUAAGCUCAAUGGUUCCAGAGAUUUUUAUUGAUCCUUUUCCAGCUAUGGAAGAUAAGCUUCCAUCAGCAACUCUUACCUUUUUGUUACCAGGGCAAGGAUAAUAGGAAUCAAAUAAACUAGAAAUGCUAGUCAUAUGAUCAGAAGCACCCGAAUCAAUAAUCCAUGGUGCAGUAGUUGAGUGGCUAAAUAGAGCAUUAAUAAUACUACCUGUUUGGGCUAGUGAACCACUAGGAGUACUAGGUGGAGGAUUAGAAGUCAGCAGCUUUAUGAGAUGGUCAAUUUGCUCCUUGCUGAGAUUUUUUUCUAGAUUCUCCACUUCAUUGGCAGACGCACGGCUAUGCUUGCUGUUUUUCCAAUCUGCAGGCUUUCCGUGGAGUUUCCAGCAAGCCUCCCGAGUAUGGCGUGGUUUAUUACAGUAAUCACACCAUACUCGAGGUUUUUGUUGCUGUUGAGUGAUGGAGCGGGUAGCAUUAUCUGCUGUAACAAGGGCAGAUUUUUCCACAGAGACAACGGAGUUCUUUUUUCCCAACAUAACACCUCGACGACUUUCUUCUCUCCUUACUUAAGAGAAAACAUCCUCAAGAGUAGGAAGUGGCUUUCUCCCAAUAAUUCUUCCUCUUACCUCAUCAAAUUCAACAUUGAGCCCAGCCAGGAACUUGAAGAUUCGCUCAUUAUUGACAGUUUGUUUGUGGUGUUUAAAAUCUUCCAUGCUCUCCCACUCGUAGUCGUUGAAUAAGUCCAGAUCUUGCCACAAUCUCUUUAGAGUAUUGAAGUAUUUUGUUAUACUAUAAUCUCCUUGACGGAUAUCUCCAAGAGCAAGCUGCAACUCAUAGAUCUGGGACUGAUUUCCAUAGUCAGAGUACAUCUGACUCACAUUAUCCCAGAGUUCUUUUGCAGUAGAGUAGCACAUAUAAUUUGCACCAAUGUCUUCAUCCAUGGAGUUGACUAACCAUGCCAUAAUCAUGGAGUUUUCGGCAUCCCAAACACCAUAAGAGGGAUCAGAUAUUUCAGGAGCCUUAACAUCUCCGGUAAGAUAACCAAUCUUCCCUCUUCCCCUAAUAUACAUUCUAACCGACUGAGACCAUCUUUGAAAAUUUCCUUCAUUCAGCCGGAUAGUUGUAAUCUGGACAGAAUGAGAUUCAGAAUGGGAAAUUUUUGGUUCUAGUCUUUUUGAGGUGACUGUGGUUUCAGAAGAUUGGUCAGACAUGGUAGGGAAGAGAUCAGAAAGAAAGGGAGCCUAGCUCUGAUACCAUGUGAAAAUAGGUAGAGAAAAAGUUUAUGGAAUAAUUCUCUUAUUUCAUAUGUUCAUGAGACUGUACACAGUCUUUAUAUAGGGAUACAAGAGACUAAGAAAGGAAAGAAAAAAUUAAAGCAGAAUAUUACACAUUGAUUUUUAGGAAGCAAUAACUCUAUAUUUACACCAAAUAUACACCUAAAUAUAUAAGGAAAACCAAAUCAAUUUGAUUUGGUCAACCUUUCAACAUGUGUGCUAGCAAGUCAUGUCUCUAAUAAUUUCAUAGUUUGCUUGAUUGGAAUUUUUUAUCUUGAUAUGGAUUGUUUAUUCUAGAUUCCUUGGUGCUGUAGGUUGAAACAGCAAAAGAUUCAGCACCGAUUUUGUCACUGCUUGCUCCAUUAAAUUCUGGAUCAAGGCACUCAUAUUGGAGAGCUCCACCUUGUACUACUUCUGUUGAAUUUGUUAUUGUUCUCUGUUCUGUUUCUGAUGUCAGUGGGGUUAUCUUGCUUGUUAGUCCUUGCGGCUAUUCUGUGGGUGACACUCCGAUGGUAAGUGCCAUAUUUAUUCCCUUAUUUCCUUGUUGUUCAAUAAAUUUGGUGAUAAGCCAAGUGGCCUUAAUAAUGAAGCCCAGUACCAGGGGUGGUGGGUAAUCGAUAUUCAACUUGUGAAUAUUCCUAAGCAAGCACUGAAUCAACAUAGACCUCGGCAAAAGUUCUCCAUGCUAUUAUAACGAAAGUCAUAUUUUGAAAUGAUUAAAAGAGUCCCUGUGUAGUGCUAUUUCCAAAGAAAUUGCAGCUGGAGGUUUAGUUUCAUGUAGGUUAGUUUCCGAUAAUAAACUUUCCAUUUCAUUAAUUGCUGAUGAAAAAACCAAGUAAGAACAGUUUUGUUGCUCGUCAUUUAUGUAUAUUUUGGUAAACUGUAAUUUUAAAUUCUCAACGAUCUUCCCUUUGUAGGUAAGAAGAUGGUCCACUCACUUGAUAUUUAUGAUUGUAGAUCAGGUUUCUAUUGGUUUGCCUUUAUCAUUCGGAACCCAAGUUUGAUAUUAACAGAGAUCACGUCAAUAAUAUCCUAUUUGGGUAGAUGUGGGUGAGGAUUUAAAAUCAAAUUUGAAAUUGAGGGCAAAGAAGAGAAAAGAAACCGCAAUAAUUAAACAAAAUAUUAGGAACUAUUCUGAUGAGUUUUAAUCUCGAGAGGAACAAUUUUCAAAUGCAAAAUUUAACUGCUAGAGAAAUUGUAGCUUUUUGUCAUUAGUUAAGAGGAAAGAGAAUAAGAACUAUCUGGCCCUUUCCUUCAUGAAUGUGUGUUGAGGUUGCUGUAUUAUUUAGUCAGUAUUUGUAAUUUUCUUCCCUGCAGUGCUCUCUGCCUCCUGAAUUUGCUACUGAGUCCAUAUUUUUCUUUGAGCUGUUGCUUCCUAUUGCUGUUACAGGUACAAAUCUGGGCAAGCAAUAAGAUACACCGGGAGGACAGGUCAUCAAUGGGAAAAUGGGAUGUCCAAUCCCUCAUCACAUCUUCUUCAGAUUUGUAUGGUCCAGAAAAGUCUGCUAGUGUUGAAAAAUUACCUAGGCAUGUAAAAUUUACUUUUAAGAAUCCUGUUAGGUGCCGCAUUGUUUGGAUCACAUUACGUCUUCAGAGACCUGGUUCGGCUUCAGUUAAUUUCGGGAAUGACUUCAGUCUUUUGUCUCUUGAUGAAGAUGAAAACCCCUUUGCACAAGUAGACAGACGUGCUUCAUUUGGAGGAGCAGUUGAAAAUGAACCAUGUAUUCAUGCCAAAAGAAUUCUUGUAGUCGGAAGCCCAGUAAAAAGGGAGGGGCUUACCACAUCACAGAGCUCUGAGCAGCUAAGUAUUAGAAACUGGUUGGAUAGAGCUCCACAAAUGAGUAGAUUCAAGGUAUUAGUUGCUUUCACUCUUUGUUCAUUCAUAAUUCCAGCUUUCUGCUUGAUGCCUUGCCUCUGAUAAACCUCUUUUUUCUCUUCAGGUCCCAAUUGAGGCCGAGAGAUUGAUGGACUACGAUCUCGUCUUGGAACAGUAUCUACCUCCAGCGUCACCUUCGCUUGCCGGAUUCCGUCUAGAUGCUUUCAGUGCAAUAAAACCUAGGGUUACCCAUUCACCUUCCUCAGAUUCAGAUAUCUGGGACAAAUCAGUAACAUUUUUAGAAGACAGGUACAUCUCUCAAGCUGUGUUGUAUUUACAAGUAUCCGCACUCCAGGAACCACAUAACAUGGUAACUAUUGCGGAAUAUCGACUGCCGGAGGCUAGAGCCGGAACGCCAAUGUACUUUGAUUUCCCACGACCGAUACAGUCCCGACGAGUUUCAUUCAAGCUUCUUGGAGAUGUUACAGCAUUUGCAGAUGAACCUUCAGAACAAGAUGAUUCAGGAUUGAGAGCUCCACUUGUGGCCACAGGUUUGUCUUUGUCAAACAGAAUCAAGUUAUAUUAUUAUUGUGAUCCUUAUGAGCUCGGAAAAUGGGCAAGCCUUUCUGGAGUUUGAUCGUUAUUUAUAUGUCAGAGAAAGGGUUUUGGGUUUGAUUUUGAUUUUGAUUUGUAAUUUUUGUCAGUUUAUUGAAAUUUUUUGUUGUAUAAAAGCAGAAUGUAAAGGUAUAAAAAUUCAUUGAUGCUGCAAUGUCUGUGCUUUUGAGAAAGAAAGAAUUCUAUGGCUUUUCUAUGCCAUUGGAUUUUCCACUGCCUGUAAACUUGGGCUGUCGAAUGCUCUGUGAACCUUAAGGGCUAUAAAGUAAUUUUCAAGACUGAAGGAUUUAUUAAUCGAGUUCAAAAGAUUGCAAGUUGGUGAGCGUUGGCAUUUAAAAAAUCAAUUGUUAUUCUCUCAAUAAUCUCUGUCUUCUGCCGACACCCCAUGCUCAGAAACCCAUUGUUCCGACGGACGUGUAACACUUCUAGAAAUUGUUUUGAUCUCUCCUCGUGAAGUGUUUUCUUUUUCGAGUGAAGGUGGUUUUCUACUUGCAUACGUCGGGGGUCUUAUGAUAUGUAAUGUGUGAAAUUUCUUUCUCAUUUUACCAUAAAGAAAAAUGUUGUAAUAAUCUAAAGCUCGAGUCUUAAAUUAUCUUAAAUUUAUAUUUAGAGUGGAGCUAUUCGCAAUCCUACAUUAAAAUUACAAAUAAAAAUAAUUGAAAAUUAAACACUUAUAGAUUUUUUUUACAACAAAUUAUUUAAUUCAUAAUCAAUCCUUUAAAAAAAAAAAUCCAUAUGUUACUUGCUAUCUAACUAAAAUAAAUUUUACAAAUUUAGAAUAAUCUAUUGAUUUCUUUUGAUUUCUUAUUAAUUAAAUAUUUUUAUACAUAAAAUUGCUUUGAAAUUAUAAUUUGAAAUAUGUGUUAUUUCAGCCAAUGAUUAACACUAAAAAACUUAUCACCCAUAUAACUUUUUAAUUUGUGUGUAGGGUAAUAAUAAAAUCAAAAAUAAUUAAAAAAAUAGUACAAUAAUGAGUUUUAACAAUAAAACAAAUCAAAUGAAAAUUGAAAAUUUAGAAAAAAUGUAUCUAAAAAAGGGAACGUUUUUUAAAAUAAAAUGAAUAUAACUAAAAAGGGGUUUUAUGAGAAGAGCAGAGGGGUGCCAAUAGUCCAACUUGUAAUUAAGAAUCUCCCAUUAUAUUGUCAACCAAAAAGACACUUGAAUAAGAAGAAGAAUUUAUCAGUUUGAUUUUAUUUAUAGAUCCAACAUUUCUCAUAUCCUAAACGCCUUUCCGUAUCAAAUUAAAACAGUAGUCGCAAAAUCGUAGUAUUAAAAUCGUAGUGCACAUUCAAUUAACCAACUAAUAGUCUUUGGUAUAAGAUUUUAUAUUAGCUAGCCAAGUAGGUUGUCCAUCCCACUCAGACAUGAACGAAAGCUAAAUUCAUCAAAUGGUGUUAUACUAUUAAAUAUUUUUAUAUUUAAAAUUACUUUGAAAUUAUAAUUUCAAAUUAAAAUAGUAGUAGCAAAAUCGUAGUGCACAUUCAAUUAACCAACUAAUAGUCUAAGAAGCAAAGAGAGGAUUACAAGUUCACAACACCAUUACAAAGGAUUCAAAAUUCCCACACGAAAACAUCAAUGUACAGAUUAUAAACAAUCCGAAUUGGACACAAGAAAAAGCCCUUCAAUGGAUUGCUUUCCUUCCCAAUGCUAUAUACUGUGCAAACUCCGCACUGGCCAAGAAAAUGUUUUCAAUUUAGUGUAUUUUCAAAUUGCUUAUUUUCUCAUAAUAUAAAAAAUAAAAAAGAAUCCUUACAUGUUUCAUCAGCAUGAUUAAAAUCAAAGAAGAAAGCGAAGACGUAAUGUCUCUGACAUAAUAAAAUUACAAAAAUUUCAAGGAAAAAAAAAAGGUUAAAACAUGUAAUCUUCAGAAGCAUAUAAUAAAAGAACACUUCCACAAAUUACUACAAUUUCAUGCAGUAGAGAUUGAAGAGUUGAAUUCCACUAAUUUUAAUAAUGAAAACAACAACAGAGGAUUAACUGAUGCUUUGACUUAUUAGCAGGUUGCUUUGACUUAUUAGUUCUGCAGCUAAGUUAAAUAAAAUAAGCUAUUUUCAAAAGCAAAAUGGAAUACAUAGAUAAAAACAUCAUCUUAAACAAAUCACAAUCUAGAAUUAGAGCAUUUUCGACAUACCUAAGGAACACGAAUACGUGAAAACGGGUGAUUUAUUUGUUAAGGAGUGUUGAUUUGGUCGUCUCUGCAAAUUCUUUAGGGACUCGGUUCCAAUUCCUCUUCAUCAAAACUGUAAUAUAAUUCCCCUUCAUCAGAACUCGAAUCGAUGCAAUAUAAUUCCCCUUCAUCAGAACUCGAAUCAAAUUCACUUGCAGCAGUUCCACUCGCGCUUGGCAAAUCAUCCAAUUUCCAAACUUCGGUAACAAAAUUGAGAGUAAAAGUGUUGGCUUUGAUCUCGCUGGGAUUUGCAUAUACUGGACAUACUCCGCAACGUUUUAUCUUCUGACCCUUUUGGACCUUUAUUAUGUUUCGGUGACACUCAUUGAAGAACUUAAAUGUGGCAGUUGAAUGAUGGUCACCAUCAGGAAAGCCAACAUUCAAGCAAGGUUUAAAACCAAGUAUGACAUGAUCUGAAUCAUGGGGGUCUUGAAUUGAGUGCAAAUUGUAACCCAGAUGAACAUGUUUGGUUUCAGAGAGAGUCUUUAUUUCUAAGUCGGAUCGACAGUAAACGUAAAAAUAACGAAAACGAUCAGAAUAAAGUUGCUUAAAAUCAAGAACAGCACAAAAAGCAAACCCGAUUAAGUUUCUGCAAAAAGAGUGCGGUGGCAGUUGAAUACGUAUCGAAGAUCCUGAACUUUGAUUGCUGAACCAGUCAGGAAUUUCGCUCCCAGGUAAAACAAUUUGGGAUCCCCUGAGUUCAGAAAGUUUCUGCGAAACGACAUUUAAAAAAAGAAAAUUGUAAAAUGAAAACCAUGAUUUCAGAUAUAACAAAGAGGGACAGAGUAAACAAGAGAGGGAAUUUGAUACCUCGUUGUAUGCAUUUUCAUAGCCCAGUCUCAGUGAUGCUGCAAUUGCCAUACGUAGUGAAUCUGCCAAAAUCUUGUUGUUUGCUUUUCCAUCAAGUUUCAAGCAGUUAGUAAACUCAAAACAAAUUGGUUGUGGCGUCACAUAUUCCGGAUGCCAUUCACGAAGGUCAGGAGAGGGUUUGGAUAGCUUUUCGAGUACGGAUGCAUCUAGUUCUUGUACACAUGACGGAAUCUCUGGCAAAGAUUGAAGCCGGUUGCAGUUCAUUGCUUUUAGUGACUGUAGACACAAUGGAAGUUCUGGUAAUGACCGAAGCAUGUUACAAUCCUCCAAGUGAAGAGUUUCUAGACCCAAUGGAAGUGCUGGUAAUGACUGAAGCAUGUUACAACGCCUCAAGUAAAGAGAUUUUAGACACAAUGGAAGUUCUGGUAAUGACUGAAGUAUCUUACAAUCCCUCAAUUCAAGAUAUUUUAGACACAAUGGAAGUUCUGGUAAUGACUGAAGCAUAUUACAAUCCUCCAAGUUAAGAUAACUUAGCCACGACAGUUGCUUGAUACUUGCAGGUAAACUCUCAAAGUUAUUUCCACUUAAAUUGCCAAUGUUAUCCGGCAACUUGUCAAGUAUAGAGCAACCACUUACGGACAAAAAUGAAAGCCCCGGUAGAUUUUCAAAUGGCGAUGGCAGCUCUGUAAUUGCCGUCCAGACUAAAUAGAUGCAAUUUAAAUGUUCCAUUUUCUCCAAGAUUUCUGGGAAACGCUCAAGGUUCAAGCAGCCAAAAAGAAAAAGAUCAACCAAAGAUCUCAAUUUACAGAACCUAGUUGAAAUCCUCUUCAGCCGUUUGCAAUGCCCCAAAUCCAACACUUCAAGAUCAGUUAGGCACUCUAUUGAUGAUGGAACUUCUUCUAUUGCAGACUGGCCUAAGGAUAGCUCUGUGAUUUUCCCAGAAAUCCGUGGAAACUCUUUGAGAUUAACACAAUAGGAGAAAUUAAUAGUUACUGGACAAACAAAAUGAAGAUUGCUUGGAAAAGACCUAAGACUUUUGCAGCCCUCAAAAGACAACGCACUGAGAUACUUGAAAUUCUGGAUAGAUGAGGGAACACAAGCCAAGUUUGUAUAAUCCAAAAGAUUUGUUUCAACAUUUGGGGUUUCUAAUGGGCCUGGCAUCUUAAUGAAAUGUCGAGAAUGAUUGAGGUUAAUAGAUUUUAACUUGAAAGCUUCCUGCAAUAACAGAUAUAUAAAGACUAUAUUAAUUAAAAAGCAACAUUGAAUUCAACAAUUAAUUGCACGUAUGUUUAAAGAAAGAAAAAAAUUAAUGUUUUAGUUUUAGUACAAAACUUACCUUUUCUCCUUCCCAAAGUUGCUCAACUUUACUAAAACGCAAAUUCAGUUCAACAAGGUUCAUUGGCUUGAAAUUUGAUGGCAGUGUCCUUAAUGGAUAUGUGUCCCAAUGAAGAUAUCUCAAUUUUUUAGGAAGAUAAUCUAGGCCAUUUGGAAGCUGCACUUUAGAGUAUGAAAGUUGCUCUUCAAUGCUCAUACUUAGAAACCUUUCAAUCUCAGGUACAUAAAAUUUGAGCAAUCUUAGAUUAGACAUUUUUGUGAAGGCUCCUGGGUCUAAAUUGAUGCCUUUUAUUUUGGACAAAUCCAGAAAUAUGCCUUCAAUUGCAUCGGUCCCCUUAUUAAAAAAAAAAAAAACAAAGAAUGAGUAACCCUAAAACAGAAAAGAAACAUUCGUAAACUUUAUUAACUAAGAGCUUCUUAAACAAAAACAAAUUCUGCAAUCUUUGAUUUUAUUUUUUUAAUAUAUUAAAUAUCUAUAUACGAGAAAAGAAAAUUUUGGGGACCAUUGCAAAAUUAAACUAACCGAAAAAAAAUUCAAAAUUUCUCUAAUUUACAAACCUGUUAUCUUAAUAACUAGAAGUUGAGAAGACAAGGCCUAUUUGAUUGGUAUAAGAUUUCGAUUUGUUUUUUAGUCCAUAGAAUCCAAAAUGUUAGUUCAAAAUUAGGGAAAAAAAAUGAAAGUUAUUUUUUUUCCACUAGUUGUAAUUGUUUCCAAGUCAAAUUGAGAUACGACCCUUUUCGAAAGGAUUUAAUCAUCUUAUAGCCUCCUUAAGAUACAUUUAAGCUAAAAGGAGUGAUUGGAGGCAGAACUAGGUGGGCCAAUCAGUCCCUUUUAUUAGUGACUGUUGCUUAAAAAAAAUUAUACUCUAAAACACACUUACUUUUUUGAAAAAAAAUAUAAUUAUAUUGAAGUAGAACCAGGUGGGCCAAUCCUCAUGGCACUCACUUUGUUCUGACACUCUUCACUAAAUUUGAAGAAAAAUAAAAUUAUACUCUUCACACUCUUAUUCAACAUUCCAAAAUUGAUAAAAUCUAGAGUUUUCUUUAAAAAUUUAAAAUUUGAAGACUUGUUCUCUUGACAUCCUCAGUCAUUAAUUUCACCUAAUUAUGGUUUUUAUGAUUUUGGUUGUUUUGUUCAUAAAACAAUUUUACUAAAGGAUGUUCUCGUAAUAAUAAAAAUUAUAAAAAAAACAUGGGUGUGCUGGUAUGGUUGGGAAAAUACGAGUACAGAACUCCAAACAAAUAAAAGAUUUAUAUAAAAAAAAAUGGAGGAUUCUUACCAUAUUAUGCUUUAGUACGCGGCGGAUUUCCUUAGGAUCCCACAACCUACUACGUCUGCCUGGCACUUCCUCAGAUUCUUGGCGAACAGUCUCUUGGCCCAUUUCUUGCAAUAAAUCAUGCAUUUGCAAGCGGUUAUCUGACACAGUUAUGAGUGACUUGUCGACGAGGACAUCCAGUCUGUGAGACCCAGAAUCAUCAAGUAUCCUUAACACAAAAUCUUUAUCCUCUCCCUCAAGGAAACACGCAAUAUCUAGAAACAUACUCUUCACCCUGGGCGUUAAUUCUUUAAAACUAAUCUUUAAUGUAUCAUAAAUACCAUGAAUAUCAGAUUCACAAAUCCGAUUUAAGUCGUGCAAUACAUUUUCCCAAUGGCUUUUCCUCUUGAGAUACAGGGAGGAACCCAACACUUUAAGAACUAAUGGAUUGCCAUCAGCAUACUCUACAACUCUCCACGAGUCACGUUUGAAAUCUUCAGGACGAUGCUUUUCUUUAAAAGCGAAGUUACAAAAGUGCUCGAAAGCCUCAUCAAAUUUCAAUCCAUUGACCCUAUAUAUUUUCUCCACUCCAAAUUUUUCGAGGACUCGUUUAUCCCUGGUGGUUACAACAAUUCUACUUCCUGGACCAUAUUGAUCAAGCCCUCCAAUCAAACCCUCUAAUUGUUCAUCUUUAUUCACAUCAUCGAGUACAAUCAACACCUUCAUGCGUCGGACCCUCCCUUUAGUAAAUUGUGGAAUAUUGGGACCAGCUACUUCAAGUUUUUCACUUAAUAUUGUCGAAAGCAUUUCCUUUUGUAGGUCUUCUAGGCCACCCUCUGUUUCUGAUUUUCUCCUAACAUUUUUUGCAAAGUAUUUACCAUCAAACUCACCAGCGAAUUGAUCGAAAAUAGCUUCAGCAAGGGUAGUUUUGCCUAUACCGCCCAUACCCCAAAUUCCAACAAUUUGGACAGUAUCCGACAAAUCCAUACACAAAAAUGGUUUAAUCUGCUCAAUUCGUGAAUUUAAUCCAACUAGGCCGUUGGAUGAGUCCGUUGAGACUGUUAUUUUUUCCAACUUCUUCAAAACAUCUUCGACAAUUUUGUUUACAAGUUGCGCAUCAAGCCUAAUAUGAAGGUGCAAAGAUGCAAAAACAUUGAGUCAAAUCGGGCCAAGACAGAAACAGAGAAAAGAUGAAUUAGGAAAGAGAGUUACCUGAAUUUCGUGGAUUCAUGGCCGGCUAGAUGGGAUGUUUCUGUCAGUGCAUCCCUCCACUUCUGAACCAUUUCUUGUUUAUCUUUGAACUGUUUUUUGAGCUCAUCAAAACGGUCUCCAAAUGUUCCGUUUUGAUGCCGCACAUCAGAUGGACUUACUCCAUAGAAGAAUGGAAUAAUAAUUUGGCCGUUUGUGUUCUUGCAUUCAAGAAUCUUGACAAGUUCAUUCAGGCACCAUUUUGAAGAAGCGUAGUCCUUCGAGAAAAUGACCACCGAAAUUUUUGAACCUUGGAUUGCGUUCAAAAGGGCGGGUGAAAUCUCAUCUCCUCGCCUAAGCCCUUCAUCAUCAAUAAAUGUUUUGAUUUUCUUUCCUUCAUACAAUUUAUCAUAGAGAUAGCAAGUAAAGCUCUUACGAGUGUCCUCCCCUCUAAAGUUGAGGAAGACUUCAUAAUUGGCACAAGAAGAAGAGGAAGCCAUGAAGGAAAUUUUAGAAAAUUGGUGACAGAAACAGAGAAUUAAUCUUGAGAGUUGAGAGAGGAGAUGUAAGAAUGAACAUGUGCGAAGAUUCUUGCGAGUACAUAGUAAAUAAUUGAAUGGCUGGAGCUUUCUUAGUUUCCUGGAAAUUUCCUGGAGCUUUCGUAUACAUGAUUUGUCAAGUCAUGAAACAUAAUCAUGAUAAUGGGGCAGACCGAAAAGAAAAGCAACAAUUCAAAUAUUUGAUUCAACCAGUAUAAAAAGGAAGGAAAAGCAAAGAAAGGAAAUGUUGAAAGUAGAGUUAGGGAAUUAUAAAAAGCUGAAGGAAAUUGGAAUUUUGUACAAUUUCUCCAGCGAGGAACUUUCACAGUCGUUACCUCAUUGUUACAGUUUAGAUUAAGAUUUGAGGGUGCAAGCAUUUACCUAGAUUUUACCUCCGCACUAAAUUCUUAAGUUUGAAAAAUUAUGAGACCUUUAUAUUGGAAGAUAUUAUAAUCGAAUCAAAACUUAAAAUUUUAAUAUUGUUAAUCUUUAAUCUUUAAAAAAAAUUACCUUGCCGUUACAAUUUGGAUUAAGAUUUGAAUAAGCAUUUACCUAAAUUUUAUCUCCGCCUGUAAAUUCUUAUGUUUUAAAAAUUAUGAGACCUUUAUAUUGGGAGAUAUUAUAAUCGAAUCAAAAUUUUGAAUUUCAAUAUUAUUAUUCUUUUAAAAAAAAUUUGAGAUAACAGAGUGAUUGAUAAUAGAGAACUUGUCUAGGCAAACACAUGCAUACACAAAAAUGUGAUGGAUUCAAAAAGAAAUUAAAGUGAUAAUGUACGUGGAUCCUUAAAACAAAAAGCGAAAUCGCUUGGUGGCCCAGUAAAAUUAAGACUGAAUAUUUUUUACACGAGAAGUGUAGCUCAUAAAUGGCAAAAGCCAUUUCAUUUCACUUUUACGCGUCAUUGACUUUUGUAACAUGGUGCAUGCAUCGUCAAGUGAGGCAAAAGGGUUUCGAUUACAGUGGGAAAACAUGAACAAGAAUGCAUAAUGAAUAAUUCCUUUGAUAAAGCGAAAAUUAAACACAGAAUAAUCCUAAAAUUUAAACUCUAAUAUCUUAUAAUUUAAUGAUUAAAAAUAAUCCUAAGAGUUCCCAAUUGAAACUUUCAGAGAUAAUAGAAAAUAGCUAUGCUUUAAAAGGCCAAAGAUUAGAGAACAAAGAAGAAUUAGGUAUUGAUAUAAAAAUUAUUAAUUUUUUUGAUUUCAAGCAAAAAUAGUUUCAUAUACCAUUUCGAUUUUGGUAGGGGUGAGGUUUUGAACUUCAAUAGUUUCCUCUAAAAUCAAAAGGUAGUAAUUAAGUUAGAAAGAGCAAAGAAGACUUAUCGGUACCUUAUUGAAGGUAAACAUUAUGGAACUUUCAAUGUCAUUACCCCACUGUUUAAUUUUUAUUGAGAUUUGUGCAAGCAUUUACCUAAAUCUUACCUCUGCCUGUAAAUUCAUAAGUUUUGAAAAUUAUGAGACCUUAUAUCGGGAGAUAUUAUAAUCGAACUAAAACUUAAAAUUUCUUUUCUUUUUUUUUUUUUUUAUCAUAAAAGGGCUCUUAAGAGAGCUAAGGCAACACUAAAUGGGAGUGUGCAACCCCAUGAACAUCAUUAAUCAAUAUGUUUAGCGUAUUUGGAGGAAUAGAUUGAAAGCAAUGUAAACCCAAAGGAAAAGAAAAGCUGUACGAAGUAAGGAAAUCUGCUGCUACAUUGGUUUCUUGGUAGAUAUGAUCCACUUUGAUCAGCCAAUCACGCCGAAGGAGUUCUUCGAUGGCCUGAAUGAGAGUAAAAUGCUCAUUGACGGGAGGGUUUGAGUUAGAGAUUAACUUCAUAACACACAUGCUGUCCACUUCCACGUAAAACUUAAAAUUUCAAUAUUAUUAUUCUUUAAAAAAAAAUUGAGAUAUCAGAGUAAUAUCACAUAGAAAAACUUGCCCACGGACGGUAAGCCAAAAGUCUAGUCAACCACAUGCAUAAAGCUAAGUAGAACAAGAGAACAGAGAAACGCGUGGGUCCCUAAAGAAAAGGCAAGCACAUAAAUGAAAAAGCCAUUACAUAUCUAUUAACACGGUGUGGCAGCAUAUGCACAAUCAAGUGAGGCAAAAGGGAUUCGAUUAUCGUGGCAGAACAUGGACGAGGACGCGUGAUGAAUAAUUCCUUCGUUAAAACCAAAAACAAACGCAGAGAAAACAAUUUCUUAUAUGACAAGAAAUCAAAGUAAUGUGAAGGAACAUGAUGAAGAAAUUGCAGACUGAUCAAUUAUCCCCAUGGACUCCUAUAAAUUCAACCAAAAUAACAAUUCGAAUCUUACCAAAUUCUUGAGUUAAAUUUAUUCAAUGCUUUUAUUUUUUUAGAAAAUUUUUUUCCAAUGCUACUUUUCCUUUUUUGGGGAAAUUAGAACCGCGGCAUGUAUAGAAAACAUUGAGGUGUAAAGCAACAUUAAUUUCAUGGGAUAUGCGUUAUACGCAUAAUAUAUUUUCAGUCCAAAUUCAACUAUACAAAGAGGCUUGAGAACUUAAAAUUAAGCACAAACUAAACAGACGAAGUAAAUACAUGAUUAUGCAACAUAACAUUAAUUCUCUCAAUUGAUAACUGUUUUUGCUACAUGAAUCUUGCACAGUUAAUCCUAAUUGAAGACUAAAAAAGAGCAAUUGGAAGAAGGUUUUGGAAUAGAAUGGUAUACAAUCGAUAUGAUCCUUUUCCAGUAGUCAACGCUAAUUAACUGCAGUUUCUAGACUCCUAAUUAUACUAGCCAUAGCAAACUAUUUAGAAAACUGGUGAUCAAAUUAGAUUUUGAAAGGAAAUAAUGUUCAUUUUCCCUUCGCUGCCUUUUCUUUUCUUUUCUUUUUAUAGCAAAGAAUUAUAUCAUGAAAAGAAUCAAUUUAAUCACCUUUUCCAGCAGCCCAAUUUUUCUUUUAUAAAAUUUGACCACGGAGACAAAGAAGAAUUAUUCAUAACUUCAUCACUAAGGAAAUACUUUUCGGUAUGGCUAGGGUGAGAAAAUGCUUUCCACUAACACUUGUACUUUGUAUUCUUGUAAAUUUUCUUUAAAGUCAAUAAAAACCAUAAGUUCUUUGCAAUAACCAUCUCUUUGAUCAAAAAGUGCCGUAUUCCUUUAGAAUUUAAAACCGGCAAAACCGAAUCAGUGUCUUUGAAGAGACAUAAUGGUCGUAAUUCUUUAAAUGAGUUGGCUAUGGAAAUCCUUAUCCAAGAUUCUUUUAUGCCAUAUUCUUUCGUAAACCAAAAUUCAUUUUGAAAUACUCUAUUGAAAAUGUCAAAUAAAACGGCAUUGAAGGAAGUUUUCAAAGGCAUAAUCCGCACUUGUCAAAGGGAUGAUCUGCACUUGUCAGAGACACGAUCCGCGUCGAACGAAUCGACACAUUUCCUUUCGUAUUCGCAUAUGUAAUCUUUGAAAAAAUGUAGCUUCCGCAUCUAUAAAUAACGCUCAGUGUAUAAUGUUUUAUUCAAGAAAAGAAAACAAAUUUCUUCAUACUCCUUGUCCGAACAUACAGAGACAGUCUCUCAUAACUUCAGCCGAAUACUUAUGAUGAUGAUCAUUUGUGAUUUCAUCAGGCAUAGGGUUGAUGGUGAAAAAUUUUGUAUGUGUGAAGAAUUGAGCUGUGGAUAUAGGGGACUUAAGUGUAAUCGAAAGAGAGUUAUUAGGCCAUAGUGCAGAUUGCAUUCAGUUUAUGGGUCGAUAUGCAAAUAAUUUGUUGACGUGGCGAAAUCUGUUAUGGUCGUUACUAUUGUUUCUGGAAAUUUUCUAGAAACCUCAGCAUAAAAGGGGCUUUUGCAUAGCCUCUGGUGUGCGUGUGAUUUCUCUUUCGUUUCCUCAUCAAAUUCUGUAAUUCUUGCUUUGAUAAAAAGCUUGUAAUCAUUUCUGUAAUGUGUGAUCAGUGCGUAAUCAUUUUGAGCAAUAAAAGCUUGUGGGUUUUUCCUUCAAACAGUGUCGUUUUGGUCAGUUUGUUAGUUUGAUCUGUUGGUGGAAUUUUCUUUGGUUAUUUGUUCUCAAAUUUCAACCGUAUAUAAAGUUUGAACUCUAAUGGCUUAUAAUGUAUUGAUUAAGAAUAAUCCUAAGAGUUCCCGAUUGAAAUUUUUAAUGACUAUUUUUAUUGUUUUGGAUAUACAAAUUGCAUUAAGAAAAAAUAUUGUCAAAUUCAGAGGAUAACGGGAAAUAAUUAUGCUUCAAAAGACCAGAGAUUAGAGAAUAAAGAAGCAUUCAUUACUGACAUACAAAAGAGAAACACUCCAAAAUUGCAAGCAAACUAGUUUCAUAUACUAUUUGGAUUUUGGAAGGGGUGAAGUUUUGAGCUUCAGUUGUUCCUCUAAAUAGCAAAGAAGACUUAUUGGUACCUUACUGAAGCUAACAUUGUGGCACGGUUGUUCAUAUGUAAUGGCUGCUCUGUUAUGGUAGCUUCUCUGUUUUUGCUCACAGUUUUGAACAUGAAUUCUUGCUCAAAUAACCCAUAAUUAAUUAACAUUAAAAUGGCUCGUGAAAUCCCAUAAUAGCUAAUUACGCAACUUUCUCCUCCUCCUCAAUUAUGUCUUCCCCUGCUCGUACAAUAAAUUCAAAAUUCAAUGCCCCGAAAAACAACACAAGAAAUCUUUGAGUUAGUUCGUGACCAGUUUAUAUAUAGUAGCAAUUGAAAAAAGAAAAAGAAGAAAAGAGUUAAUUAUUAUUCAGACCUUCACUUAUUAGGAAGUUUGUUCUGCUAUUGGGUGAGGUCAAGCUCUCAGCAUAUACUUCCACAUGAUACUUUCUAACAUUUUCUUGAAAGCCAUCAAUCAUAAAAUCUUCAUACUUUUUUCCAUCCUUUGGAUCAAUGAGUACAAAUUUCUCAUCUAAAACAGACAAAAUAAAAUCACUGUCCUUCAUGGAACAUAAUGGCUGCAAUGCCUGAACUGAAUUGGCUAAUGAAACAUAGUCUUCUUUUCUUUCUCGACAUGGAACAUAGUCUUCUUUUCUUUCUCGACACAUGUCUCUGUACUUUUCUCUCUCUACUGAUCCACACUUUUUCAUACUUCUAACUAUCAUUUUGUUUUUUUUUUUUGAGUUGUGAUUUAUUCAAUUAUUUUGUAUUUUUAAUGACAAUUAUUUAAUAUUUAGUUAGUGUUGAUAUUGAUUAGUGAUUGAAAGUGUAUUUUAGAAGACUUCCGGUCUCUUGAAAAAAGGAAAAAUGGAGAAGAAGAAGAAGUGUUCUUGAUUUUUUUGUAGGCAUUAAAGUUAAACGGUUUGAAAUGAUAUUUUGUUUUAAUUUCACUCAUUAAUCUCAUUCAGGAUAAAAUUAUAAAUGCAAAUAAAUGGGGUUUCAUAAGUAUUUUUAAUAGUGUUAAAAGGUCUACUAACUAAAUAAACAUGUUUUACCCAAACCAAUCCGAUUAAUAAGUUAUUGGGUUGGGUUGAUCAGGUUAAAAAUCAAAAUUAAAAAUUAAAUAAAUAAAUAAGGCAUAAAAACUAUAUGUUACUUGAAAAUAAAAAGAAUUUCUAAUAGUUAGUUCUAAUGUCCCAUAUCCAAAACAUGCAUAUUAAAUAAAUAUUAUAAGUUAGAAAUAAAAUAUCCAAGAAAUAAUGAAUGAAAUACCAUAUUUUUGUUGAGAAUUAAGAGUGUGAUUUUAAUUUUGAUAUUGGAGUCUAAAGCAAUAGAUAGUACAAUGAAAUCAUGAAUGCUACGUUUAAAUAAUCUCUUUUAUAAAAUAAUAAAAAGAGGUUAAAAAUUAGGUUAGCAUUUAGGGUUUAGCAGUUAAGGAUGAACAUAUUAUUAUUGUUGUUGUUGUUGUUAUUAUUAUUAUUAUUAUUAUUAUUAUUAUUUACAUAUUAAUUAAUCCAACCCAACUCAAUUAUUAACGAAUUUGAAAAAAAAUGACCAAAUUAAUCCACAAUAAUUCAUUCAACUCGUCUAAAUUAGAUUAGAUUGAAUUUGAUUUGCUACACCUACAUUGAGCAACAAACCUCAACGCGAUUCUAUGAGCUCUUUGAUUGUUUAUAAAAUUGAUUUAGAGUACAUAAUGGAGUGUAUCGACAAUGAAAGUGCAAAACAAAUUAUUGUAUACAUUAAAAUCUGCAAAACAAUGAAUUAUAUGUACGAACGAGUGCAAACACAUUUUUCAAUAAGAAGUUAAAAGAUAUUUAUGCAUGAAAAAGCAUACGUUUGUAGUUACUCUAAAUUUUUUAAAAAAAAUUUACAUUUAGAUCCCUAAAAUUUACGUAUAAGUACAAAAGUUUCAAAUAUUGUCUAUUAUUUUUUAACAUAUGCCUAUUCCUUGUGGAUAAUUCUGUCUCAUCACUAAUGUUGUUUCUUGCUUACAAAAAACAAAUGUCAUCUCCUUUUACAAUUUUUAUAGCGUCUCAAAAUAGACAAUGGGGGGAUUUUGAAUUUUUUAAGUCUCAAGAUAGUCUCUAAUCUUGUGAGAAAGAUUUUCUUUCAAUAAUUUGGAGGUAAAGAUAACAUAAUUUUUUGGAUAGUGUGCAUGUGUAUUUAAUUAAUAAUUUUUUAAAAAAAUACAUCAAAUAUUAAUAUCCAUGACAUAAUUUAGUUCUUAAUUUUUUUUAAAUACAUCAAAAACAUAAUUUUUUUUAACAACUUAUAGGCAUGACAAAUUUCAAGAUAUAAAUAUCAGUCAAAAUAAGUGAAAGAAAUAAUGGUGCCAAUUCUAAUUUCUUAACUAAAUUAAUUAGUGCAUGAGCCCCGAAUACGACACGAGAGUUUGAUGGGCUAACUUGGCACAAGAACGUGAAUAAAUAAUUGAUUUAAGAAAUAAUUCAACGAAAAAUAUAAUUGAUAAGAAUUCAGUAUUGAAAUGAGUUUUUUUGUGAAACACUGAAUUAAUGAUUAUUAAGCAAGAACAAUAAAAAAAUAAAUAUUAAUCAUUGAUAAGUUUCAACAAAAACUUAACACAAUCCUCAAUCCUCAUUCAAAUGAUAAAUGUCAUUCAUAUAUUCAUUAUAAAUCAACAACAAAGGUUAUAAAUGUUUAGAAAUUCUAGAGGGAAGGAAGCUAUCGCCGGACAAUCAACAACUAAAUUUGAUGUAAUUGUGGCACGAGAUGGAAUAUGGAAACUACACCAUAAUUUCAAAUGCCGCCAUAGACAUUGACUUAUCAUAAUAACAAUGAUCUAAUUAAAAUAAAAACAAAGUUUAUGGGCAUUUAUUAUUUUGCCAUUCCUCAUUUGCAAAUAGGGAUAUAAUUAUAAUUUUACCUAGUCAAAGCAAUCGGUAGUUUUCUUCAUUAUAGGAGUGAAGUAAAAACAUUUAGAUUUCAAUGUAUGUACGGAAAAAUUUGUCUUUAAAAAUACUUUCUUAAUGUGUGUAUGCAUAUUGAAAUACUCAAACCAAUUUUGGUUAUAUAUAAUUAAACAAAUUUUAAAAUAUGAAAAAUAUAAUGUAGUUAUAGUGGAUAAACAAUAAGUGAGCACAAUAUAAUUAAUCAAAUAUUAUGCCAUCAAAAGUUAAUUUUAGAAAUUCCAAAUCCAAUAGCCAACACAAUUCUUUUUUUUUUAAAAAAGUUGACACAAUUAAUAAAAUUAGCGACAUGAAUUUCACGCCAUUGAUAAUCAGCAAUUAGUAUUACUUUCUAAACUUGCUUCAACUGGUCGUUGAUGUCCGGGUCACCAAAAGUAUAAGCGAUAAUAAGGGGCAUUGGGCAAGAGUGAUGAAUGUUUAGUCGGUGCAUUUGAUUGAUAGAUAUAUAAAGGGCCGAAACUUGAGAUUAUAUUACUUUUACAAAUUUUAAUCCAAUCACAUAUUUACUGAAAACAAAAUGAGUUAGGAUACUUUAUUUAGAACCCACAUUUUAAUAAGGCUUCAUUUGAUGUAGUUUUUCAAACAGUGAUUAUUUGAGUAAAGUUUCCUCAAUAGAGUUUUUAUCAAAUAAAUUUUAUUUAUUUGGUUGUCGAUAAGAACUUUUAUUAAAAAUUAUAAAAUUAUUUAAAUAAACAUAUUUUUUAAAAUUACAUUAUAAAAAGAAUUAAAUAAAGUUAUAAAAGUAAAAUAUAUUUUAGAUAUUUUAAUAUUUAAGAAAAAAAUUUUGAAUCUCUACUUUCAGAAGCUCAAAUUUUUAGUUUUUAGUUGUAGAGACAAAAUAUCUUAUUUAAUCUUUAAAAGUUCUGCUAAAAACAAUCAAAUAACUAUAAAAUUUUUAAUAAGAGUAUAUAAAAUUAAAUAAGCAUUUAUUAAUAAUCACUUUAGUGUACUUAUCUAAUGACCAUAAGUGUUUAUUUAAUCUCAUAAGUUCUUAUUUAAUCUCAUGAGCUCUUUUCAAUUUUUUUUGUUGUUUGCUUUUUUUAGUAGAGUUUUUGAAAAUUAAAUAAACUAUUUUGUCUCUAUUAGGAAAAACUCAAAUUUUAGGUUUUUGUGAGUAAAUGUUUAAAUUUUUUUUAAAAUAUUAAAAUAUUAAAGUAAAAGUUGUAGAGACAAAAUAUCUUAUUUAAUGUUUAAAAGUUCUGCUAAAAAUAAUCAAAUAACUACAAAAAUUUUAAUAAGAGCAUAUAAAAUUAAAUAAGCAUUUAUUAAUAGUCACUUUAGUAUACUUAUCUAAUGACCAUAAGUGUUUAUUUAAUCUAAUGAGCUCUUUUUAAUUUUGUUUGUUUGUUUUUUUAGUAGAGUUUUUGAAAAUUAAAUAAACUAUUUUGUCUCUAUUAGGAAAAACUUAAAAUUUAGGUUUUUGUGAGUAAAUGUUUAAAUUUUUUUUAAAAUAUUAAAAUAUCUUUUCUUUAUUUCAUAAUCUUAUUUCAUUCUUCACAACAUAACUUUAAAUAACUCACCUAUUAAAAUAAUUUCACAAUUUAUAAUAAAAAUUUUAAUUGACAAUCAAAUAACAAAUUUUUUUUUAUAAAAACUCUAAUAAUAAAAAUUCUACUUAAAUAAAUUAUAUUUGAAAAGGUAUACCAAACGAACCUAACAUAAAAACAAAAAUUUUUACAUCCACACAAUUAAGCUUAAAACAAUUUCAAAUGAAUUUUAGACUACUCAAAGUACAAUACGUACCAAGUUUGGUAACUUAUUGGGGUCCGCUUGUAAUACAGCGUCUGUAUCUCAUACAGCCAAAUUUAAUAAUUUAUUAAGAAAAAGGGCAACCAUUAGAUAGAAGUAGAUACAUCCAACGGUUAAAAUGUUUGAUUACUCAUUUUGGCGACCGGAUAUGCCAGUUAUUAUUUCAUCAAUUAACUUACCUAAAAAAUCACAGCCGUUGGAUUGAGAUGCCUCUCUUUCCCUCAAAAUAACAGCCUUCGUAUUCUCUCUGCUAUUGUUUUCUCCUACAUCCAGAAUUUUGGAUGAAUGAACUUGGUAUUCAACAAUAUUCACCACCCAUCACAGCAAAGAGCAAAGAUGUAGUCAAAGGAGUGCCAUUUAUUCAGGCUAACUCGAUCUGUCACUCUCGCUUCAAUUCGUCACUCAUUUUCUCGCGCUCAGCUUCAAUCUAUCACUCUCAGCUUCAGUUCGUCACUCACAGCUUCAAUUUUUCACUGUCGUGAAUCAUCUCUCUUGCUGUAUCUCUCUCUUAUGUCUUCCAAUAAUUUCGGUGAGCUCUCUCUCUAAUUUAAUAUAUGAUUAAAAAUCUUAUCAUCUUAUCAUGUCAUUUAAAUAUGCUUGAAGUUUCAAUUUAGUUUAUGAAUAUUACUUGAAAUUUCAGUUUCAAUAAUUUGAUUUUGCAAUUGAGAAAUUAUUACUUGAAAUAUUGAGAUGAUUUCUAGGGAUUGAUAAUUGAAUGAUAAUUGCUAAGGCUUGUCAUUUUUUGUUUUUGAACAGAUAGAGUUACAAUUAAGUCAUACUGCAAUAUUUUAUCUUGAGAUUCUAUUAUUCACAAAAAGAAAAAAAUCAUAAAUUGAAAAAAAAAAAAAAGAGGUUACGAGCAUCAAGCAACUGCAAGUAAUGGGGUUUGUUUUGAUGAGCUGCGAAUUGGGGCCUGUCAUUUUCUUGAAGUAUCUUCAAUAUAAGUGGAAGGAGAUUUCUUCUCUCCAAAAAAUUAUUGUAUAUUUCCUUUUAAAUUCUAGAUUCGCAUGUAGCUGAUUUUUUAUGUUUGAAGGAUUUUAUUAAAGAAUGUGCUGCUGCUAGUGGCAUGAAUUAAUGUAGUCUCGCUAGUAUUCGUGAUUUGGGGUAAGGAUCGAAUUGAACAAUUAUAUUUCUAUUAUUCUUAUAUUCGAAUCCAGUGAUAUUGUGGUGGUUUUAUGAUAAUAUUCAAUUGUUUUGUGCCUCAAAUCAGCCAAUGAGUUGGGUAUGUGCUGGGUAUAUGCCGUAUGGGCUUGUUGUUGAAUUUGCUUGACCUUGGAUGUGAUUCUUGCCGUGUUUAUAAGAAAUAGACACAGGUCUUUGUGUGGUAAUAGAAUUGUCUAAGGUGCCUUACAAUAAAUUUAAGAGUCUUAAGUAACUAUGCUUUGUAACCUUAAACCUUUAUUUGUACGACUUGGUGUUCUUGGUUGUGAAAGAAUGUUAAAUGUUGACCUAUUUUCAUCGGUGAAGAUAAAUGAAGUUAGGGAAGGUUUGUAAUCACUAUAACCCUGACAAUUUUUUUGGUGGGCCGUGAUAAUUUUAUUCAUGGCAUGUACUUUGUUUUUAUCAGAAGGCCCUGUUUGCUUGUAGUCUCAAAUCUAGGGUAAUAUUUUAAAUAAGUUCUGCAAUAUAUGUUUUGCUAUUUUUCUUUUUUGUUUUUAUUUUAAUUAGUUUUAGUAUUACUUGGAGGGGAAUUCUGAUCUGCUGAAGUUUAUCAAGCUGGUGCAGUGGUGCAGCAAGCAGACCUUUAUCUUAAUCUUAUGAUUGUGCUAAGUGGAAUUUUGUGUAAGUUACAACAAUAUAAUUUUUUAAAGAGCUGACAAGACGCUCUCUCUUUUUUUUGGAAUGUUGAGCAAAACUUUUCUUUCUUAUUAGGUGUUUAUAAUAAUUCAUAGCAUGGGUUUUGUCAUAUUGGUUUCAAUGCAUUGAUUUGAUCUUGGUUACAACCCAUCAGCCCUUACUCCUCAUUCCCAGCAGCUUUUAAUGCCUUUUUUUUAAGCAUUGUACUUUGUUUCAUGAUGAAAUUUGUUUAUAUGACGCAAAGUUGAGGACACGGUAAUAGUCAUUAUUUUAAUUUAUGCAACAAAGAUCAUUAUCCAUUAAAUUUUAUGUUGUUGAAAUAUUUAGAUUUUGUAAAUUUUGUUGUAAGAAAUGAGGGCUCUUGAUCCCAUCCCUUUAUUAUAUACAAUUUUUUUUCACUCUGUCAUUCAUUUAUUGUGUGUUAGAGGUAUUAGUCAUGUGCAAAAGUAAAGAUCUUUAUUUUGUUAUUUUUGUCAUCUUGUGCUUCAUUGGUAUAAAUGAGGAAAAAAAAGAAUAAAAUAAAAUAAAAUUAUAGUUUGUGCAUGAAUUCCACCAUAUAUGAAAUGUUUAAUAGAUUAAAAAGUAAGGAGUACACAGUGACUUUGAAUAGCAGGUGGGGGAACUCAUUUUGUUUUAAAAAAAAUUAAUACAUAUUGAUAGAAUAAUUAUCCUUCACUUAAUUAUUUAAAAAUUUUAUUUUGGAAGAAUACAAAUGGACAGUCACCAAUGAAAGCGUAAACGACUACCAGGGGGCUUACAGAAAAAAUUGCUCCUAUUCUAAAAGUAGAUGGUCAGGACAAAGUUCCAACAACUUCAACUUAUGGAUUUGUCUCUUACUUGUAAGGUAAUCUCUUCUUGUAGGGUGUUUAAUUGAAUUAAAAACAGAAUAUUAUUUGCAUUAUAGAGUACAGGCAUAAAUUCAUUAUCUAUGUCAGUUCAUUCAUGAUUUUACUCCAAAUGGAGUAAUAGAUCACCAUUAAUUUAUUGAUACAUCGUCCAUGUUUGUUUUCGUCUUCAAUUUUUAUAUUACAAUAUCUAAUCUAUUUAGUAUUCGUAAAAAAACAUACGAGAAAAAGUUGGAAAAACACUUUAGGGGUGAUUGUGUACACUUUCGUAUGGCACAAAUAGCGUUAGGCUUUGUUUUUUAAGUGGACGACGUGUCCAUUUUUUGUGUUACAUCUUACUCAUUAAUAUAUUUUUGAGUUUCUUAUGGAAAAAAAAUUGAAAAAACACUUUAAGUGAAAAAAAUUUGUAUUUCAAUUUAUAUGUAACAGUGAAUUGGAAAAUAAAUUCUACCAAUAAUUAAAAGAAUACUUUUCUUUUAAUUAUUAAAAAGAUAAGGUAGUUACUCAUUACCCAUAUAAAUGGACAGUUUUAAUUUGUUCCAUAUCUAUACAACAGAAGAGCUUCAGACACGGUUUGCAGCGUUCCACGAUCACUUCCAUUCUAAGCAGCAGCGUCUUCCGUCUUUUUGCACACCAACAGCAGAUUCUAGAUGGCCAGAAGCUCAUCUGCCGCACUCUCGGGAUUUCGCUGCCAUCCUCAUCUUCAUCUCCACUACCUCCUCAGUGAUUAUCCCCUGGUUUUAUGCUCAGAAAUUAUGAUUAUUAUGUAUCUUGUUUUCAGAUUUGUCAAUACUUGUUAUAUUUUGAUUAUGCAUUAUGGACAUUUUUCAUAAGAUAGCUUAAUUUUGUGGUUUGUGUUGACGAUUUCCAUGUAUGGAUGUUUGGAUAGGUAAUUUCGCCUUCCAUGCAUUCUUCAUUCCUGCAUCCUGUGGGAGAAAAUUGGAAAAAGUGGUUUUUGAUGAGAAACGGGGAGAAGGAUGAGAUAUAUAUUUUUGAAGUGUCACAUUAUUUCAAAAACAAACCCCAAAUUUAAUUUCUCUUACCGAUCAUGAGUUAAAAUAUAAAAAUUAACGUUUACUCAUCACACUGUUAUAAGUAUCAAAGCAUUACUUAUAGAAAAAUUAUCGUCACCUAUCCUACAUUUGUGAUUGAAUAGUGGCACAAUUUUAAUUGGGAUAUUUAACAUUACUCUUUGUAAUUGUUUGGUCUUAUUUGAAGUUUGUAAAUUUUUCAUAACUAUGACUUCAACAGCAUAUUUCAGGUUGCAUUUAAUCGUUGCUAUAAUUAGGUACUUUGAAAUAAUUUAUUGGCCACGAUUACAGUCAUUGUUAUUAGUCACCCCUCUUUUUUCUCUUUUGGCCAACCAGCUCUUGGAUAUUUGGGAACCGAUGACAAUAGUUGGGAAAUUAUGUAAUAUUGGUGUGUUUGCGAAAUAAAUCAAGAGAUUUGCCUUGCCGAAGUUAAAAGAGAUAUUGUGGCCUGAAUUUUUUUUUUUUUUCUCUAGGGGCCAUGGCUCUCAAGGACAAGGCAUGAAUCAUGCAUUAUAAUUGCUCGAAAGGGUUAGUAAAAUAGCAAUCUAAAAUACCCAAGUUGGAUCUGCUGUUGAAUCACAAAAAGAACAUAAUUGGGAUAUGAAGUCAUGGUUGCAAGUGUUGGACCCUUAGGUUACGUUUGGCACGUAGGAUUGGAUUGAACUAAUUACUAAAAUUGGAUUGAAUUAUAUUCGAUUGGAUUAAACUGGAUUAUAUUAUAUAGUUCUAUGGUUAGUACAAUAUCGGAUUAAACUAUGUUAAAUUAUAUUUAAAUAAUAUUAAAUAGCAUUUAAGUUGGUAUUUUAAUAUUAAUAUCAAUUAUUCAUGAAAUUUCAUAAUCAUAAUUAAAAUAAAUUUAAAAAACAAUUACCAGGAAAAUUAAAUAUAUUGUAAAUAAGUUACUGGGUAGUCAUAAUACAGUAAACAAAUGAACAUAGAUAAAAAAAUUAAAUUUUAAAUAAUUUUUAUCAAAUUUUAAAAAAAAAUUAUAUAAAAUCAAUUAUUUAAUGGUAUUAUUAAUUUUCAUGAUUAUUUUUAAUAGUAUAUAACAAUGAUUAUUAAAUUUAAUACAAUCAAAUAAUGCAAUAAAUAAUUAAACAUUUAAUUUUAUCAAUAAAUUACUAAAUAUACAAGUGGUGAAAAUUUAAUCUCCAGAGUUAGUACAAGUAAAGGUAUUAAUUUAAUUAGAUCAUAGAUAAUAAAUAAAAAUAAGUUUUAAGUAAAUCAUAUUAAAAAUUAAUUAAUUAAUUAAUACUAGGUGUAAAUAAAAAAAAUGAUAUAAAUAAAAAUCUCAUAAAUGGACAACUUUUUUCUUUAAUCUUAUCCCAACUAAACCCAUGCGUAAAUUAGGAUUAUCAAUUCCAUGAUUUUAGGAUUAAAUUUAAAUUACUACCCCCUUAAUCCAAUCCAACUAAGCUUGCCAAACAUUGGAUAAAUAUUUAAUUCCAAAAUUAGUCUAAUCCCAUACUUAAUCCUAGAAUCCAAACAUGGCAUUAGCACCUUAUAUAACAAAGUGUCACUGAAAUACAGCAAAACGUUAUAAACAAGAACUUAUUUCUGUACAAAAUGUUAUUUACUUUUUGUGAACUUCCAAAUACCUACUAUAUGAUUUGCAAACCCUACAAAAGUCUACCUUGCAUGCUCUUUCUAACGUGAAAUUUGAUUUUUAUUAAAUUUUUGAUGUGUUCACUAAUAAAUAAUUGGAAUCUAAAAAAAUUAGAAAAAAAUAGAAUUAGAAUGAGCUACAAUAAAAAUGAGGAAUAACAAAAAAAAUGAUAUUUGUUGAGAUGAAUGAAACACAAUUGAAAUACUCUAUAUCGCUCUUAAUAUGUUCACUUUGUGAACAUAAAUUAGAAUUAGUUGUUAUAACUUAGUAAUUUAUCCUCAAUCAAUUAUUAUCAUUAUUACUAUUUGUUAUAAUAAUUGUAAUUAUUAUUUUUGAUAAUUUUAAUACUAAGAAAAUUAUUGUUAGGGGUGGAAACACCAUAUAGAGAAGGAACAAUUAAAUUUAUAAAAUUUAGUGGGGAUAAAAUAGUCACUUAAGACAGCAAGCGUCUCCCAUUCUCACCUCCACGAGCAUGAAAACACUAGUAAUCAUUCUUAAAUUUUGAUGGAAUCUGUUGCUUUUAUUCUAAUAACGAACGCAAAACCUAUGGAAUUAGUUGGAAUAACGAAUGCAAAACCUCUGGAAUUACAAUUGAAAUACGUCAACCCAAAAUGGAGAAAGCACAACUAAAAUUAGAGACCUACAAAACCAAAAAUAAACUUAUAGAAAACAAACCCGGUACCUAAUCUCAAUAAUUGGAAUCUCAACCAGUUAAUGGAAAUAUUCAACUCAAAAUUAGGGAAAAAUUAGAUGAAACACGUGAACCAUUGAGAGAGAAAGUAUGACGAAAAUUAGAAACUCAUUUAACGAAAAAUAAUAUUUACUUGGAAUCUAACCCAUGAUACUGGUACCUAAGGAACUUUAUAGGAAUAUGAAACGCAAAACCAGUGGACCAAUAAGUUGAAACAUGUGAACCAAAAAAUGAAAAACUAUAACCAAAUCUUGAGACUAAUCAAACCAAGCAAAAGUAAUAUUGAUAUUUAACCCAUAUAAUUGGAAUUUUACCAAAUUAGUUGGAAUAACGAAUGUAGAACUUGUGGAAUUACAAUUGAAAUACAUCAACAAAAAAUGGAGAAAGCACAACCAAAAUUAGAGACCUACAAAACCAAAAAUAAAUUUAUAGAAAAUAAAUUUGGUACCUAACCACAAUAAUUGGAAUCUCAACCAGUUAAUGAGAAUUCUCAACGCAAAACUAUAGGAAAAAUUAGCUGAAACACAUGAACCAUUAAGAGAGAAAUUAGAACGAAAACUUGGAACUUAUCCAACGAAGAAUGCUCGUGACUUGGAAUCUAACAACAAAUAUUGGUACUUGACUAAUUUAGUAGGAAUAUCAAAUGCAAAACUCAUUGACCAAUAAGUUGAAACAUGUAAACCAAAAGAUGAAAAAGUAUAACCAAAACCUGAGAAUAAUCAAACCAAGAAAAAGUAAUAUUGAUUUUUAACCCAUAUAAUUGGAAUUUUACCAACUUAAUUGGAAUAACGAAUGCAAAACCUGUGGAUUUACAAUUGAUAUACGUCAACCCAAAAUGGAGAAAGCACAACCAAAAUUAGGGACCUACAAAACCAAAAAUAAAGUUAUAGAAAACAAACCUGGUACCUAACCUCAGUAAUUGGAAUCACAACCAGUUAAUAGGAAUAUUCAAUGCAAAAUUGGGGAAAAAAUUAGAUGAAACACGUGAACCAUUAAGAGAGAAAGAACAACGAAAACUAGGAACUUAUCCAACAAAGAAUGAUAGUUACUUGGAAUCUAACAGUAAAUAUUGGUACUCGACGAAUUUAAUAGGAAUAUCAAACGCAAAAAUAGUGGACCAAUAAGUUGAAACAUGUGAACCUAUAGAUGGAAAAGAAUUACCAAAAUUUGUAACUAAUCAAACCAAAAAAAGUAAUAUAGAUAUCUAACCCAUAUAAUUGGAAUCUCGACAAAUUAGUUGAAAUAUUAAACAAAAAACUAGUGGAAUAAUAGUUGAAACACAUGAACCAAAUGUGGAGAAAGUUUAACCAAAUUUUGAAACUUAUCCAAUGAAGAAUGCUAGUUACGUGGAAUCUAACAACAAAUAUUGGUACUCGACGAAUUUAAUAGGAAUAUCAAACGCAAAAAUAGUGGACCAAUAAGUUGAAACAUGUGAACCUAUAGAUGGAAAAAUAUUACCAAAAUUUGGAACUAAUCAAACCAAAAAAAGUAAUAUCGAUAUCUAACCCAUAUAAUUGGAAUCUUGACAAAUUAGUUGAAAUAUUAAACGAAAAACUAGUAGAAUAAUAGUUGAAACACAUGAACCAAAUGUGGAGAAAGUUUAACCGAAUUUUGAAACUUAUCCAACGAAGAAUGCUAGUUAUUUGGAAUCUAACAACAAAUAUUGGUACUCGAUGAAUUUAGUAGGAAUAUCAAACGCAAAAAUAGUGGACCAAUAAGUUGAAACAUGUGAAUCUAUAGAUGGAAAAGCAUUACCAAAAUUUGGAACUAAUCAAACCAAAAAAAGUAAUAUCGAUAUCUAACCCAUAUAAUUGGAAUCUCGACAAAUUAGUUGAAAUAUUAAACUAAAAAUUAGUGGAAUAAUAGUUGAAACACAUGAACCAAAUAUGGAGAAAGUUUAACCAAAUUUUGAAACUUAUCCAACGGAGAAUGCUAGUUACUUGGAAUCUAACAAAAAAUAUUGGUACUCGACGAAUUUAGUAGGAAUAUCAAACGCAAAAAUAGUGGACCAAUAAGUUGAAACAUGUGAACCUAUUGAUGGAAAAGCAUUGCCAAAAUUUGGAACUAAUAAAACCAAAAAAAGUAAUAUCGAUAUCUAACCCAUAUAAUUGGAAUCUUGACAAAUUAGUUGAAAUAUUAAAUGAAAAACUAGUAGAAUAAUAGUUGAAACACAUGAACCAAAUGUGGAGAAAGUUUAACCGAAUUUUGAAACUUAUCUAACGAAAAAUAAAUUUAAUUGGAAUUUAACCCAAAAUAUUAGUGUUUAACGAGUUUAGUGGGAAUAUUAAACAUAAAACUAGUGGAUCGGAAAAUGGAGAUAAGCAAACCAAUUAGUGAGAAAGUUGAAUCAAAAUUAGGUAUAUGUGAAAUUAACUUGGAAUGUCACCUAAUAUAUUGAUAUUUAACCAAAAGAAUCGAGACAUGCUCAUUUUAAUUUUUUUAAACUUUUGUUGCAAUUAAAAAUAAUUUUUUCACUUAAAUAUUGUUUGUGUUAAAUAUUUACAAAAUUUCCUUAAUUUUUCCUGUUUCAUUUUAUUUUUUCUACAUUAAAAAUAAUUUUUUAAAAAUUAUUAAAUGAACAACCGGUAAAAUACCGGUUGUUCAAGUUUCCUUUUUACUGUUGAAGGGGCUGUAUUUUAUACAGCACUGUACUAUAGGAAGACUCAACUUAUUGACAUCUUCUCAUAUAACCUUCGAUCAAGUCGAUUCUGACCUGACGACUAAUUGGUACAUCACCGUUGUUCUCUAUACUCGCAUGCAUCGGAUCACAAAUCUCACUCCAAUUGUCGUCUUUCUUCGCCGUUUUAGCGCAUACUUCUUGAAUUUCCCGCAUUUCGUUCCCUCCUGUUACAAGUCUCCGGUCAGGUCAGUGAUUGAAUUUCCCGCAUCUCUAUCCCUCCCGUUUUCUCGCGUCGUUUCACUUCAAUUUCUCGUGUCUCCUUUCAGUUUAAGUGAUUGAAUCAAUUUUAUCGCAGUCAUAAGAGAAAUUAAGUAAUGCUCUUGGAUUUAAAAUUUUUUUGCUUUCGACUUUAGAUCUCGAAAGUCAAACUCUGCUACGAAUCCAUAGAUUCUCAAUGCUCAUAAUCUUAUUUGUGUUUGACCAGGUAACUGGAUCGUGAAAUUCGUCGUUUUGUAUCAAUUCAAGCUUUCGCGAGCUCAUGGAAUCACCUGGUGAGUUGUGGUGAAACGUUAUCGUUUCAAUUUUCGCUUAAUUCUUUAUUGCAUAUUUUUUUCUCUAAUGUUUCAGUUUAAUUUAGAAAAGAAAGAGGCCCCAAAAAGAGAGAGAGAGAGAGACUCUACCAUACUCAAUUCCUUGCUCAUUCUGAUUUGGCCUGAAUGUUGGCAUUGACUAUUAUUUGUUUUCAUUUCGAUUUAAUUCUCAUUUAGACAGUCUUUACUAACGGUCAAUAAUAGUUUAAGGAAAAUGAUCAUAGGGAUUCUGCAAUAAUCUUUCUGCAUUGUUCAAGUUAGUAGACAAUGAAUAGGAUGUUUAUGUUUACCUCAUUUUGAACCCUGAGGGCUUCGUUGAGUAGUUGAUUCAACAUAUCCAGCAACGGUUGAUGUGAGAACAGAAUGCCACUUAGAUAGGCUUAAACUGAUUUUGGAGGUUUGUAUUGGUUCUAUUGUACGUCUUGCUUACAAAUUUUUAAUUUUUAAUUUUGUAUAAUAUGCUCUUUGUUGGUAAAUCUCAUUUGACUUAGAAGAGAUAGUUUUAUCCCAACAGUGGGAUAAAUCAUUGAGAUGCAUGGCAGUGUGAAUAUAGUAGACAAAAUCAUUGAGACACAUGGUGGUGUGAACAUAGUAAACUUUGUCAAACACAGCUAAGAUAAACAAAUUGUUUCAUUAGCCUUUACCUUAUCUGCUGUGAUGAUUCAAAUUAAUGCUGUUUGGUAGGUUGCAAAAAACGAAAUGAGCUGUCUGUUCGUAUUAUUUAGUCAGAUCUAUUGCAAUAAGUUGAAGUUCAUUGUCACAUGGGUUGGGAGUAGCGUGGGCUGUGAGUAGUAGAAUGGAUUUAUGGAGUUGAUACAAGUGCCCAUAAUCUAUCAUGUCAUUCUAGGAUUAAAUGGAUUGCACAUUACUGUAAAGAUGGAGGUUAAAUUUAUAUAAUUCGGAUUGAUUGUAAAAUGGGAGGCAGAGAUGAGUUAGAAAAAGAAUGACCUGUGUCCUUUUUGAGCUGUUUCUAAAUCUCCCUGGUGUGCUUCAUGCUUAACACGUGUCUUUCCAAAUAAUUUUGCUUAACCUGUGCUUGUCUACUUCUUGUGCUAUUCUGUGCCUGGUCCUGAGCUGUGUUGGUAGAUUGACAUAAUUUUGCUCUGCUAAAUGUAUAACUUAUUAAUCAGAGUCCUGUUAUUAUGGUUUGACACUACUGACAUAUUGUGUUGGUAUUUAUUUGUACUUCCCUUGGUUGAAUUAUUUGCUGUCUCCAUGCAAUUCGAUAUGGUGCUACUUGGUUUUUGAUCAUCCAUGACGCUAUAUAUAUGUAAAGGAUGAAUUGAUUGUUUUGGCUUGUAUUCUCACAUUUUAUGAUUGAUCGAUGGAAAGGUUUUCAUGCAUUAAAUUCAACCUCACAAGCGUAAGAUUGACAGAUUGUGGGCAAAUUUUCAGGAAAAGAAACUAGACUUCAUGGAAGCAAUGAAGCUUGAAAUUGAACGUCUGCAGCUGAAUCUUUCUGCAGCUGAAAGGGAUAGAACUUUAUUGUCAAUUGGAACUGAUCCUGCCUCUAUAAAUCCAAAUGUAUUGCUUGAUGAAUCUUACAUGGGAAGACUGUGUCGAGUAGCAAACACUCUUGCAUUACUUGGCCAAGCUUCCCUAGAAGAGAAAAUUGUUGGUGCAAUUGGCCUUGAGAAUAGUGGUGAUAGUGUUUUAGACUUCUGGAAUAUUACUAGAAUCGGAGAGAGUUGUUCUGGUGGUGGGUGCGAGGUUUGUGCAGAAACUAAGGUGCCUGCUCUUGCUUCCUCAACUGCAACAUCUGUUGGAUCUUCACAAUCCCCUUUGUUGUGUUCUCAAUGUGAAAGAAAAGUUUGCAAAGUUUGUUGUGCAGGAAGAGGAGCUCUACUGUUUUCAAAUUAUAAAUCAAGGGAUGUGACCAACUACAAUGGCUUCUCAAGUCAGAGUGGAUCAAGCCAUGGAAGCCAAGUUGAUGUAGCUACCAGUCGUUCACUAACACUGGAUGGCGUUAUCUGUAAACACUGUUGCCAUGAGAUGGUGCUUGAUGCAUUGAUGUUGGACUAUGUUAGGGUCUUGAUUAGGUUGCGAAGAAGUUCCUGUGCAGACAACGCAGCAUACAAUGCUUUGAAUGAGGUUGUUGGAUCCUGCUUAAAGGAUAGUCUUUCUGAGAGGAUUCAGUCUUCCGAUAAUGCGCAAGCAGCUAAAGUCCUGCACCAAUUAUGUGGUGGACAGGAAGCACUUGCUGAAUUUCCAUUUGCUAGCUUUUUGCACUCGGUAUGUUCUUGGUUUGUAUUCAGUUCUCAUCAUAUUAUGUUUUCCUUUUAAAUUUCAUUUCUUGAUUAAAAUUUUUAGAAAUGUGUUUUAGCAUUUAUUCUUAUGAUAUAUGCCCGGAACAUUCAUCCCACUUAUCCAUGAGAAUCCUUGUCUGGUUUGAUUUUCAAUUGAGACAUUUUUGGGAACCCUGCGCAGGUUCCAUAUGCUAAUAAUCUUUGAGGUAAGGUGUUGUAGGAUGCCUUGAGAAGCUAAAAACCCAUUACAAGGAAAAGGUCUUGCAUUGUUUUGUGCAAUCUGUGUGCGAGCUAGUCAUGUCUCUAAUAAUUUCAUAGUUUGCUUGAUUGGAAUUUUUUAUCUUGAUAUGGAUUGUUUAUUCUAGAUUCCUUGGUGCCACUGUAGGUUGAAACAGCAAAAGAUUCAGCACCGAUUUUGUCACUGCUUGCUCCAUUAAAUUCUGGAUCAAGGCACUCAUAUUGGAGAGCUCCACCUAGUACUACUUCUGUUGAAUUUGUUAUUGUUCUCGGUUCUGUUUCUGAUGUCAGUGGGGUUAUCUUGCUUGUUAGUCCUUGCGGCUAUUCUGUGGCUGACACUCCGAUGGUAAGUGCCAUAUUUAUUCCCUUAUUUCCUUGUUGUUCAAUAAAUUUGGUGAUAAGCCAAGUGGCCUUAAUAAUGAAGCCCAGUACCAGGGUUGGUGGGUAAUAGAUAUUCAACUUGUGAAUAUUCCUAAGCAAACACUGAAUCAACAUAUACCUCGGCUAAAGUUCUCUAUGCUAUUAUAACAAAAGUCAUAUUUUGAAAUGAUUAAAAGAGUCCCUGUGUAGUGCCAUUUCCAAAGAAAUUGCAGCUGGGGGUUUAGUUUCAUGUAGGUUAGUUUCCGAUAAUAAACUUUCUAUUUCAUUAAUUGCUGAUGAAAAAACCAAGUAAGAACAGUUUUGUUGCUCGUCAUUUUUGUAUAUUUUGGUAAACUGUAAUUUUAAAUUCUCAACGAUCUUCCCUUUGUAGGUAAGAAGAUGGUCCACUCACUUGAUAUUUAUGAUUGUAGAUCAGGUUUCUAUUGGUUUGCCUUUAUCAUUUAGAACCCAUGUUUGAUAUUAACAGAGAUCACGUCAAUAAUAUCCUAUUUGGGUAGAUGUGGGUGAGGAUUUAAAAUCAAAUUUGAAAUUGAGGGGAAAGAAGAGAAAAGGAACCACAAUAAUUAAACAAAAUAAUAGGAACUAUUCUGAUGAGUUUUAAUCUCGAGAGGAACAAUUUUCAAAUGCACUGCUAGAGAAAUUGUAGCUUUUUGUCAUUAGUUAAAAGGAAAAAGAAUAAGAACUAUCCGGCCCUUUCCUUCAUGAAUGUGUGUUGAGGUUGCUGUAUUAUUUAGUCAGUAUUUGUAAUUUUCUUCCCUGCAGUGCUCUCUGCCUCCUGAAUUUGCUUCCUAUUGCUGUUACAGGUGCAAAUCUGGGCAAGCAAUAAGAUACACCAGGAGGAAAGGUCAUCAAUGGGAAAAUGGGAUGUCCAAUCCCUCAUCACAUCUUCUUCAGAUUUGUAUGGUCCAGAAAAGUCUGCUAGUGUUGAAAAAUUACCUAGGCAUGUAAAAUUUACUUUUAAGAAUCCUGUUAGGUGCCGCAUUAUUUGGAUCACAUUACGUCUUCAGAGACCUGGUUCGGCUUCAGUUAAUUUCGGGAAGGACCUCAGUCUUUUGUCUCUUGAUGAAGAUGAAAACCCCUUUGCACAAGUAGACAGACGUGCUUCAUUUGGAGGAGCAGUUGAAAAUGAACCAUGUAUUCAUGCCAAAAGAAUUCUUGUAGUCGGAAGCCCAGUAAAAAGGGAGGGGCUUACCACAUCACAGAGCUCUGAGCAGCUAAGUAUUAGAAACUGGUUGGAUAGAGCUCCACAAAUGAGUAGAUUCAAGGUAUUAGUUGCUUUCACUCUUUGUUCAUUCAUAAUUCCAGCUUUCUGCUUCACUGAUAAACCUCUUUUUUCUCUUCAGGUCCCAAUUGAGGCCGAGAGAUUGAUGGACUACGAUCUCGUCUUGGAACAGUAUCUACCUCCAGCGUCACCUUCGCUUGCCGGAUUCUGUCUAGACGCUUUCAGUGCAAUAAAACCUAGGGUUACCCAUUCACCUUCCUCAGAUUCAGAUAUCUGGGACAAAUCAGUAACAUUUUUAGAAGACAGGUACAUCUCUCAAGCUGUAUUGUAUUUACAAGUAUCCGCACUCCAGGAACCACAUAACAUGGUAACUAUUGCGGAAUAUCGACUGCCGGAGGCUAGAGCCGGAACGCCAAUGUACUUUGAAUUCCCACGACCGAUACAGUCCCGACGAGUUUCAUUCAAGCUUCUUGGAGAUGUUACAGCAUUUGCAGAUGAACCUUCAGAACAAGAUGAUUCAGGAUUGAGAGCUCCACUUGUGGCCACAGGUUUGUCUUUGUCAAACAGAAUCAAGUUAUAUUAUUAUUGUGAUCCUUAUGAGCUUGGAAAAUGGGCAAGCCUUUCUGGAGUUUGAUCGUUAUUUAUAUGUCAGAGAAAGAGUUUUGGGUUUGAUUUUGAUUUUGAUUUGUAAUUUUUGUCAGUUUAUUGAAAUUUUUUUGUUGUAUAAAAGCAGAAUGUAAAGGUAUAAAAAUUCAUUGAUGCUGCAAUGUCUGUGCUUUUGAGAAAGAAGAAUUCAAUGUCUUUUCUAUGCCAUUGGAUUUUCCCACUGCUUGUAAACUUGGGCUGUCGAGUGCUCUGUGAACCUUAAGGGCUAUAAAGUAAUUUUUUAGACUGAAGGAUUUAUUAAUCGAGUUCAAAAGAUUGCAAGUUGGUGAGCGUUGGCAUUUAAAAAUCAAUUGUUAUUCUCUCAAUAAUCUCUCUCUUCUGCCGACACCCCAAGCUCAGAAACCCAUUGUUCCGACGGACGUGUAACACUUCCAGAAAUUAGCCUUUUCUUCUAUAUGAAGGUUGAUCUCUCCUCGUGAAGUGAAGGUGGUUUUCCAAUUACAUACGUCGGGGGUCUUAUGAUAUCUAAUGUGUGAAAUUUCUUUCUCAUUUUACCAUAAAGAAAAGUUCUGUAAUGAUCUAAAGUUGGGAGUCUUAAAUUAUCUUAAAUUUAUAUUUAGAGUGGAGUUAUUGGCACCCUACAUUAUUCUUACAAAAUUCUAUUUUAAAUAAAAUUAUAAUUAAAGACAAUUGAAAAUUAUAGAUUUUUUUACAGCAAAUUACUUAAGUCAUAAUUAAUCCUUAAAAAAAAAUCUAUAUGUUACUUCUUAUUUAAUUAAAAUAAAUUGUACAAAUUUAAAAUAAUUUAUUGUUUUCUUUUGAUUUUUUAUUGAUUAAAUAUUUUUAUACUUAAAAUUACUUUGAAAUUAUAAUUUAAAAUAUGUGUUAUAUGCAAUAGUUCGAUUUACCGAACCACAAAGGGAGCCAAUGUGGUUUUGCCAAAAUCACAUACUGUAGCAUAAUAACAGAUAUUAUUAUUGUAUAAUAGAUGGGUUUAGAAAAAUUGAAGAACCAAGUAAGUUAUUUGAAAAAUGUCGAUUCUCGUACCAAACCCAUGUUUUAUGCCAAUUGUUUUUGGAUUGGAGUGCAGGCAUUAACAAUGAUGGAGAUGGAGGAACUGUAGCAUUAGUCAUAUGAAGAGUACGUGUCAGGUUUGAUUUUCAUGUGAUUUGGUUAGUGACGACGAAAACGACGACGUCGUAGUUGAAAAGCGUUUGAAUUAAUGUUGCGUUAAAAAAAAAAUUUAACUUGUUCCACUAAUUAAGUCAACAUUACUGAUGUCUUAUCACCCUCGGCCAACUUAACAAUUGGUGUCCUUUGGACAAUUAAAUAUGAUUUAUUCAAAAAAAAUAAAACUAUUAAAUAUUAAAAAUUAGGUCCAUUAAUAAUAAUAAUAAUAAUACUAAGAAUUAAGAAGAUCUAAUUACAUAUCAAAAUGACUCAAACAAAUUAAUUAAUUUCAUAUUAGCUAGCCAAGUAGGUUGUCCAUCCCACUCAGACAUGCACGAAAGCUAAAUUCAUCAAAUGAAUUACUUAAGGAGUAUUUGAUAAUUUUGAAAUUAUAAUUUCAAAUUAAAAUAGUAGUAGCAAAAUCGUAGUGCACAUUCAAUUAACCAACUAAUAGUCUAAGAAGCAAAGAGAGGAUUACAAGUUCACAACACCAUUAAAAAGGAUUCAAAAUUCCCACACGAAAACAUCAAUGUACAGAUUAUAAACAAUCCGAAUUGGACACAAGAAAAAACCCUUCAAUGGAUUGCUUGCCUUCCCAAUGCUAUAUACUGUGCAAACUGCGCACUGGCCAAGAAAAUAUUUUCAAUUUAGUGUAUUUUCAAAAUGCUUAUUUUCUCAGAAUAUAAAAAAAAAAAAAACAAAAAAAGAAUUCUUACAUGUUUCAUCAGCAUGAUUAAAAUCAAAGAAGAAAGCGAAGACAUAAUGUCUCUGACAUAAUAAAAUUACAAUUUCAUGCAGCAGAGAUUGAAGAGUUGAAUUCCACUUAUAGACACCGACCUCUUGUUUUGUCUAAUGUUAAUAACGAAAACAACAACAGAGGAUUAACUGAUGCUUUGACUUAUUAUCAGGUUGCAAUGAAUUAUUAACUGAUGCUUUGACUUAUUAGUUCUGCUGCUAAGUUAAAUAAAAUAAGGUAUUUUCAAAAGCAAAAUGGAAUACAUAGAUAAAACAUCAUCUUAAACAAAUCAUAAUCUAGAAUUGGAGACAUACCCAAGGAGAAAGAAUACGUGAAAAUGGGUGAUUCAUUUGUUAAGGAGUGUUGAUUUGGUCGUCUCUGCAAAUUCUUUAGGGACUCGGUUCCAGUUCCUCUUCAUCAAAACUGUAAUAUAAUUCCCCUUCAUCAGAACUCGAAUCGAUGCAAUAAAAUUCCCCUUCAUCAGAACUCGAAUCAAAUUCACUUGCAGCAGUUCCACUCGCGCUUGGCAAAUCAUCCAAUUUCCAAACUUCGGUAGCAAAAUUGAGAGUAAAAGUGUUGGCUUUGGUCUCUCUGGGAUUUGCAUAUACUGGACAUACUCCGCAACGUUUUAGCUUAGUGAAGAACUUAAAUGAGGCAGUUGUAUGAUGGUAACCAUCAGGAAACCCAACAUUCAAGCAAGGUUUAAAACCAAGUAUGACAUGAUCUGAAUCAAGGGAGCCAGUGCACACCAUGAAACCCAGAUCAACAUGUUUGGUUUCAGAGAGAGUCUUUAUUUCUAAGUCGAGUUGAAAGCGGACGUAAAUAUUGCAGCAAUAACAAGAAUGAAGGUGCUUAAAAUCAAGAACAGCACAAAAAGCAAACCCGAUUAAGUUUCUGCAAGAAGACUGCGGUGGCAGUUGAAUACAUAUCGAAGAUCCUGAACUUUGAUUGCUGAACCAGUCAGGAAUUUCGCUUCCAGGUAAAACAAUUAGGGAUCCCCUCAGUUCAGAAAGUUUCUGUGAAAUGACAUUUAAAAAAAAAAAUUGUAAAAUGAAAACCAUGAUUUCAGAUAUAACAAAGAGGGACAGAGUAAACAAGAGAGGGAAUUUGAUACCUCGUUGAUUGCCUUUUCAUAGCCCAGUCUCAGUGAUGCAAUUGCCACAUGCCGAAUUCUUAGUUGUGAAUCUGCCAAAAUCUUGUUGUUUGCUUUUCCAUUCAGUUUCAAGCAGUUAGUAAACCCAAAAUAAAUUGGUUGUGACUCCAGAAGUCCGGUUGCCCAUUGACGAAGGUCAGGAGAGGGUUUCGAUAGCUUUUCUAGUACGGAUGCAUCUAGUUCUUGCAGACAUGACGGAAUCUCUGGCAAAGAUUGAAGCCGGUUGCAGUUCGUUGCAUCUAGUUCUUGUAGACACAAUGGAAGUUCUGGUAAUGACCGAAGCAUGUUACAACCCGUCAAGUGAAGAUAUUUUAGACACAAUGGAAGUGCUGGUAAUGACUGAAGCAUGUUACAACGCCUCAAGUCAAGAGAACACAGCCGCGACAGUUGCUUGAUACUUGCAGGUAAACUCUCAAAGUUAUUUCCACGUAGAUCCAAGCUUUUCAGUGAGGAUAGAUAGGCAAUCUCUUGUGGAAUUUCCAUUACAGCACAGUUCAUUAUGUAUAGAAGUCCCAAAGAAGAUAAACCUAAUAAUAAUGAUCGAGGCAAUGAUACCAAACCUUUGCAGCGAGAGAAAUCAAGAAUUAAAAGUGCGUUUGAAUCUGCAACAGAGGAUGGUAGUUGACUAAUAGCUGAUCCAGCUGCUGAGAUGUGACGCAAAGAUUCUAAAUUGCCAAUGUUAUCCGGCAACUUAUCAAGUUUAGAGCAAUCACUUACGAACAAUUCUUCAAGCCCCGGUAGAUUUUCAAAUGACGAUGGCAGCUCUGUAAUUGCCGUCCCGUCUAAAUUGAUGCGUUUUAAAUGUUCCAUUUUCUCCAAGAUUUCUGGGAAGCGCUCAAGGUUCAAGCAGCCAUUAACAAAAAGAUCAACCAAAGAUCUCAAUUUACAAAACCUAGUUGAAAUCCUCUUCAGCCGUUUGCAAUCCCUCAAAUCCAACACUUCAAGAUCAGUUAGGCACUCUAUUGAUGAUGGAACUUCUUCUAUUGCAGACUGGUCUAAGUAUAGCCGUGUAAUUUUCCCAGAAAUCUGUGGAAACUCUAUGAGAGUAACACAAUAGGAGAAAUUAAUAGUUACUGGACAAACAAAAUGAAGAUUGCUUGGAAAAGACCUAAGACUUUUGCAGCCCUCAAAAGACAGCGCACUGAGAUACUUGAAAUUCUGGAUAGAUGAGGGAACACAAGCCUUUUCUCCUUCCCAAGGUUGCUCAACUUUACUAAAACGCAAAUUCAGUUCAACAAGGUUCUUUGGCUUGAAAUUUGAUGGCAGUAUCCUUAAUGGAUAUGUGUCCCAAUGAAGAUAUCUCAAUUUUUCAGGAAGAUAUUCUAGGCCAUUUGGAAGCUGCACUUCAGAGUAUGAAAGUUGCUCUUCAAUGCUCAUACUUAGAAACCUUUCAAUCUCAUAAAACUUACUUGGAAACCUUUCAAUCUCAUAAAACUUAGGUACAUAAAAUUUGAGCAAUCUCAGAUUAGACAUAUUUGUGAAGGCUCCGGGGUCUAAAUUGAUGCAUUUUAUUUUGGACAAAUCCAGAAAUAUGCCUUCAAUUGCAUCGGUCCCCUUAUAAAAAAAAAAAAACAAAGAAUGAGUAAGCCAAAAAUAAAAAAGCAACAUGCGUAAACUUUAUUAACUAAGAGCUCCUUAAACAAAAACAAAUUCUGCAAUCUUUGAUUUUAUUUUUUUAAUAUAUUAAAUAUCUAUAUGCGAGAAAAGAAAAUUUUGGGGACCAUUGCAAAAUUAAACUAACCGAAAAAAAAUUCAAAAUUUCUCUAAUUUACAAUCCUAUUAUCUUAAUAUCUAGAAGUUGAGAAGAGAGUGCCUAUUUGAUUGGUAUAAGAUUUCGAAAUUUUUUUUUUUUAGUCGAUAGAAUCCAAAAUGUUAGUUCAAAAUUAGGGAAAAAAAUAAAAGUCAUUUUUUUUCCACUAGUUAAAACUGUAUCCAAGUCAAAUUAAGAUACGACCCUUUUUAAAAAGAUUUAACCAUCUUACAGCCUCCUUAAGGUACAUUUAAGCUAAAAGGAGUAAUUUGAGGCAGAACUAGGUGGUCCAAUCAGUCCAUUUUAUUAGUGUCUGUUGCUUAAAAAAUUUAUACUCUAAAACACACUUUUUUGGAAAAAAAAAUAUAAUUACAUUGAAGUAGAAUCAGGUGGGCCAAUCCUCAUGGCACUCACUUUAUUUUGACACUCUUCACUAAAUUUGAAGAAAAAUAAAAUUAUACUCUUCACACUCUUAUUCAACAUUCCAAAAUUGAUAAAAUCUGGAGUUUUCUUUAAAAAUUUAAAAUUUGAAGACUUGUUCUCUUGACACCCUCAGUCAUUAAUUUUACCUAAUUAUGGUUUUUAUGAUUUUGGUUGUUUUGUUCAUAAAAAUGAUUUUACUAAAGGAUGCUCUGGUAAUAAUAAAAUUUAUAAAAAAAAAUGGGUGUGCUGGUAUGAUUGGAAAAAUAUGAGUGCAUAACUCCAAACAAAUAAAAGAUAUAUAAAAUAAAUGGAGGAUUCUUACCUUUUUAUGCUUGAGUACGCGGCGGAUUUCCUUAGGAUCCCACAACCUGCUGCGUUUGCCAGGCUCUUUCUCAGAUUCUUGGCGAACAAUCUGUCGCCCCAUUUCUUGCAAUAAAUCAUGCAUUUGCAAGCAAUUACCUGAUAUUGAUAUGAGUGACUUAUCAAUAAGGACAUCCAGUCCAUCAGACUCAGAAUCAUCAAGAAUCCUUGCCACAAAAUCUUUAUCCUCUCCCUCAAAGAAACACGCAAUAUCUAGAAACAAACUCUUCACCCUAGGAAUUAAUUCAUUAAAACUAAUCUUUAAUAUUUCAUAAAUAUUAUGAAUAUCAGAUUCACAAAUCCGAUUUAAGUCGUGCAAUACAUUUUCCCAAUGGCUUUUCCUCUUGAGGCACAGGGAGGAACCCAACACUUUAAGAACUAAGGGAUUGCCUUUGGCAUACUCUACAACCCUCCGUGAGUGCCAGUUGAGAUUUGUAGGACAAUGAUUUUCUUUAAAAGCGAAGUUACAAAAAUGCUCGAAAGCCUCUUCAAAUUCCAAUCCAUUAACCCUAUGUAUUUUCUUCUCCUCCCCUCUAAAUUUUUCGAGGACUCCUUUAUCCCUGGUGGUUACAACAAUUCUACUUCCUGGACCAAAUUGAUCAAGCUCUCCAAUCAGACCCUCUAAUUGUCCAACUUCAUUCACAUCAUCGAGUACUAUCAACACCUUCAUACGCCAGACCCUCUCUUUAGUAAAAUGUGGAAUAUUGGCACCAGCUACUUCAAGUUUUUCGCUUAAUAUUGUGGAAAGCAUUUCCUUUUGGAGAUGUUCUAAUCCACCUCCUGUUUCAGAAUUUCUCCUAACAUCUGACAUAAAGCAGCUACCAUCAAACUCACCAGUGAAUUGAUCGAAAAUAGCUUCAGCAAGGGUGGUUUUGCCUAUACCGCCCAUGCCCCAAAUUCCAACAAUUUGGACAGUAUCCGACAAAUCCAUACACAAAAAUGGUUUAAUCUGCUCAAUUCGUGAAUUUAAUCCAACUAGGCCAUUGGAUGAGUCCGUUGCGACUGUUAUUUUUUCCAAAUUCUUCAAAACAUCUUCGACAAUUUUGUUUACAAGUUCCGCAUCGUGCCUAAUAUAAAGGUGCAAAGAUGCAAAAACAUUGAGUCAAAUCGGGCCAAGACAGAAACAGAGAUAAGAUGAAUUAGGAAAGAGAGUUACCUGAAUUUCGUGGAUUCGUGGCCAGCAAGACCGGAUGUUUCUCUCAGUGCAUCCCUCCACCUCUGAACCAUUUCUGGCUUCUCUUCGAAGUGUUGUUUCAGCUGAUCAAAACCGUGCUUAAAAAUUCCAGUUUGAUGCCGCACAUCGGAUGGACUUACUCCAUAGAAAACCGGAAUAAUGAUUUGGCGGUUUGUGUGCUUGCAUUCAAGAAUCUUGACAAGUUCAUUCAGGCACCAUUUUGAAGAACCGUAGUCCUUUGAGAAAAUGACCACCGAAAUUUUUGAACCUUGGAUUGCGUUCAAAAGGGCAUCUGAAAUCUCAUCUCCUCGCCUAAGCUUUUCAUCAUCCAUAAAUGUUUUGAUUUUCUUUUUGUCAUACAAAUCAUCAUAGAGAUGGCAAGUAAAGAUCCUACGAGUGUCCUCCCCUCUAAAAUUGAGGAAGACUUCAUAAAUGCAAGAAGAAGAAGAAGAAGAAGAAGCAGCCAUGAAGGAAAUUUUAGAAAAUUGGUGACAGAAACAGAGAAUUAAUCUUGAGAGUUGAGAGAGGAGAUGUAAGAAUGAACAUGUGUGAAGAUUCUUGCAAGCACACAGAAAAUAAUUGAAUGGCUGGAGCUUUCUUAGUUUCCUGGAAAUUUCCUGGAGCUUUCAUAUACAUGAUUUGUCAAGUCAAGAAACAUAAUCAUGAUAAUGGGGCAGACCAGGAAGAAAAGAAAACUUGAUUCAACCAAUAAAGGAAGGAAAAGCAAAGAAAGAAAAUUUGAAAGUAGAUUCAGAGAAUUAUAAAAAGCUAAAGGAAAUUGGAAUUUUGUACAAUUUCUCCAGCGAAAAUUAAGCAUAGAAUAAUCCUAAAAUUUAAACUCUAAUAUCUUAUAAUGUAUUGAUUAAAAAUAAUCCUAAGAGUUCCCAAUUGAAACUUUCAUAAGUAUUUUAAUUGUUUUGGAUAAACAAAUUGUACUAGGAUAAAAAUUUGGCAAAUUCAGAGGAUAAUGGAAAAUAGUUAUGCUUCAAUAGGCCAAAGAUUAGAGAACAAACAAGAAUUAGUUAUUGAUACACAAAAGAGAAACACUCCAAAAUUUCAAGCAAAAAUAGUUUCAUAUACCAUUUCGAUUUUGGAAGGGGUGAGGUUUUGAACUUCAAUAGUUUCCUCUAAAAUUAAAAGGCAGCAAUUAAACUAGAAAGAGCAAUGAAGACUUAUUGGUACUUUAUUGAAGGUAAACAUUAUGAAACUUUCAAUGUCAUUACCUCAUUGUUCAAUUUUUAUUGAGAUUUGUGUAAGCAUUUAGCUAAAUCUUACCUCCGCCUUUAAAUUCAUUAGUUUUGAUUAAUUAUGAGACCUGGGAGAUAUUAUAAUCGAACUAAAACUUAAAAUUUCAAUAUCAUUAUUCUUUAAAAAGAAAUUGAGAUUUCAGAGUAAUAUCACAUAGAAAAACUUGCCCACGGACGGUAAGCCAAAAGUCUAGUCAACCACACGCAUAAAGCUAACUAGAACAAGAGAACAGAGAAACGCGUGGGUCCCUAAAAGAAAAGGCGUGGGUCCCAAAAGUCUAGUCAACCAUACCGAUGAAAAUCACUGAUUAAGAAUAAUAUAUUAUGUGGUUGAAGAUUUCUUUUUAUCAAUCUUCUUUCUACCCAUUAAUUUUCCCACGACUUUCCGGUUUCAUUUCUUGAAUCUCCAUGGAUUAACUUUCAAUAAACCAUAAAAUAAACUAAGGAAUCAUUUUCUCGAACACAGCUAUGAUUUUAAUAAAUGGGCGGACCAUCUAGAAUAGUAUAUAUAAUUCUGUUUAAUUAAUAAGUUGAAAAAACCAUAAAGAGAAAUUCUAAUAUUAUGAGCUUGACACGAAUUCUUCACUAAUUCCAAAACAAGGAGCUGUUUUAUAAGAACUGUGGUUGGAUUAUUAAGUUUUACAAUUUGAAUAUAAAUAAGAAAAUAAAAUCAGUCGCGUCGAUGUUUUCGAUACAUUUCGAUGCUAACUUAAUUAAUUACUUUACUUCAACUUUAUUUCCUGACGGACACUAUAUGGUGGGUCCAAGAUGGGACCUACAAUAAUCAAUCCUAGAAUUUAGUAUGGUUACCAAAUAGCUAGUGUUAUUUUGUGUUUGGUGGAAGAGAUUGAAUAUUUAGUUUUAACAUAACCAUUCAACUAAUUAGAAAAUAAAUAAAGUUAAAUGAAAUGUUUAGAUAUCAAUUUAAAUAUUAAUAUCCGGGAUAUAAAUUAGUUAUAAUAUAGUUCAUUACAUAAAAUUGAUUAAAUUAAUAAUUACACAUGAACAUAGAUGUAUAUGCUUUCCAAUUUCCAAAGUGCUCAAAGCACUUUUCUCACCAAACUUUCCUCUGAAUUUCCCGUAGCUGACUCCAUUGUUUGCGUUUUGUGAAAUUUCUAGGAACUUUUUCUAUUUAGAAUAUUGUACAUUUUUCUUUUCAGCUGAGAUUAAUUUAACUUAUAGAAAAUCUUAUCCUUUUUUUAAUAUUAUUUAAAUAAAAUUUGUCUAUCUUUCAUUUUAUCAGUCUACUUUUUACCCAUUAAUUAAGACUUUUCGAUUUCUUUUUUUCCUGAGGUUUUCAGUGACUAUCUUUCAAUAAACCAUAAAAAUUAAUGAGUCAUUUAUCGAACAAUUAGAUGACCAUAUUUCAAAAUAUCAACUAGAAGUUGCCCUGAAAUAUUUAAUUAAUAGUUGAAGAAUUGUGAUUAGUGUGGGCAUCUACAUAAAAAUUAUAUUAAAACACCGCUAAAAGAUAAAAAUAAAAUAAAAUAGUACAAACAUACACCCAUAGGUUAAAACAAAGAAAAAACACGAACCAAUACACUAAAAUGUUUUAGCUGUAGUUAGUUUUCAGUUUCAUUACUUAAGUCCCACGUGCAUGUCACGUGACUGAGGUCAAAAAAUGAUUGUCAGAUUAAAGUUCAAAGUACGGAGCAGGGUAAUUAAGGAGUGGAGCUAUUGGCACCCCUCCAUUAUUCUUACAAAACCCCACUUUAAAUCAAAUUAUAAUUAAGAAUAAUUGAAAAUUAAACACUUAUAGAUUUCUUUACAACAUGUUUAGUGAUAAAAAAGCACCAGUCGGGCAUGUCCCCAUUUCUUACCCGGGGCCGAAUCUCCUCGGCCGAAUGGUAUGAGUAGACUCUUGGUGAUGUGUUCUAUGUGGAGCACGUAAAACAGACCAGGAACUAGUACCAACCAGAAACGAGUACUGAUCAGAAACAAGCAUGACCAGAAACGCAUACCGACUAGAGACUUGUGGGUCCCUAAAAGAAAAGGCAAGCACAUAAACGAAAAAGCCAUUACAUUUCUAUUUUACAUGUCAUUCCUAAUUUUUGUAACACGGUGUGGCAGCAUAUGCACAAUCAAAUGAGGCAAAAGGGAUUCGACUAUCGUGGCAGAACAUGGACGAGGAUGCGUGAUGAAUAAUUCCUUCGAUAAAACGAAAAACAAAUGCAGAGAAAAGAAUUUCUUAUAUGACAAGAAAUUAAAGUAAUGUGACGGAACAUGAUGAAGAAAUUGCAGAUCGAUCAAUUAUCCCCAUGGACUCCUAUAAAUUCAACCAAAAUAACAAUUCCAAUAUUACCAAAUUCUUGAGUUAAAUUUAUUCAAUGCUUUUUUUUUUUAGAGAAAUUUUUUCCAAUGCUACUUUCCCUUUUUUGGGGAAAUUAGAACUGCGGCAUGUAUAGAAGACAUUGAGGUAUAAAGCAACAUUAAUUUCAUGGGUUAUGCGUUAUACGCAUAAUAUAUUGUCAGUCCAAAUUCAACUAUACAAAGAGGCUUGAGAACUUAAAAUUAAGCACAAACUAAACAGACGAAGUAAAUACAUGAUUAUGCAACAUAACAUUAAUUCUCUUAAUUUAUAACUGUUUUUGCCACAUGAAUCUUGCACAGUUAAUCCUAAUUGAAGACUAAAAAAGAACAAUUGGAACAAGGUUUUGAAAUAGAAUGAUAUACAAUCGAUAUGAUCCAUUUCCAGUCGUCAACGCUAAUUAACUGCAGUUUCUAGACUCCUAAUUAUACUAGCCAUAAGAAACUGUUUAGAAAACUGGUGAUCAGAUUAGAUUUUGAAAAGAAAUAAUUUUCAUUUUCCCUUCGCUACCUUUUUUUUUUAAUUAUUUUUAUACCAAAGAAUUCUAUCAUGAAAAGAAUCAAUUUAAUCACCUUUUCCAGCAGCACAAUUUUUCUUUUAUAAAAUUUGACCACAGAGACAAAGAAGAAUUAUUCAUACCUUCAUCAGUAAGGAAAUACUUUUCAUUAUGGCUAGGGUGAGAAAAGGCUUUCCACAACACUUGUACUUUGUAUUCCUGUAAAUUUUCUUUAAAGUCAAUAAAAACCAUAAGUUCUUUACAAUAACCAUCUCUUUGAUAAAAAAGUGCCGUAUUCCUUUAGAAUUUAAAACCGGAAAAAUUGAAUCAGUGUCUUUGAAGAGACAUAAUGGUCGUAAUUCUUUAAAUGAGUUGGCUAUGGAAAUCCUUAUCCAAGAUUCUUUUACGCCAUAUUCUUUCGUAAACCAAAAUUCAUUUUGGAAUACUCUGUUGAGAAUGUCAAAUAAAACGGCAUUGAAGGAAGUUUUCAAAGGCAGAAUCCGCACUUGUCAAAGGGAUGAUCUGCACUUGUCAAAGACACGAUCCGCGUCGAAUGAAUCGACACAUUUCCUUUCGUAUUCGCAUAUGUAAUCUUUGAAAAAAUGUAGCUUCUGCAUCUAUAAAUAACGCUUAGUGUAUAAUGUUUUAUUCAAGAAAAGAAAACAAGUUUCUUCAUACUCGUCGUCCGAACAUACAGAGACCGUCUCUUAUAACUUCAGCCGAAUACUUAUGAUGAUGAUCAUUUGUGAUUUCAUCAGGCAAAGGGUUGAUGGUGAAAAAAUUUGUAUGUGUGAAGAAUUGAGCUGUGGAUAUAGGGGACUUAAGUGUAAUCGAAAGAGAGUUAUUAGGCCAUAGUGCAGAUUGCAUUCAGUUUAUGAGUCGAUAUGCAAAUAAUUUGUUGACGUGGCGAAAUUUGUUAUGGUCGUUACUAUUGUUUCUGGAAAUUUUCUAGAAACCUCAGCAUAAAAGGGGCUUUUGCAUAGCCUCUGGUGUGCGUGUGAUUUCUCUUUCGUUUCCUCAUCAAAUUCUGUAAUUCUUGCUUUGAUAAAAAGCUUGUAAUCUCUUCUGUAAUGUGUGAUCAGUGCGUAAUCAUUUUGAGCAAUAAGAGCUUGUGGGUUUUUCCUUCAAACAGUGUCGUUUUGGUCAGUUUGUUAGUUUGAUCUGUUGGUGGAAUUUUCUUUGGUUAUUUGUUCUCAAAUUUCAACCGUAUAUAAAGUUUGAACUCUAAUGGCUUAUAAUGUAUUGAUUAAGAAUAAUCCUAAGAGUUCCCGAUUGAAAUUUUUAAUGACUAUUUUUAUUGUUUUGGAUAUACAAAUUGCAUUAAGAAAAAAUAUUGUCAAAUUCAGAGGAUAACGGGAAAUAAUUAUGCUUCAAAAGGCCAGAGAUUAGAGAACAAAGAAGCAUUCAUUACUGAUAAACAAAAGAGAAACACUCCAAAAUUGCAAGCAAACUAGUUUCAUAUACUAUUUGGAUUUUGGAAGGGGUGAAGUUUUGAACUUCAGUUGUUCCUCUAAAAUCAAAAGCAUCAAUUAAGCGUUCUCAAUUAGAAAUAGCAAAGAAGACUUAUUGGUACCUUACUGAAGUUAACAUUGUGGCACGGUUGUUCAUAUGUAAUGGCUGCUCUGUUAUGCUAGCUUCUCUGUUUUUGCUUACAGUUUUGAACAUAAAUUCUUGCUCAAAUAACCCAUAAUUAAAUAACACUAAUAUGGCUCGUGAAGUCCCAUAAUAGCUAAUUACGCAACUUUCUCCUCCUCCUCAAUUAUGUCUUCCCCUGCUCGGACACUAACUUCAAAAUUCAAUGCCCCGAAAAACAACACAAGAAAUCUUUGAGUUAGUUCGUGACCAGUUUAUAUAUAGUAGCAAUUGAAAAAAGAAAAAGAAGAAAAAAGUUAAUUAUUAUUCAGACCUUCACUUAUUAGGAAGUUUGUUCUGCUAUUGGGUGAGAUCAAGCUCUCAGCAUAUACUUCCACAUGAUACUUUCUAACAUUUUCUUGAAAGCCAUCAAUCAUAAAAUCUUCAUACUUUUUUCCAUCCUUUGGAUCAAUAAGUACAAUUUUUUCAUCUAAAACAGACAAAAUAAAAUCACUGUCCUUCAUGGAACACAAUGGCUGCAAUGCCUGAACUGAAUUGGCUAAUGAAAUUUGAGUCCAGGAUUCUCUCAGCCCAUAUUCUUUCAUAAUCCAAAAUUCUUUUCUUUCUCGACAUGGAACAUAGUCUUCUUUUCUUUCUCGACACAUGUCUCUGUACUUUUCUCUCUCUACUGAUCCACACUUUUUCAUACUUCUAACUAUCAUUUUGUUUUUUUUUUUUUUUGAGUUGUGAUUUAUUCAAUUAUUUUGUAUUUUUAAUGACAAUUGUUUAAUAUUUAGUUAGUUUUGAUAUUGAUUAGUGAUUGAAAGUGUAUUUUAGAAGACUUCCGGUCUCUUGAAAAAAGGAAAAAUGGAGAAGAAGAAGAAGUGUUCUUGAUUUUUUUGUAGGCAUUAAAGUUAAACGGUUUGAAAUGAUAUUUUGUUUUUAUUUCACUCAUUAAUCUCAUUCAGGAUAAAAUUAUAAAUGCAAAUAAAUGGGGUUUCAUAAGUAUUUUUAAUAGUGUUAAAAGGUCUACUCACUAAAUAAACAUGUUUUACCCAAACCAAUCCGAUUAAUAAGUUAUUAGGUUGGGUUGAUCAGGUUAAAAAUCAAAAUUAAAAAUUAAAUAAAUAAAAGGCAUAAAAACUAUCUGUUACUUGAAAAUAAAAAGAAUUUCUAAUAGUUAGUUCUAAUGUCCCAUAUCCAAAACAUGCAUAUUGUGAGGUUUGCUGGUGAAUCAAACUCAUCAGAACCAAAUGAUGACGUUUUGGCAAUUGAAGGAGCACUUAAAAGACACGUGAAACGCACGUCUGUUGUCACUUAAGAUUAAAGCUUGAAACGGCAGUUCAACCAUGUCGUUUAAAGGAAGCUUAGAAGUGAUGCACGUGACAGAUGUGUGAAGCAGCUCAUCUCAGUUCGUUAAGUUUGUUAUGCUACGUGUAAGCAAUCAGUUCGAUCUGGGUUUAGCUGGUUAGUUGCUCUGUUAGUUAUAAGAGCAGGCUGAUGAAACGAUUUGGGUUAAGCUUGUGAAUUCAUAUCAGAGAGAGAGAGAUUUCAGUGAAAGGGUUAAGAGUUCUCUGAAAUCUUGUAAACCAUUCUCUGUAAGAAAGAUCCUCCAUUGUUGAAUAAUAAAAGCUCUGCAGAAAACUUUUCCUGUGGAUGUAGAUUGUACCAAUUUGGUACAACUGAACCACGUAAUUGAUUCUUGUGUUGUCUGUGAUUUGUUUGUUUCUUGAUUCUCUAUUCUUUCUAGUUCUUGGGUACAUUGUUUUCACUUGGCUAGAUUCAUUCCUCAAUCUGUGCAUCUUGUAUAGUUCUUUAUCAAAGGUCCUGGGAAGUGUUUUAUUUGUCUUGCAUGUUAUAUAGCAAAUUAAAACACUACACAUAUUAAAUAAUAUAUUAUAAGUUAGAAAUACAAUAUCUAAAGAAAGAAUUAAUGAAAUAACAUAUUCUUGUUGAGAAUUAAGAGUGUGAUUUUAAUUUUGAUAUUGGAGUCUAAAGCAAUAGAUAGUACAAUGAAAUCAUGAAUGCUACGUUUAAAUAAUCUCUUUUAUAAAAUAAUAAAAAGAGGUUAAAAAUUAGGUUAACAUUUAGGGUUUAGCAGUUAAGGAUGAAUAUAUUAUUAUUGUUGUUGUUGUUAUUAUUAUAAUAAUAAUUAUUAUAAUAAUAAUUAUUAUUUAUAUGUUAAUUAAUUCAAUCCAACUUAAUUAUUAAUGAAUUUGAAAAAAUUGACCCAAUUAAUCCACAAUAAUUCAUUCAACUCGUCUAAAUUAGAUUAAGUUGAACUUAAUUUGCUACCCCACAUUGAGCAACAAACCUCAACGUCAUUCUACGAGCUCUUUGAUUGUUUAUAAAAUUGAUUUAGAGUACAUAAAGUGUAUCGACAAUGAAAGUGCAAAACAAAUUAUUGUACAUAUUAAAAUGUGCAAAAACAAUGAAUUAUAUGUACAAACGAGUGCAAACACAUUUUUCAAUAAGAAGUUGGAAGAUAUUUAUGCAUGAAAAAGCCUACGUUUGUAGUUAUUCUAAAUUUUAAAAACAAAAUUUACAUUUAGAUUCCUAAAAUUUACAUAUAAGUAUAAAAGUUUCAAAUAUUGUCUAUUAUUUUUUUAACAUGCCUAUUCCUUGUGGAUAAUUUUGUCUCAUCACUAAUGUUGUUUCUUGCUUACAAAAACCAAAAGCCACCUCCUUUUUGCAAUUUUUAUAGCGUCUCAAAAUAGACAAUAGGGGGAUUUUGAAUUUUUUAAGUCUCAAUAUAGUCUCUAAUCUUGUGAGAAAUAUUUUCUUUCAAUAAUUUGGAGGUAAACAUAACAUAACUUUUUGGACUAAAGCCUAACUCUGCUAAUAAGUAAUUGGUGGUAUCCUUUUCAAGACUUGAGUCUUUAGAUUCGAGUUUUAUAUAGUGUGCAUGUGUAUUUAAUUAAUAUUUUUUUUCAAAAAAAAUUACAUCAAAUACUAAUAUUCAUGACAUAAUUUAGUUCAUAAUUUUUUUAAAUACAUCGAAAAAUAUAAUUUUUUAACAACUUAAAGGCAUGACAAAUUUCAAGAUAUAAAUAUCAGUCAAAAUAAGUGAAAGAAAUAAUGGUGUCAAUUCUAAUUUCUUAACUAAAUUAAUUACUGCAUGAGCCCCGAAUAUGACACGAGAGUUUGAUGGGCUAACUUGGCACAAGAACGUGAAUAGUUAACUCAUUUAAGAAAUAAUUCAACAAAAAAUAUAAUUGAUAAGAAUGCAAUAUUGAAAUGAAUUUUUUACGAAACAUUGAAUUAAUGAUUAUUAAGCAAGAACAAUAAAAAAAUAAAAUAAAAAUAAAGAUUAACCAUUGAUAAGCUUCAACAAGAACUUAACACAACCCUCAAUCCUAAUUCAAAUUAUAAAUGUCAUUCAUAUAUUCAUUAUAAAUCAAUAACAAAGGUUAUAAAUGUUUAGAAAUUCUAGAGGGAAGGAAGCUAUCGCCGGGGAAUCAACAACUAAAAUUGAUGUAAUUGUGGCACGAGAUGGAAUAUGGAAACUACACCAUAAUUUUAAAUGCCGCCAUAGACAUUGACUUAUCUACAAUAACAAUGAUCUAAUUAAAAUAAAAAUAGAGUUUAUGGGCAUUUAUUAUUUUGACAUUCCUCAUUUGCAAAUAGGGAUACAAUUAUAAUUUAUUUAGUCAAAGCAAACAGUAAUUUUCUUCAUUAUAGGAGUGAAGUAAAAACAUUUAGAUUUUAAUGUAUGUAAGGAAAAAUUUAUCUUUAAAAAUACUUUCUUAAUGUGUGUAUGCAUAUUGAAAUACUCAAACCAAUUUUGGUUAUAUAUAAUUAAACAAAUUUUAAAAUAUGAAAAAUAUAAUGUAGUUAUAGUGGAUAAACAAUAAGUGAGCACAAUAUAAUUAAUCAAAUAUUGUGCUAUCAAAAGUUAAUUUUAGAAAUUCCAAAUCCAAUAGCUAACACAAUUCUUUAAAGAAAAAAAAAAGGUUGACACAAUUAAUAAAAUUAGCGACAUGAAUUUCACGCCAUUGAUAAUCAGCAAUUAGUAUUACUUUCUAAACUUGCUUCAACUGGUCGUUGAUGUCCGGGUCACCAAAAGUAUAAGCGAUAAUAAGGGGCAUUGGGCAAGAGUGAUGAAUGUUUAGUGGGUGCAUUUGAUUGAUAGAUAUAUAAAGGGCCGAAACUUGAGAUUAUAUUACUUUUACAAAUUUUAAUCCAAUCACAUAUUUAAUGAAAACAAAAUGAGUUAGGAUACUUUAUUUAAAAUACACAUUUUAAUAAGGCUUCAUUUAAUUAAAUAAAAUUAUAAAAGUAAAAUAUAUUUUAGAUAUUUUAAUAUUUAAGAAAAAAUUUUCAAUCUUUACUUUCAGAAGCUCAAAUUUUUAAUUUUUAGUUGUAGAGACAAAAUAUCUUAUUUAAUGUUUAAAAGUUCUGCUAAAAACAAUCAAAUAACUACAAAAAUUUUAAUAAGAGCAUAUAAAAUUAAAUAAGCAUUUAUUAAUAAUCACUUUAGUGUACUUAUCUAAUAACAAUAAGUGUUUAUUUAAUCUAAUAAGUUUUUAUUUAAUCUAAUGAGCUCUUUUUAAUUUUUUUUUAGUAGAGCUUUUGAAAAUUAAAUAAACUAUUUUGUCUCUAUUAAGAAAAACUUAAAAUUUAGGUUUUUGUAAGUAAAUGUUUAAAUUUUUUUUAAAAAUAUUAAAAUAUUAAAAUAUCUUUUCUUUAUUUCAUAAUCUUAUUUCAUUCUUCACAACAUAACUUUAAAUAACUUACCUAUUAAAAUAAUUUCACAAUUUCUAAUAAAAACUCCGAUUAACAAUCAAGCAAUAAUUUUUUUUUUUUUUUUGUAAAAAUUCUAUUUGUAAAAACUCUAAUAAUAAAAAUUCUACUUAAAUAAAUUUUAUUUGAAAAGGUAUACUAAACGAACCUAAGAUAAAAACAAAAAUUUUUAGAUCCAGACAAUUAAGCUUAAAACAAUUUCAAAUGAAUUUUAGACUAAUCAAAGUACAAUACGUACCAAGUUUGGUAAUUUAUUGACAUCUUCUUAUAUACCUUCGAUCAAGUCGAUUCUCACUUGACGACUAAUUGGUAGUUUGGUACAUCACCGUUGUUCCCUAUACUCGCAUGCAUCCGAUCACAAAUCUCACUCCAAUUGUUGUCUUUCUUCGGCGUUUUAGCGCAUCCUUCUUGAAUUUCUCGCAUUUCGUUCCCUUACAAGUCUCCGGUCAGGUCAGUUCACUUGACGAUUAAUUCGGCAAAUCUUGAAUCUCUUCUCUAUCCCUCUCGUUUUCUCGUGUCUCCUUUCAGUUAAAGCGAUUGAAUCAAUUUUAUCGCAGUCUAAGAGAAAUUAAGUAAUGCUCUUGGAUUUAAAAUUUUUUUGCUUUCGACUUUAGAUCUCGAAAGUCAAACUCUUCUACGAAUCCAUAGAUUCUCAAUGUUUAUAAUCUUAUUUGUGUUUGACCAGGUAACUGGAUCGUGAAAUUCGUCGUUUUGUAUCAAUUCAAGCUUUCGCGAGCUCAUGGAAUCACCUGGUGAGUUGUGGUGAAACGUUACCGUUUCAAUUUUCGCUUAAUUCUUUAUUGCAUAUUUUUUUCUCUAAUAUUUCAGUUUAAUUAGAAAAGAAAGAGGACCCAAAAAGAGAGAGAGAGAGAGAGACUCUACCAUACUCAAUUCCUUGCUCAUUCUGAUUUGGCCUGAAUGUUGGCAUUGACUAUUAUUUGUUUUCAUUUCGAUUUAAUUCUCAUUUAGACAGUCUUUACUAACGGUCAAUAAUAGUUUAAGGAAAAUGAUAAUAGGGAUUCUGCAAUAAUCUUUCUGCAUUGUUCAAGUUAGUAGACAAUGAAUAGGAUGUUUACGUUUACCUCAUUUUGAACCCCGAGGGCUUAGUUGAGUAGUUGAUUGAUUCAAUCUUGCAAUGUGUUCCCACAAGGUUUUGAGUUUGAUUCCUAAUUAUGUGGACCUUAGUUUCGAAUUUGAGUUUGUUAGGUGGGUUGAUGGGGUUUUUGGGUAUUAAAAAGGGAGAAGAAAAAAGUUGCUUGCUUCAUUUUGUACAAACCUGUUGACUUUUUAUUUUUUUCUUUUUAUUUUUGUACUAUUUUGUUUUACAGUUGGUGGUUCAAGACAGACAUCUGUUAUUGUUGUAACUUUGGAUACUGGUGAAGUAUAUAUUGUAACCAGCUUGUAUUCUAGGACUGACACUCAAGUGAUAUAUAUUGAUCCAACUACUGGUGCACUUCGCUACCAUGGGAAAUGGGGCUAUGAUGUUUUUGGAUCUGAAAAUGAAGCAGUAGAUUACAUAACAAAUGGAUCACGAUGGAUGUGCAAGAGUACAACUUUUGCCAAGGCGAUAUUGGGUUAUACUGCCCUGGGAAGCUUUGGGCUGCUUCUUGUUGCCACAAGGUUAACUGCCAGCAUUCCAAAUCUUCCUGGUGGAGGAACUGUAUGCACGGUUACAGAGAGCCAAUGGAUCAAAAUUCCACUUCAAAAUCCUCAACCCCAGGGUAAAGGAGAAGUAAAGAAUGUUCAAGAGUUGCCUGAUCUUGACAUUGAUGGGAAGCACUACUUUUGUGAGACAAGAGAUAUCACUCGACCUUUCCCCAGCCGCAUGCCUUUGCAAAAUCCUGACGAGGAAUUUGUUUGGAAUGAAUGGCUUUCGAUGCCUUUUAAAAGCAUUGGUUUACCUCAGCAUUGUGUCAUUCUUCUGCAGGUUUUGCUUCAUACUCGGUAUCUUCAAAAUUUAUGCUCAUUAAACUUCUUUCAUUCCCCACCCUCUCACUAUCCCUCCACCUAAUUUUGUUUCCAAAAGUUUGUUUGAUAGUCUAUUGCCACUAUAUGUAAAUGUAUCAUUUCCAUUCUGAGCAUGAUAUUUUAUUCAUCAUCACUUGUUAUUCUAAUCUUUAGAUGAAAGAAUAUUUCGUAUUAACAUUUUUCAUGGGCCAGUACCUAUUUUAUGGUCCAUUGUAGAUACUAAAAUGACCAACUUUAUUUCUUGGUCAUAAAAAGUUGCGACAGAAAUUUUAAACAUGUGAAUAUUUAAAUCUGAUAAUUCAUUAAAGAUUUCAACCUAAUAGAUUGAAAACUUAGAUUCAUUCCAUGAAUGAAAGAUAAUAAAGCAUCAGCCGAUGGAAUAUGGGAAAUAGAAACACUUUCCCUUCUAUUAAGAAGAGCCUGCUUCAGAUGAUCCUCAUUUUCUUCAUCCACAGGCCAACCUAGAACAUACCACACCAAGGUAAGAAAGAAAAGGGGUAGCAGGAUUGCCUAGUUUGACAAUUAGCAAAGCCCCAAAUGUUCCUCUUUUACUUUUCUUUUAGAAAGGUAGACAUGUUUGACAGAUUUGGGACAUUGCAUCAUCCCUUUCUGCUGCACAUGGUUGCAAUGUUUUACUUCUCACGUGAAAGCCUAGAAAUCCCAAUCCAAUAAUAAAAGGCCAUUUUAGAGUCAAUGUACAAAAACUUCCUUCCUUGUCUCUAUAUCCUCUUUUACAAUCCAUUCUUAGUUGAAUUGAGAUUAUGCUACAGCUGCUUCUUCAAGUUAACAUUGUUAUGCAAUUCAAUGGUGAUUUACGUGUGUACUUGUCCUAAGCAUGUGAUUUGAAAAUAAUAUGUUAAUAUUGUUUUCACUGGAUAUUAAUGUAUAGGGAUUUGCAGAAUGUCGAAAUUUUGGAAGAUCAGGUCAGCUAGAAGGGGUUGUUGCUCUUAUAGCUCGUCGUAGUAGGCUGCAUCCUGGUACUCGAUACUUGGCUAGGGGGAUUAAUUCUUGUUUUAGUACAGGUAAGAUAAUCUUUAACAUCUCCAGACCUGGAAAUUACAUUUUUGUUGUUGAGAUUCACUUGGUUCUUCUAUACAAUCAAAAAAAUUAAGGAUUUAGUUUUUUUUUUUUUUAAACGGAAUUUUCUUUUCCUUUCAGUACUCUUUGCAUUCUGUGUAUGCUGUUUAUUCUGAUUGUCAUUGAUCUCAUGCCUUUACAAGGAAACAGGUAAUAGUUUCAGUGGUAAAUUCAAGUGGAAUUGGUUUUGAUUCUGUUGUUUAGAAAGAUGGAUUGUAGAACUACAGAACAUUAAUCGUGCCACCUCAUGGCUCAUGCAUGCUUUUGGAGUAUUCUUUACCUGUAGAAUUUUUGUUUUUGUAGUUGACUUGGAAUAUAACUUUACCAUUUUUUUCAAAUAAUAAGAAUCAAUGAGUCUCAUCAAUAUUAAUCAAUAAUGAGCUAAAGAUAUAUAACUUGUGUCUCAGAACUAUAUAUGAUAUGCUUGUGAAGGUGUAUUAUUUUAAGUAGAGAUACCAAAUGCUACAGGGAGAAGCAAAAAAGAACAUUCUCCAGUGAAAACCUUCUGACAGAUUACAUUUUUGGGAUAAAAAAGAAACAUUGAGAUCAUCAGCCACACUUUUUCUUCUUGUACUGUUUAAUUAGUUUAGAGGCCUUUUAGUUGGUUUUGCUUGCCUGGAGGUGUCAUACAGUUCACUUUUUGAAUACCCUGGUUUUCUACAGAUUAGAACUUGGUUUCCUUUCACUCCACAGCUUUUGCUUUCCUACAUCACGUCCUUUGGGAUAAUUGAAUAAUGAAUGAAUGAAAACAAUCAAAUAAUUUCUGACAAUUAGUUAAUAACUUUUAUUUUGUAUGACCCUUUUGAUAUGUGUGGUCCUUUAAUUUACGGUUGAAAUAUAAAUAUGAAAAAAGUCUGCCAAUUAGUUUUACAAAUGACUUUUGUGCCAUAGAAUAUAUAUAUUUUUUUUUUGCCGAAAAACAAAACAAAUUCAUAAACAACAUUGUAUUUCACCAAUUAACAGUGCAAGUGUCAUUAUAGUUUCCACAUAUUAGUUCUGUUUUCGUUAGUUUCAUUUUCAUUCUGUUAUGUAACUGAUGUUUCAUUGCUAUAAAAUUAAUUGUCUGUUUCUCUUCACAACUGUUAUUUUGAAUGAUUUUUUCUGAAUUUUAUAAAGAAUUUGUAUAUGACAGGAAAUGAAGCAGAGUGCGAGCAACUUGUAUGGAUUCCUAAAAGGUCUGGUCAGAGUGUUCCUUUCAAUGCAUACAUCUGGCGGCGAGGGACUAUUCCAAUAUGGUGGGGUGCAGAAUUAAAGCUUACUGCUGCUGAAGCAGAAAUUUAUGUUGCAGAUCGGGAUCCUUAUAAAGGAAGUCUGAAGUAUUAUCAGAGGUUGAGUAAUCGAUAUGAUGCUCGAAACUUUGACUUAGCUGUUGGGGAAAAUCAGAAGAAAAAGCCUUUUAUUCCAAUUGUAUGCAUUAACUUGCUUAGGAAUGCGGAAGGGAAAUCAGAAUCUAUUUUAGUUCAGCAUUUUGAGGAAUCUUUGAACUAUGUCAGAUCAACUGGAAAACUUCCUUAUACUCGAAUAAUUUUAAUAAAUUAUGACUGGCAUGCCAGUACAAAAUUAAAAGGUGAACAACUUACAAUUGAAGGAUUAUGGAAGCAUCUAAAAGCACCCACUCAGGCCGUAGGCAUUUCUGAAGGGGACUAUUUGCCAUCACGGCAACGACUUAAUGAUUGCCGAGGUGAAGUCAUCUGCAAUGGUGACUUUGUGGGUGCCUUUUGCUUAAGAUCCCAUCAGAAUGGAGUGAUACGCUUUAACUGUGCAGACUCUCUUGAUCGGACCAAUGCUGCUAGUUAUUUUGGUGCUCUGCAAGUAUUUGUGGAGCAAUGUAGGCGGCUUGGGUUCUCCCUUGACAGUGAUUUUGCAUAUGGCUAUCAGUCAGCUAAUAACUAUGGUGGAUAUACUGCUCCUUUGCCACGAGGAUGGGAGAAACGAGCUGAUGCAGUGACAGGAAAAACAUAUUAUAUCGAUCACAACACUAGGACCACAACAUGGAUUCAUCCAUGCCCAGACAAACCUUGGAAGAGAUUUGAUAUGACAUUUGAGGAGUUCAAGCAAUCAACAAUUUUAUCACCAGUGUCUCAGCUAGCAGAUCUUUUUCUGCUUUCUGGUGAUAUCCAUGCAACCCUUUAUACUGGUUCAAAAGCAAUGCAUAGCCAAAUUCUUAAUAUAUUCAAUGAAGAACCAGGAAAGUUCAAACAAUUUUCUGCAGCACAAAAUAUGAAAAUUACCCUGCAGAGAAGAUACAAAAAUGCAGUUGUCGAUAGCUCUCGUCAGAAACAGCUGGAGAUGUUUCUUGGAUUGAGGCUUUUCAAGCAUCUUCCAUCUGUUUCAGUUCAACCUCUACAUGUAUGAUACUGUAGAACUUCAGAUUACCUAUUCAUACAAUCUGAGUUCAAUGAUUAUCAAUUUUCAUGAGGGAUGGAGACAAUAUUACACUAGCUACUUGUUUCUAACCUAAGCAUCCCUAACUUCUGCACAUAAAUAAAUGAUGCGCAAAGCAUACCAUAGCUAUAUCAAUGCCCAUUUCCUGUUUGAUGUUGACCAAUAAUGUUUGGAAGUUAGCUAUUGCAUGGUAAGAUGAUUUGAAGCUUCAUUUAAAGCUUCUAAGCCAGAGCUUCUAAGUCAUCUGGCUUAGAGAAUUUAAAUGUCCUCCAAAAGUCUGGAAUCACUGUUGCAUCUCAGCCUGAUUGAUAUUUGUUAUUGUUAACUUGGAAAUAUUUUGUUAAUCUUUCGGAUUGAACAACGUCGUGCUAUGAUCAUUAUUCAAGAAAUGACCUCAAGAACUUGUUGCAGUUGAGUGAUUUUUUGGUAAUGAUGAAAAUUAUUCAUGUUUAGGAACAGCUCUUUAGGGGAAAAGCAUAUAUGGGCUGGCUGGCCCUUUUUGGUGUAUUUGAUGAACCAUUUCAUAUCAUGCUGGUAACUGCAGGUUCUUUCUCGACCAUCUGGUUUCUUUCUCAAGCCAGUUCCCAACAUGUUCCCAAGUUCUGAUGGUGGAGCUAGUCUUCUAAGCUUCAAAAGAAAAGACAUGAUCUGGGUAUGGGUUGCAGCUAAACUUAGUCCUUUGUAGCAUUCCUAAUUCUCUGAUUGUCUUUUCUUUGUAGCAUUCUUAAUUCUCUGAUUGUCUUUUCUGUCCUUAAUGGAAUUCAUGCAUUUUUGGUUCUUUAGGUAUGUCCACAAGGCACAGAUGUGGUUGAACUUUUCAUCUACCUUGGUGAACCUUGUCAUGUCUGUCAGCUUCUUCUCACCAUAUCCCAUGGUGCAGAUGAUUCAACAUAUCCAGCAACAGUUGAUGUGAGAACAGGACGCCACUUAGAUGGGCUUAAACUGAUUUUGGAGGUUUGUAUUGGUUCUAUUGUACACCUUGCUUACAAAUUUUUUAUUUUUAAUUUUUAAUUUUGUAUGAUAUGCUCUUUGUUGGUAAAUUUCAUUUGACUUAGAAGAGAUAGUUUUAUCCCAACAGUGGGAUACAUCAUUGAGAUGCAUGGCAGAGUGAAUAUAGUAGACAAAAUCAUUGAGACCCAUGGUGGUGUGAACAUAGUAAACUUUGUCAAACACAGCUAAGAUGAGCAAAUUGUUUCAUUAGCCUUUAUCUUAUCUGCUGUGAUGAUUCAAAUUAAUGCUGUUUGGUAGGUUGCAAAAAAACGAAAUGAGCUGACUGUUCGUAUUAUUUAGUCAGAUCUCUAGCAAUAAGUUGAAGUUCAUUGUCACAUGGGUUGGGAGUAUCGUGGGCUGUGAGUAGUAGAAUGGAUUUAUGGAGUUGAUACAAGUGCCCACAAUCUCUCAUGUCAUUCUAGGAUUAAAUGGAUUGCACAUUACUGUAAAAAUGGAGGUUAAAUUUAUAUAAUUCGGAUUGAUUGUAAAAUGGAAGACAGAGAUGAGUUAGAAAAAGAAUGACCCGUGUCCUUUUUGAGCUGUUUCUAAAUGUCCCUGGUGUGCCUCAUGCUUAACACGUGCCUUUCCAAAUAAUUUUGCUUAACCUGUGCUUGUCUACUUCUUGUGCUAUUCUGUGCCUGGUCCUGAGCUGUAUUGGUAGAUUGACAUCCAGCUUGAACUUUUAGGUAUAUCUUUUGUACAUAAAUUCUGAAUACCCAUGGACUUAGCGUGAUAUAAAGUCAAGGAUCCAUUUAGCUGAGUCCUUCAAGUUUUGUUAGUAUGUCUUCGGAUUAUAAAUAUGUAACAAAAUGAGGUGUAGAAUACAUUUAAAAAGAAAAGGAUAAAAAAACAAAAGAAAUGAAAAGAGGUGUUUAGAAGUAAUAGCUAAACUAGAUACACUCUCACUAAUUAGCGAUUCUGAUGAACAGUGCCCAUAGCUUCUUUUAUACCUUGAAGUUGCAGAAAUUGAUUCUUGGUGAAUUAAGUCACUUACAGACAUAACUUUUUCUUCCAUCUAAUUUUUAUUAGGUUAGAUAGGAGAAGACUUGUUUCAGGGUGUCCUGACCCUAGUAUUAGUUUUCUUGUCAGAUUUUUCAUGAAAAUUUACAAUGCACGUGACAUACAACUUCUAGUAAUCCUAGGACUUUGUUCACAGGGUGCUUCUAUUCCUCGUUGUGGAAAUGGGACAAACCUUUUGAUACCUUUACCAGGAUCAGUUAGUGCUGAGGAUAUGGCUAUUACUGGAGCUGGUGCACGACUUCAUGAUCAAGAUGCACCAACCCUUCCACUGUUGUAUGAUUUUGAAGAAUUAGAGGGAGAAUUGGAUUUUCUUACUCGUUUUGUGGCAGUUACCUUUUAUCCUGCUAUUUCUGGAACAAGUUCCAUGACUCUUGGUGAGGUAGAAAAUAUUUUCAUAAAAUGUUAAUUGAUUUAUCUACGCACUUUAUUCUUAAAUUAGUAUUUUAGACCAUGAGCUUUGUGGAGUGGGUUUGCUGUAACUGCUGCUGGUGACAACAUAAUUGUUAAUAUUAUUACAGAUAGAGAUUCUUGGAGUUUCUCUUCCAUGGAGGGGGGUAUUCAAUAAUGAAGGCCCUGGUGCUAGAUUAAUUGAGCUUGGCAAAAAGUUUCAGAAGGAAACCGAUCCAUUUUUGUCAAAUUCAGUUACAAAUACGGUUCUGUUUUCCAAUGAAAAUGUGUCAACAUCAAUGCAAACAGAAGCUGCUUCCAAUCCUUGGGUUGACCUGUUGUCUGGAGGGGACACAUUUUCUGAUCCUCUUUCAGAGCCGUUUUCUAACCCUCUUUCUGAGCCGUUCUCUGAUCCUCUUUCUGAGUCGUUCUCUGAUCCUCUUUCUGAGCCAGUGACAAGAAAUGUUGCAUCUGGAGGGGCUGAUUUGCUUGAUUUCUUGGACCAGCCUAUAGUUGAAGAUCAUGGUGUGGAAACUUAUAAAAGAUCUUCAACACAGGAUGGCUGUUCUCUGGCUAGUGGUGCCCAGCAGUACAUAAGCUGUCUAAAAUCCCUUGCAGGGCCACGCGAGGUAUAGUACUGCUCUCUUGUGUUUUUUGCAGCUCUACAUCUUAGUAACCUCAUCUUUUUAAUGGAGUAAAUUCUAGAAGUUCAACAAAUUUUGCUUUGCUAAAUGUAUAACUUAUUAAUCAGAGUCCUGUUAUUAUGGUUUGACACUACUGACAUAUUGUGUUGGUAAUUUAUUUGUACGUCCCUUGGUUGAAUUAUUUGCUGUCUCCAUGCCAUUCGAUAUGGUGCUACUUGGUUUUUGAUCAUCCAUGACACUAUAUAUAUAUAUAUGUAAAGGAUGAAUUGAUUGUUUUGGCUUGUAUUCUCACAUUUUAUGAUUGAUCGAUGGAAAGGUCUUCCUGUAUUAAAUUCAACCUCACAAGCAUAAGAUUGACAAAUUCUGGGCAAAUUUUCAGGAAAAGAAACUAGACUUCAUGGAAGCAAUGAAGCUUGAAAUUGAACGUCUGCAGCUGAAUCUUUCUGCAGCUGAAAGGGAUAGAGCUUUAUUGUCAAUUGGAACUGAUCCUGCCUCUAUAAAUCCAAAUGUAUUGCUUGAUGAAUCUUACAUGGGAAGACUGUGUCGAGUAGCAAACACUCUUGCAUUACUUGGCCAAGCUUCCCUAGAAGACAAAAUUGUUGGUGCAAUUGGCCUUGAGAAUAGUGAUGAUAGUGUUUUAGACUUCUGGAAUAUUACUAGAAUCGGAGAGAGUUGUUCUGGUGGUGGGUGCGAGGUUCGUGCCGAAACUAAGGUGCCUGCUCUUGCUUCCUCAACUGCAACAUCUGUUGGAUCUUCACAAUCCCCUUUGUUGUGUUCUCAAUGUGAAAGAAAAGUUUGCAAAGUUUGUUGUGCAGGAAGAGGAGCUCUACUGUUUUCAAAUUAUAAAUCAAGGGAUGUGACCAACUACAAUGGCUUCUCAAGUCAGAGUGGAUCAAGCCAUGGAAGCCAAGUUGAUGUAUCUACCAGUCGUUCACUAACACUGGAUGGCGUUAUCUGUAAACACUGCUGCCAUGAGAUUGUGCUUGAUGCAUUGAUGUUGGACUAUGUUAGGGUCUUGAUUAGCUUGCGAAGAAGUUCCCGUGCAGACAACGCAGCAUACAAUGCUUUGAAUGAGGUUGUUGGAUCCUGCUUAAAGGAUAGUCUUUCUGAGAGGAUUCAGUCUUCCGAUAACGUGCAAGCAGCUGAAGUCCUUCACCAAUUAUGUGGUGGACAGGAAGCACUUGCUGAAUUUCCAUUUGCUAGCUUUUUGCACUCGGUAUGUUCUUGGUUUGUAUUCAGUUCUCAUCAUAUUAUGUUUUCCUUUUAAAUUUCUUUUCUUGAUUAAAAUUUUUAGAAAUAUGUUUUAGCAUUUAUUCUUAUGAUAUAUGCCCAGAACAUUCAUCCCACUUAUCCAUGAGAAUCCUUGUCUGGUUUGAUUUUCAAUUGAGACAUUUUUGGGAACCCUGAGCAGGUUCCAUAUGCUAAUAAUCUUUGAGGUAAGGUGUUGUAGGAUGCCUUGAGAAGCUAAAAACCUAUUACAAGUAAAAGCUCUUGCAUUGUUUUGUGCAAUCUGUGUGCGAGCAAGUCAUGUCUCUAAUAAUUUCAUAGUUUGCUUGAUUGGAAUUUUUUAUCUUGAUAUGGAUUGUUUAUUCUAGAUUCCUUGGUGCCACUGUAGGUUGAAACAGCAAAAGAUUCAGCACCGAUUUUGUCACUGCUUGCUCCAUUAAAUUCUGGAUCAAGGCACUCAUAUUGGAGAGCUCCACCUAGUAUUACUUCUGUUGAAUUUGUUAUUGUUCUCGGUUCUGUUUCUGAUGUCAGUGGGGUUAUCUUGCUUGUUAGUCCUUGCGGCUAUUCUGUGGCUGACACUCCGAUGGUAAGUGCCAUAUUUAUUCCCUUAUUUCCUUGUUGUUCAAUAAAUUUGGUGAUAAGCCAAGUGGCCUUAAUAAUGAAGCCCAGUACCAGGGGUGGUGGGUAAUAGAUAUUCAACUUGUGAAUAUUCCUAAGCAAACACUGAAUCAACAUAUACCUCGGCAAAAGUUCUCUAUGCUAUGAUAAUGGAAGUCAUAUUUUGAAAUGAUUAAAAGAGUCCCUGUGUAGUGCCAUUUCCAACGAAAUUGCAGCUGGGGGUUUAGUUUCAUGUAGGUUAGUUUCCGAUAAUAAACUUUCCAUUUCAUUAAUUGCUGAUGAAAAAACCAAGUAAGAACAGUUUUGUUGCUCAUCAUUUUUGUAUAUUUUGGUAAACUGUAAUUUUAAAUUCUCAACGAUCUUCCCUUUGUAGGUAAGAAGAUGGUCCACUCACUUGAUAUUUAUGAUUGUAGAUCAGGUUUCUAUUGGUUUGCCUUUAUCAUUUGGAACCCAUGUUUGAUAUUAACAGAGAUCACAUCAAUAAUAUCCUAUUUGGGUAGAUGUGGGUGAGGAUUUAAAAUCAAAUUUGAAAUUGAGGGGAAAGAAGAGAAAAGGAACCACAAUAAUUAAACAAAAUAAUAGGAACUAUUCUGAUGAGUUUUAAUCUCGAGAGGAACAAUUUUCAAAUGCACUGCUAGAGAAAUUGUAGCUUUUUGUCAUUAGUUAAAAGGAAAAAGAAUAAGAACUAUCCGGCCCUUUCCUUCAUGAAUGUGUGUUGAGGUUGCUGUAUUAUUUAGUCAGUAUUUGUAAUUUUCUUCCCUGCAGUGCUCUCUGCCUCCUGAAUUUGCUUCCUAUUGCUGUUACAGGUGCAAAUCUGGGCAAGCAAUAAGAUACACCGGGAGGAAAGGUCAUCAAUGGGAAAAUGGGAUGUCCAAUCCCUCACCACAUCUUCUUCAGAUUUGUAUGGUCCAGAAAAGUCUGCUAGUGUUGAAAAAUUACCUAGGCAUGUAAAAUUUACGUUUAAGAAUCCUGUUAGGUGCCGCAUUAUUUGGAUCACAUUACGUCUUCAGAGACCUGGUUCGGCUUCAGUUAAUUUCGGGAAGGACCUCAGUCUUUUGUCUCUUGAUGAAGAUGAAAACCCCUUUGCACAAGUAGACAGACGUGCUUCAUUUGGAGGAGCAGUUGAAAAUGAACCAUGUAUUCAUGCCAAAAGAAUUCUUGUAGUCGGAAGCCCAGUAAAAAGGGAGGGGCUUACCACAUCACAGAGCUCUGAGCAGCUAAGUAUUAGAAACUGGUUGGAUAGAGCUCCACAAAUGAGUAGAUUCAAGGUAUUAGUUGCUUUCACUCUUUGUUCAUUCAUAAUUCCAGCUUUCUGCUUCACUGAUAAACCUCUUUUUUCUCUUCAGGUCCCAAUUGAGGCCGAGAGAUUGAUGGACUACGAUCUCGUCUUGGAACAGUAUCUACCUCCAGUGUCACCUUCACUUGCUGGAUUCCGUCUAGACGCUUUCAGUGCAAUAAAACCUAGGGUUACCCAUUCACCUUCCUCAGAUUCAGAUAUCUGGGACAAAUCAGUAACAUUUUUAGAAGAUAGGUACAUCUCUCAAGCUGUGUUGUAUUUACAAGUAUCCGCACUCCAGGAACCACAUAACAUGGUAACUAUUGCGGAAUAUCGACUGCCGGAGGCUAGAGCCGGAACGCCAAUGUACUUUGAUUUCCCACGACCGAUACAGUCCCGACGAGUUUCAUUCAAGCUUCUUGGAGAUGUUACAGCAUUUGCAGAUGAACCUUCAGAACAAGAUGAUUCAGGAUUGAGAGCUCUACUUGUGGCCACAGGUUUGUCUUUGUCAAACAGAAUCAAGUUAUAUUAUUAUUGUGAUCCUUAUGAGCUCGGAAAAUGGGCAAGCCUUUCUGGAGUUUGAUCAUUAUUUAUAUGUCAGAGAAAGAGUUUUGGGUUUGAUUUUGAUUUUGAUUUGCAUUUUUUGUCAGUUUAUUGAAAUUUUUUCGUGGUAUAAAAUCAGAAUGUAAAGGUAUAAAAAUUCAUUGAUGCUGCAAUGUCUGCUUUUGAGAAAGAAGAAUUCAACGUCUUUUCUAUGCCAUUGUAUUUUCCACUGCUUGUAAACUUGGGCUGUCGAAUGCUCUGUGAACCUUAAGGGCUAAAGUAAUUUUCAAGACUGAAGGAUUUAUUAAUCGAGUUCAAAAGAUUGCAAGUUGGUGAGCGUUGGCAUUUAAAAAUCAAUUGUUAUUCUCUCAAUAAUCUCUCUCUUCUGCCGACACCCCAAGCUCAGAAACCCGUUGUUCCGACGGACGUGUAACACUUCUAGAAAUUAGCAUUUUCUUCUACAUGAAGGUUGGUCUCUCCUCGUGAAGUGUUUUCUUUUUUGAGUGAAGGUGGUUUUCUACUUACAUAUGUCGAGGGUCUUACGAUAUCUAAUGUGUGAAAUUUCUCUCUCAUUUUACCAUAAAGAAAAUGUUUGUAAUGAUCUGAAGCUUGAGUCUUAAAUUAUCUUAAAUUUAUAUUUAGGGUGGAGCUAUUGGCAUCCCUACAUUAUUCUUACAAAAUUCCACUUUAAAUAAAAUUACAAUUAAGAACAAUUAAAAAUUAAACACUUAUAAUUUUUUGUACAGCAAAUUACUUAAUUUAUAAUCAAUUCUUUUAAAAUAUAUAUAUAUAUUUGUUACUUCUUAUCUAACUAAAAUAAAUUGUACAAAUUUAGAAUAAUCUAUUGUUCUUUUUUGAUUUCUUAUUGAUUUAAUAUUUUUAUACUUAAAAUUACUUUGAAAUUAUAAUUUGAAAUAUGUGUUAUUUUAGCCAAUAAUUAACACUUAAAAACUUAUCACCCAUAUAACUUUUUAAUUUGUGUGUAGGGUAAUAAUAAAAUUGAAAAUAAUUAAAAAUAGCACAAUAAUGAGUUUUAACAAUAAAACAAAUCAAAUGAAUAUUUAAAAUUUUAAAAAGUAUAUCUAGAAAAAGAGGUAUUUUCGGAAAUAGUUUGCAUAUAACUAAAAAAAAGUUUUAUGAGGAGAUCAGAUGGGUGCCAAUAGUCCACCUCGUAAUUAAGAAUCUCCCAUUAUAUUGUGAACCAAAAAGACACUUGCAUAAGAAGAAGAAUUUUUCUGUUUGAUUUUAUUUGUGGAUCCAACAUUUCUCAUAUCUUGAGCGCCUUUCCGUAUCAAAUUAAAAUAGUAGUAGCAAAAUUGUAGUGCACAUUCAAUUAAUCAACUAAUAGUCUAAGAAGCAAAGAGAGGAUUACAAGUUCACAACACCAUUACAAAGGAUUCAAAAUUCCCACACGAAAACAUCAAUGUACAGAUAUAAACAAUCCUAAUUGGACACAAGAAAAACCCUUAAAUGGAUUGCUUGCCUUCCCAAUGCUACAUACCCUGCAAACUGCUUACUGGCCAAGAAAAUGUUUUCAAUUUAGUGUAUUUUCAAAAUGCUUAUUUUCUCAUAAUAUUAAAAAAAUAAAAUAAAAAAGAAUUCUUACAUGUUUCAUCAGCAUGAUUAAAAUCAAAGAAGAAAGAGAGACAUAAUGUCUCUGACAUAAUAAAAUUAUAAAAAUUUCAAGAAAAAAAAAGGUUAAAACAUGUAAGGUGGAUGAUUGAAAACAAUUGUAUGAUGGUAACCAUCAUCUUAAACAAAUAAAAUAAGGUAUGUUCAAAAGUAAUAAGGAAUACAUAGACAAAACAUCAUCUUAAACAAAUCAUAAUCUAGAAUUGGAGCAUUUUCGACAUACCUAAGGAGAAAGAAUACGUGAAAAUAGGUGAUUCAUUUGUUAAGGAGUGUUGAUUUGGUCGUCUCUGCAAAUUCUUUAGGGACUCGGUUCCAGUUCCUCUUCAUCAAAACUGUAAUAUAAUUCCCCUUCAUCAGAACUCGAAUCAAAUUCACUUGCAGCAGUUCCACUCGCGCUUGGCAAAUCAUCCAAUUUCCAAACUUCGGUACCAAAAUUGAGAGUAAAAGUGUUGGCUUUGAUCUCGCUGCGAUUUGCAUAUACCGGACAUACUCCGUAACGUUUUAUCUUGUGACCCUUUUGGUUUCGGUAACACUCAUUGAAGAACUUAAGUGAGACAGUUGUAUGAUGGUAACCAUCAGGAAAGCCAACAUUCAAGCAAGGUUUAAAACAAAGUAUGACAUGAUCUGAAUCAAGGGAGUAUUUAGAAUAGGUAGAAAAACCCAGAUCAACAUAUUUGGUUUCAGAGAGAGUCUUUAUUUCUAAGUCGGAUUGAAAGAUGACGUACCAAUCGCACUUGCAACGAGAACAAACUUUCUUAGAAUCAAGAACAGCACAAAAAGCAAACCCGAUUAAGUUUCCGCAAAAAGAUUGCGGUGGCAGUUGAAUACAUAUCGAAGAUUCUGAACUUUGAUGGCUGAACCAGUCAGGAAUUUCGCUCCCAGGUAAAACAAUUAGGGAUCCCCAGAGUUCAGAAAGUUUCUGUGAAAUGACAUUUAAAAAAAGAAAAUUGUAAAUUGAAAACCAUGAUUUCAGAUAUAACAAAGAGGGACAGAGUAAACAAGAGAGGGAAUUUGAUACCUCGUUGAUUGCCUUUUCAUAGCCCAAUCUCAGUGAUGCAAUUGCCAUAUGCCGAAUUCUUAGUCGUGAAUCUGCCAAAAUCUUGUUGUUUGCUUUUCCAUCAAGUUUCAAGCAGUUAGUAAACUCAAAACAAAUUGCUGCUGACUCCAGAGAUUGAAUAAGGUCAGGAGAGGGUUUCGAUAACUUUUCGAGUACGGAUGCAUCUAGUUCUUGUAGACAUGACGGAAUCUCUGGCAAAGAUUGAAGCCGCUUGCAGUUCCUUGCUUUUAGUGAUUGUAGACACAAUGGAAGUUCUGGUAAUGACCGAAGCAUGUUACAACCCGUCAAGUCAAGAGAUUCAAGACACAAUGGAAGUUCUGGUAAUGACUGAAGCAUCUUACAACGCUCCAAGUGAAGAGACCUCAGCCGCGACAGUUGCUUGAUACUUGCAGGUAAACUCUCAAAGUUAUUUCCACUUAGAUGCAAGCCUGUCAGUGAGGAUAGACAGGCAAUCUCUUGUGGAAUUUCCAUUACAGCACAGUUCCUUAUAUUUAGACGUCCCAAAGAAGAUAAACCUAAUAAUAAUGAUCGAGGCAAUGAUACCAAACCUUUGCAUCUAGAGAACUCAAGAAUUCUAAGUACGUUUGAAUCUGCAACAGAGGAUGGUAGUUGACUAAUAGCUGAUCCAGCUGCACAGAUGUAACGCAAAGAUUUUAAAUUGCCAAUGUUAUCCGGCAACUUAUCAAGUUUAGAGCAAUCUUCUACGAACAAUACUUCAAGUCCCGGUAGAUUUUCAAAUGACGAUGGCAGCUCUGUAAUUGCCGUAUGGCCUAAAUAGAUGCGUUUUAAAUGUUCCAUUUUCUCCAAGAUUUCUGGGAAACGCUCAAGGUUCACGCAGCCAUUAAGAAAAAGAUCAACCAACGAUCUCAAUUUACAAAACCCAGUUGAAAUCAUCUUCAGCCGUUUGCAAUCCCUCAAAUCCAACACUAUAAGAUCAGUUAGGCACUCUAUUGAUGAUGGAACUUCUUCUAUUGCAGACUGGAUUAAGUAUAGCCGUGUAAUUUUCCCAGAAAUCUGUGGAAACUCUACGAGAUUAACACAAUAGGAGAAAUUAAUAGUUACUGGACAAACAAAAUGAAGAUUGGUUGGAAAAGACCUAAGACUUUUGCAGCCCAUAAAAUCCAACCUACUGAGAUACUUGAAAUUCUGGAUAGAUGAGGGAACACAAGCCUUUUCUCCUUCCCAAAGUUGCUCAACUUUACUUAAACGCAAAUUCAGUUGAACGAGGUUCUUUGGCUUGAAAUUUGAUGGCAGUGUCCUUAAUGGAUAUGUGUCCCAAUGAAGAUAUCUCAAUUUUUUAGGAAGAUAAUCUAGACCAUUUGGAAGCUGCACUUUAGAGUAUGAAAGUUGCUCUUCAAUGAUCAUACUUAGAAACCUUUCAAUCCCAUAAAACUUAGGUACAUAAAAUUUGAGCAAUCUCAUACUAGACAUAUUUGUGAAGGUUCCGGGGUCUAAAUUAAUGCCUUUUAUUUUGGACAAAUCCAGAAAUAUGCCUUCAAUUGCAUCGGUCCCCUUAUUAAAAAAAAAACAAAGAAUGAGUAAUCCUAAAACAGAAAAGAAACAUUCGUAAACUUUAUUAACUAAGAGCUCCUUAAACAAAAACAAAUUCUGCAAUCUUUGAUUUUAUUUUUUUAAUAUAUUAAAUAUCUAUAUGCGAGAAAAGAAAAUUUUGGGGGCCAUUGCAAAAUUAAACUAACCGAAAAAAAAAAUUCAAAAUUUCUCUAAUUUACAAACCUGUUAUCUUAAUAUCUAGAAGUUGAGAAGACAAGGCCUAUUUGAUUGGUAUAAGAUUUCAAUUUUUUUUUUUUUUUUUUUUUUUUUUUGUCGAUAGAAUCCAAAAUGUUAGUUCAAAAUUAGGGAAAAAAAUGAAAGUCAUUUUUUUUUCCACUAGCUGUAAUUGUAUCCAAGUCAAAUUGAGAUACAACCCUUUUUGAAAGAAUUUAACCAUCUUACAACCUCCUUAAGGUACAUUUAAGAUAAAAGGAGUGAUUGGAGGCAGAACUAGGUGGGCCAAUCAGUCCAUUUUAUUAGCGACUGUUGCUUAAAAAAAAUUAUACUCUAAAACACACUUACAUUUUUGAAAAAAUAUAUAAUUAUAUUGAAGUAGAACCAGGUGGGCCAACCCUCAUGGCACUCACUUUGUUCUGACACUUUUCACUAAAUUUGAAGAAAAAUAAAAUUAUACUCUUCACACUCUUAUUCAACAUUCCAAAUUUGAUAAAAUCGGGAGUUUUCUUUAAAAAUUUAAAAUUUGAAGACUUGUUCUCUUGACACCCUCAGUCAUUAAUUUUACCUAAUUAUGGGUUUUAUGAUUUUGGUUGUUUUGUUCAUAAAAAUGCUUUUACUAAAGGAUGUUCUGGUAAUAAUAAAAUUUAUAAAAAAAACAUGGGUGUGCUGGUAUGGUUGGAAAAAUAUGAGUGCAUAACUCCAAACAAAUAAAAGAUAUAUAUAAAAAAAAAUGGAGGAUUCUUACCUUAUUAUGCUUGAGUACGCGGCGGAUUUCCUUAGGAUCCCACAACCUGCUGCGUUUGCCUGGCUCUUUCUCAGAUUCUUGGCGAACAAUCCGUCGCCCCAUUUCUUGCAAUAAAAUCAUGCAUUUGCAAGCAAUUCCCUGAUACUGAUAUGAGUGACUUAUCAAUAAGGACAUUCACGUCAUUCAGUCCAUAAGACUUAGAAUCAUCAAGUAUCCUUAUCACAAAAUCUUUAUCCUCUCCCUCAAAGAAACAAGCAAUAUCUAGAAAUACACUCUUGACAUUGGGCGUUAAUUCAUUAAAACUAAUCUUUAAUAUAUCAUACAUAUUAUGAAUAUCAGAUUCACAAAUCCGAUUUAAGUCGUCCAAUACGUUUCCCCAAUGGCUUUUCCUCUUGAGGGAGGAACCCAACACUUUAAGAACUAAUGGAUUGCCAUCAGCAUACUUUACAACUCUCCGUGACUCACGUUUGAAAUCUUCAGGACAAUGCUUUUCUUUAAAAGCGAAGUUACAAAAAUGCUCGAAAGCCUCAUCAAAUUUCAAUCCAUUAACCCUAUAUAUUUUCUCCACUGGAAACGUCUCGAGGACAUGUUUAUUCCUAGUGGUGAUGACAAUUCUACUUCCUGGACCAUACUGAUCAAGCCCUCCAAUCAAACCCUCUAAUUGUCCAUCUUUACUCACAUCAUCAAGCACAAUCAACACCUUCAUGCGUCGGACCCUCUCUUUAGUAAAUUGUGGAAUAUUGGGACCAUCUACUUUAAGUUUUUCUCUUAAUAUCCUUGAAAGAAUUUGCUUUUGUAGAUCUUCUAAUCCAUCCCCUCGUUCUAUAUUUCUCCUAACAUCUGACAUAAAGCACCUACCUUCAAACUCUCUGGAGAAUUGAUUGAAAAUAGCUGUGGCAAGGGUGGUUUUGCCUAUACCACCCAUGCCCCAAAUUCCAACAAUUUGGACAGUAUCCCACAAAUCCAUGCACAGAAAUGGUUUAAUCUGCUCAAUUCGUGAAUUUAAUCCAACUAGGCCAUUGGAUGAGUCCGUUGAGACUGUUAUUUUUUCCAUCUUCUUCAAAACAUCUUCGACAAUUUUGCUUACAAGUUGCGCAUCAUGCCUAAUAUGAAGGUGCAAAGAUGCAAAAACAUUGAGUCAAAUCGGGCCAACACAGAAACAGAGAUAAGAUGAAUUAGGAAAGAGAGUUACCUGAAUUUCGUGGAUUCGUGGCCAGCUAGAUGGGAUGUUUCUUUCAGUGCAUCCCUCCACUUCUGAACCAUUUCUGGCUUCUCUUUGAACUGUUGUUCGAGCUUAUCAAAACCGUGCCCAAAAAUUCCAGCUUGAUGCCGAACAUCGGACGGACUUACGCUAUAGAAAACUGGAAUAACGAUUUGGCCGUUUGUGUGCUUGCAUUCAAGAAUCUUGACAAGUUCAUUCAGGCACCAUUUUGAAGAAGCGUAGUCCUUUGAGAAAAUGACGACCGAAAUUUUCGAACCUUCGAUUGCGUUCAAAAGAGCAGGUGAAAUCUCAUCUCCUCGCCUAAGCUCUUCAUCAUCAAUAAACGUUUUGAUUUUCGUUCUUUCAUUCAAAUUAUAAUAGAGAUGGCAUGUAAAGCUCACGCGAGUGUCCUCUCCUCUGAAACUGAGGAAUACAUCAUAAUUGCAACAAGAAGAAGAGGAAGCCAUGAAGGAAAUUUUAGAAAUUUGGUGACAGAAACAGAGAAUUAAUCUUGAGAGUUGAGAGGGGAUAUGUAAGAAUGAAAAUGCGUAAAUAGUAAAUGAUUGAAUUAAUCUGGCGAGUAAAUAGUAAAUAAUUGAAUGGCCGGAGCUUUCUUAGUUUCCUGGAAAUUUCCUGGAGCUUUCGUAUACAUGAUUUGUCAAGUCAAGAAACAUAAUCAUGAUAAUGGGGCAGACCAGGAAGGAAAGAAAAUUUGAUCCAACCAAUAAAGGAAGGAAAAGUAAAGAAAGAAAAUUUGAAAGUAGAUUCAGAGAAUUAUAAAAAGCUAAAGGAUAUUGGAAUUUUGUACAAUUUCUCUAUUACAGUUUGGAUUAAGAUUUGAGCAAGCGGCCAAAACUACAUUGCGUCAGGGCUUUGGUGCCACACUCGUUUGUCUGUUAGUAGCAUUGGAUUUGAUCUGACGGCUGCAGAAGAGACACAAACAUAAAGAGGAGUAACCUGAGGAAAAGGUAAUAAGCCGGUUACCUGCAGAAAAUAAGUGCAUGAUAAAAUAACACAAGUAAUGAACACAAUGGAAGCGUAUAUGCAAGUAAUGGUUGGAAACAACUUGCUGGAAGCGUGCAAGUAUUGGUUGGGCACAGACCGACAUUAAAUUUCGCAAAUAGUGUCUGAAACAUUUGCAAAUACUUAAUUCAAAACGUCAAUAAAUGCUGGAAAAAAUACAUAUUUUUUUAUUUUUUAUUAAGAAUACAUUUAAAAAAAGAAUAAUUAUUAAUGGUACAUAUUUGUAACAAUUAUACCAAAAACAAUUAUCCAUAUAUUUAAAAAAAAUGUUAACAAUACAUAUUUUUUAGAAGUAUACAUAUUAUAUCAUAAAAAAAUUGAGUUGGAGCUUCGACAAGUAGAUCUUAAAAAACUAAGGUUGAAUUUUGGAGGAGCAGAUUCGGUCGUGGAGUAACAUUUGUUUAUUAUUAUUAAUUUAUUUUGGUAGUCCUAGUGAAACAUCGUUGUUUCACAUAGAUGAUGUCGCAGUUUGAUAGACGGGAUGACAUGUGAUUUUUUAUCAAAUAUAUCGGGCCACAUGGCAUUUUUGACUAGGUGAAUGGAGUGACAUGUUAAUUUUUUUUUUUUUUAAUCAAAGGUUCUUCUAUCUUAGAAGACUAGAUUAGCCUUAUGAUGUCAAGACUUGGAAACGACAACUAACUGACUAGUGGAUAGCAGACACAUGUUGUCAACUUAGGGUAUACAAGGAUACAUGUUAAAAGUAUUGUAGUAUAUGUGAUACAAGUGUCAUGGAAGGCUAUAUGAGUGAUAAUUACUCAUUAAACUAUAAGUUGCAAUAAUUUAACACAACAAGUGCCAAUUAAAAUGUAAUAAUUUAAAAAAAAUUAGGUAUUCUCCGUCUGUCUCCCUCUCAAUCAAUGUGUCCUACUUUGAAUGUUAAUAUUUAUUAUCAAACAUAAAAAAAUUCUAAAAUAUUAAAAAAAAAAAACAGAGUCUUCUAGGCACAUAAAUUAGAGUAGUUUCGUGAACAAAGAACUUGAGAAAGAUAAUGGUGGCACUCUCUUAGAAGGAAUCUAUGGGGUUAAUGUUUUCUUCCCUAUGUCUAUUUUAUGUAUCUUAGUUUCAAAAACAAGAUGUACACAAUUAGGGGUUGGUUAAUGCAGUUAAAACGGUGGAAAAAGGCUUAUAGAAAUAAAAUAUAAUUGUAAUGCAGUGUUUGGUAUGAAUAAGUAAACUAAAAAUAAGACAAUUGGGUAUACGAAUUUAUAAUGCGAUAAUAAUAUUUUUUCCCUAAGACGACCCGUAGGGUAAGAUUAUAGACUAAAUUGUUGUGUUAUGUUAAUGAUACGAUAUAAAAGUGUUGUUUUAGAAGCUGUAAAAGUUAGUUAAUGUGAAAUUUGUUUUUAAAGGUAAUUGUCUUGUAACCCCUUGUUUUUAAGGGUAAGAUUAUAGACGCAAUUUGUUUGUUUUGAAAAAAAGUCCCUUAUGUUGAGCUGGACUUUUUUUCGUCUUCACAAGUCCCUUUUGCCGAGCUGGAAUUUUUCUGACAGAGUCUCCGUUUGUUCCCAUAAUAGCGGCGAGAAUCUGGCCGAGCCUCGAUGAUAGCUCGUUGCUACGACACGUGACUGUGUCCAUUGAGUCUCUAUUCGAAAUCCAAAUGUCGACGACAACGGCCGCCUCCACUAACGGUUCUCAAAUCACGCCGUGCGUUGAUGACGUGGCGGUGGCAAUUAACAACAAUAACUUCAACUCGAAGGAGAGAUUCAACGACCGUGAUUUUUUGUUGAAGCAGUCGUAUUCGUUUGGAUUCGAGCGGAGUCUUGCAUCGAAGAGGAUGGUGAUGGAGGCGGUAAUGGCGUUGCCGUGGAAGUACAAGAGGGGGAGUUACUGGAGCAAACAGUCGUCUCCGUUUGGCUCAUUGACGAAGUCUAGAGUCUUCUGGAGCAAAGGAUUAUAUACUUAUCCUCUUUGUUUUCCUUUUACUGAUACUGUAGCUUUAGCCGAUUACCCAUUUUCCAAGUGUUAAACAUGAGCCGUUGUUACCUUUCUUUACUAUCUAAAUGGUCAUUCGCAAAAGGACAAAUGACUAGGGUAUCAAACCCCUUACGCAAUGUAGCUGGACCCUUAGCAAAGCAUUCACCUAAAUCUUACCUCCGCUGUAAAUUCUUAAGUUUUGAAAAUUAUGAGACCUUUAUAUUGGGAGAUAUUAUAAUCAAAUGAAAAGUUAAAAUUUUAAUAUUGUUAAUAAAUGACAAAGCCAUUUCAUUUCUCUUUUACAUGUUAUUAAUUUUUGUAACACGGGGUGGCAACAUAAGCAUAAUCAAGUAAAGCAAAAGGGUUUCAAAUUAUGGUGGUAAAACGUGAAGAAGGAUGCCAACUGAAUAAUUCCUUCCACAAAACGAAAAAUAAUCACAGAAAAAGGAAUCUCUUAUAAAAUGUUUGCGUAUUUUUUAUAAGGUUUGAAACUUUAGGUGGUCGGUAAAUGAUUUCUUAAUUGAAUAAUAUAUAAAAAAGCUAAUUAUUUAUAAUUUUAAAUAAUCUGAAUUUGUAUGUUAGAAAUUUCAUCUCUUUUAUUUUUGAGAAUUUUUCAUAAAGAAUAGAGAACAUAAUGUUAACAUUUAAAGUAACACAUCUCAAUCGUCGAAAUUAUUUUUCUAUUAAAUCCAACGAUAACGAAUUAAUGUCAGAAAAGGACAAAAUUAGUGGUGGCUUGCAAUAAUUGCAAGGUAGCUUUUGUAAAGACAGAAAUGUGAUGGAUUCAAAAAGAAAUUGAAGUGAUAAUGUACGUGGAUCCUUAAAAUAAAAAGCCGAAUCGCUUGGUGGCCCAGUAAAAUUACGAUUUGAAUUUUUUUUUUUUUUUUUUUUACACAAUGUGUCAAGCACAUAAAUGACGAAAGCCAUUUCAUUUCCCUUUCACACGUCAUUAACUUUUGUAACACGGUGUGUUCAUCGUCAAGUGAGGCAAAAGGGUUUCCAUUACAGUGGGAAAACAUGAACAAGAAUGCAUAAUGAAUAAUUCCUUCGAUAAAGCGAAAAUUAAACAUAAAAUAAUCCUAAAAUUUAAACUCUAAUAUCCUUCGAUAAUGUAUUGAUUAAAAAUAAUCCUAAGAGUUUCCAAUUGAAACUUCCGUAAGUAUUUUUAUUGUUUUGGAUAAACAAAUUGCACUAGGAUAAAAAUUUGGUAAAUUCAGAGGAUAAUAGAAAAUAGCUAUGGUUCAAUAGGCCAAAGAUUAGAGAACAAACAAGAAUUAGUUAUUGAUAUACAAAAGAGAAACACUCCAAAAUUUCAAGCAAAAAUAGUUUCAUAUACCAUUUCGAUUUUGGAAGGGGUGAGGUUUUGAAAUUCAAUAGUUUCCUCUAAAAUCAAAAGGCAGCAAUUAAGUUAGAAAGAGCAAAGAAGACUUAUUGGUACCUUAUUGAAGCUGAACAUUAUGGAACUUUCAAUGUCAUUACCUCACUGUUCAAUUUUUAUUGAGAUUUGUGCAAGCAUUUACCUAAAUUUUACCUCCGCCUGUAAAUUCAUAAGUUUUGAAAAUUUUGAGACGUUAUAUUGGGAGAUAUUAUAAUCGAACUAAAACUUAAAAUUUCAAUAUUAUUAUUCUUUGAAAAAAAAAUGAGAUAUCAGAGUAAUAUCACAUAGAAUGGUAAGCCAAAAGUCUAAUCAACCACAUGCAUAAAGCUAACUAGAACAAGUGAACAGAGAAACGCGUGGGUCCCUAAAAGAAAAGGCAAGCACAUAAAGAAAACGGAAAACAAACGCCAGAGAAAAGAAUUUCUUAUAUGCCUUGAUAUUGAUUAAUAUUCAGCGAUAGCUUAAUGCUUACCAUCAAGCAACUUUGAAAGCAGGAAGCUAUAUAUGACAAGAAAUCAAAGUAAUGUGAAGGAACAUGAUGAUGAAAUUGCAGGCCAGCACAAAAACACCCAUACCCCUGAUUUGUUUAAAUGUACACGAAGACCUUAAGGUUUGGUAAAAGAAAAUUGAAUUUAUAUUGUAUUAUAAUACAAUUUUUUUUAAACCAUCAAUGAUAAAAUCUUCUUACUUUUUUCCAUCCUUUGGAUCAAUAAGUACAAAUUUCUCAUCUAAAUCUUCAUACUUUUUACAAAUGACUUUUGUGCCAUAGAUUUUUUUUUUCUUUUUUUGGUUUUGCCGAAAAAACAAAACAAAUUCAUAAACAACAUUGUAUUUCACCAAUUAACAGUGCAAGUGUCAUUAUAGUUUCCACAUUUUAGUUCUGUUUUUUUUAGUUUCAUUUUCUUUCUGUUAUGUAACUGAUGUUUCAUUGCUAUAAAAUUAAUUGUCUGUUUCUCUUCACAACUGUUAUUUUGAAUGAUUUUUUCUGAAUUUUAUAAACAAUUUGUAUAUGACAGGAAAUGAAGCAGAGUGCGAGCAACUUGUAUGGAUUCCUAAAAGGUCUGGUCAGAGUGUUCCUUUCAAUGCAUACAUCUGGCGGCGAGGGACUAUUCCAAUAUGGUGGGGUGCAGAAUUAAAGCUUACUGCUGCUGAAGCAGAAAUUUAUGUUGCAGAUCGGGAUCCUUAUAAAGGAAGUCUGCAGUAUUAUCAGAGGUUGAGUAAUCGAUAUGAUGCUCGAAACUUUGACUUAGCUGUUGGGGAAAAUCAGAAGAAAAAGCCUUUUAUUCCAAUUGUAUGCAUUAACUUGCUUAGGAAUGCGGAAGGGAAAUCAGAAUCUAUUUUAGUUCAGCAUUUUGAGGAAUCUUUGAACUAUGUCAGAUCAACUGGAAAACUUCCUUAUACUCGAAUUAUUUUAAUAAAUUAUGACUGGCAUGCCAGUACAAAAUUAAAAGGUGAACAACUUACAAUUGAAGGAUUAUGGAAGCAUCUAAAAGCACCCACUCAGGCCGUAGGCAUUUCUGAAGGGGACUAUUUGCCAUCACGGCAACGACUUAAUGAUUGCCGAGGUGAAGUCAUCUGCAAUGAUGACUUUGUGGGUGCCUUUUGCUUAAGAUCCCAUCAGAAUGGAGUGAUACGCUUUAACUGUGCAGACUCUCUUGAUCGGACCAAUGCUGCUAGUUAUUUUGGUGCUCUGCAAGUAUUUGUGGAGCAAUGUAGGCGGCUUGGGGUCUCCCUUGACAGUGAUUUUGCAUAUGGCUAUCAGUCAGCUAAUAACUAUGGUGGAUAUACUGCUCCUUUGCCACGAGGAUGGGAGAAACGAGCUGAUGCAGUGACAGGAAAAACAUAUUAUAUCGAUCACAACACUAGGACCACAACAUGGAUUCAUCCAUGCCCAGACAAACCUUGGAAGAGAUUUGAUAUGACAUUUGAGGAGUUCAAGCAUUCAACAAUUUUAUCACCAGUGUCUCAGCUAGCAGAUCUUUUUCUGCUUUCUGGUGAUAUCCAUGCAACCCUUUAUACUGGUUCAAAAGCAAUGCAUAGCCAAAUUCUUAAUAUAUUCAAUGAAGAACCAGGAAAGUUCAAACAAUUUUCUGCAGCACAAAAUAUGAAAAUUACUCUGCAGAGAAGAUACAAAAAUGCAGUUGUCGAUAGCUCUCGUCAGAAACAGCUGGAGAUGUUUCUUGGAUUUAGGCUGUUCAGUUCAUUUUUUUGUGGUAGAAAUGUCGUCAUUUUAAAUUUAGUGUAUUUUCAAAAAGCUUAUUUUCUCAGAAUAUAAAAAAUAAAAAAAUAAAAAAAGAAUUCUUACAUGUUUCAUCAGCAUGAUUAAAAUCGAAGAAGAAAGCGAGACAUAAUGUCUCUGACAUAAUAAAAUUACAAAAAUUUCAAGGAAAAAAAAGAAGUUAAAACAUGUAAUCUUCAGAAGCAUAUAAUAAAAGAGCACUUCCACAAAUUACUACAAUUUCAUGCAGUAGAGAUUGAAGAGUUGAAUUCCACUUAUAGACACCGACCUCUUGUUUUGUCUAAUGUUAAAAUUACAACCUCUUGCUUUGACUUAUUAGCAGGUUUCAAAAGUAAUAAGGAAUACAUAGAUAAAACAUCAUCUUAAACAAAUCACAAUCUAGAAUUAGAGCAUUUUCGACAUACCUAAGGACCACGAAUACGUGAAAACGGGUGACUCAUUUGUUAAGAAGUGUUGAUUUGAUCGGCUCUGCAAAUUCUCUUGGGACUCGGUUCCAAUUCCUCUUCAUCCGAAGUUCCACUCGCGCUUGGAAAAUCAUCCAAUUUCCAAACUUCGGUAGCAAAAUUGAGAGUAAAAGUGUUGGCUUUGAUCUCGCUGGGAUUUGCAUAUACUGGACAUACUCCGUAACGUUUUAUCUUGCAAUCCUUUUGGCUUCGGUAACACUUAUUGAAGAACUUAAGUGAGACAGUUGUAUGAUGGUAACCAUCGGGAAAGCCAACAUUCAAGCAAGGUUUAAAACCAAGUAUGACAUGAUCGGAAUCAAGGGAGUAUCUAGUGGGCAAAUCGAAACCCAGAUCAACAUGUUUGGUUUCAGAGAGAGUCUUUAUUUCUAAGUCGAAUUGACGGUAGAAGUAAAAAUCACACAUACAACGAGAAUAAACUUUCUUAAAAUCAAGAACAGCACAAAAAGCAAACCCGAUUAAGUUUCUGAAAAAAGAGUGCGGUGGCAGUUGAAUAUAUAUCGAAGAUCCUGAACUUUGAUUGCUGAACCAGUCAGGAAUUUCGCCCCCAGGUAAAACAAUUAGGGAUCCCCUGAGUUCUGAAAGUUUCUGUGAAAUGACAUUUAAAAAAAGAAAAUUGUAAAAUGAAAACCAUGAUUUCAGAUAGGGAUAUUAUCAUUUUUCCACCAAAGGUAUUCUGACACAUCAUGUCAGUACCACGGUUUGGUAAAACUAUCAAUUUACCACCAAACGUUUAAACUGUUAGGAUUUUCCCACUAUUCCGUUAAAACUCAGUUAAUAUGUAACGGAAAAUUUCUAAAAAGUCAAUUUUACCCCUGGAGCAUAAAAGACCAUAUAAUUAACUUUUUAUGAAUUUUGUAAUUAAAUCAUCAUUUGUUGUUCUUCCUUCUUAAAGGACAAAAAUUACCCUUUAUAAAUUUUAUAAAAUUGGCCGUGUAGUGCUAGGUACUUCAUAAAUUAAUUUAAUUUUUAAAGGGCAAAUUUAUUUAUUAAAUUGAUGAGCUCAAGACAAUUUAUUCUACUACUAAAAAUCAAUUUAUGAAAGGGAAAAAAAAAAGAAUGUGCAAACGAAGUAAUUUAAUCUUUGAUAUGAUGAUAAUAAUUUUACACAAAAAAUUAAAUAAAUAAAUUUUCCCUUUAAAAAUUAAAUAAAUUAAAUCAAUUUAUGAAGUACCAAAUACCACACGGUCAAUUUUACAAAAUUCAUAAAUGGUAAUUUUUGUCGUUUAAGAAUAAAGAAUAACAAAUGAUGAUUUAAUUACAAAAUUCAUAAAAGGUUAAUUAUAUGGUCUUUUAUGCUCAGGGGUAAAAUUGACCUUUUAGGAAUUUUCCGUUAGAUAUUAACUGAGUUUUAACGGAAUGGUGGGAAAAUGCUAACAGUUUAAACGUUUGGUGGUAAAUUGAUAGUUUUACCAAACCGUGGUACUGACAUGAUGUGUCAGAAUACCUUAGGUGGGAAAAUGAUAAUAUCCCUUUCAGAUAUAACAAAGAGGGACAGAGUAAACAAGAGAGGGAAUUUGAUACCUCGUUGAUUGCCUUUUCAUAGCCCAGUCUCAGUGAUGCAAUUGCCAUAUGCCGAAUUCUUAGUUGUGAAUCUGCCAAAAUCUUGUUGUUUGCUUUUCCAUUCAGUUUCAAGCAGUUAGUAAACCCAAAAUAAAUUGGUUGUGACUCCAGACAUCCCGGUGCCCAUUGACGAAGGUCAGGAGAGGGUUUCGAUAGCUUUUCGAGUACGGAUGCAUCUAGUUCUUGUAGACAUGACGGAAUCUCUGGCAAAGAUUGGAGCCGGUUGCAGUUCCUUGCAUUUAGUGAUUGUAGACACAAUGAAAGUUCUGGUAAUGACCGAAGCAUGUUACAAUCCUCCAAGUUAAGAUAUUUUAGACACAAUGGAAGUUCUGGUAUUGACCGAAGCAUGUUACAACCCGUCAAGGCAAGAGAUUCUAGACACAAUGGAAGUGCUGGUAAUGACUGAAGCAUCUUACAAUCCGUCAAGUCAAGAGAUGUUAGGCACAAUGGAAGUUCUGGUAAUGACUGAAGCAUCUUACAAUUCUUCAAGUCAAGAGAACUCAACUGCGACAGUUGCUUGAUACUUGCAGGUAAACUCUCAAAGUUAUUUCCACUUAGAUGCAAGCCUGUCAGUGAGGAUAGACAGGCAAUCUCUUGUGGAAUUUCCAUUACAGCACAGUCACUUAUAUCUAGAAGUCCCAAAGAAGAUAAACCUAAUAAUAAUGAUCGAGGCAAUGAUGCCAAACCUUUGCAGCUAGAGAAAGAAAGAAUUCCAAGUACGUUUGAAUCUGUAACAGAGGAUGGUAGUUGACUAAUAGCUGAUUUAGCUGCUGAGAUGUAAUACAAAGAUUCUAAAUUGCCAAUGUUAUCCGGCAACUUAUCAAGUUUAGAGCAACCAUUUAUGAACAAUGAUUCAAGCCCCGGUAGAUUUUCAAAUGACGAUGGCAGCUCUGUAAUUGCCGUCCGGUCUAAAUAGAUGCGUUUUAAAUGUUCCAUUUUCUCCAAGAUUUCUGGGAAACGCUCAAGAUUCAAGCAGCCAAGAAGAAUAAGCCGAACCAAAGAUCUCAAUUUACAAAACCUAGUUGAAAUCCUCUUCAGCCGUUUGCAACCCAUCAAAUCCAACACUUCAAGAUCAGUUAGGCACUCUAUUGAUGAUGGAACUUCUUCUAUUGCAGACUGGUCUAAGUAUAGCCGUGUAAUUUUCCCAGAAAUCUGUGGAAACUCUAUGAGAUUAACACAAGAGGAGAAAUUAAUAGUUACUGGACAAACAAAAUGAAGAUUGCUUGGAAAAGACCUAAGACUUUUGCAGCCCUUAAAAGACAACGCACUGAGAAACUUGAAAUUCUGGAUAGAUGAGGGAACACAAGCCUUUUCUCCUUCCCAAGGUUGCUCAACUUUACUAAAACGCAAAUUCAGUUCAACAAGGUUCUUUGGCUUGAAAUUUGAUGGCAGUGUCCUUAAUGGAUAUGUGUCCCAAUGAAGAUAUCUCAAUUUUUUAGGAAGAUAAUAUAGGCCUUUUGGAAGCUGCACUUUAGAGUAUGAAAGUUGCUCUUCAAUACUCAUACUUAGAAGCUUUUCAAUCCCAUAAAACUUAGGUACAUAAAAUUUGAGCAAUCUCAUAUUAGACAUAUUUGUGAAGGCUCCGGGGUCUAAAUUGAUGCCUUUUAUUUUGGACAAAUCCAAAAAUAUGCCUUCAAUUGCAUCAAUCCCCUUAUAUAAAAAAAAAAAAAACAAAGAAUGGGUAAGCUUAAAACUCAAAAGAAACAUUCGUAAACUUUACUAAGAGCUCCUUAAACAAAAACAAAUUCUGCAAUCUUUGAUUUAAUUUUUUUAAUAUAUUAAAUAUCUAUAUGUGAGAAAAGAAAAUUUUGGGGACCAUUGCAAAAUUCAACUAACUGAAAAAAAAAAUUCAAAAUUUCUCUAAUUUACAAACCUGUUAUCUUAAUAUCUAGAAGUUGAGAAGACAGGGCCUAUUUGAUUGGUAUAAGAUUUCGAUUUUUUUUUAGUCCAUAGAAUCCAAAAUGUUAGUUCAAAAUUAGGGAAAAAAGUCAUUUUUUUCCACCAACUGUAAUUGUAUCCAAGUCAAAUUGAGAUACGACCCUUUUCGAAAGGAUUUAACCAUCUUAUAGCCUCCUUAAGGUACAUUUAAGCUAAAAGGAGUGAUUGGAGGCAGUUCUAGGUGGGCCAAUCAGUCCAUUUUAUUAGUGACGUUUGCUUAAAAAAAAAAAUUAUACUCUAAAACACACUUUUUUUUUUUUAAAAAAAUAUAAUUAUAUUGAAGUAAAACCCGGUGGGCCAAUCCUCAUGGCACUCACUUUGUUCCGACACUCUUCACUAAAUUUGAAGAAAAAUAAAAUUAUACUCUUCACACUCUUAAUCAACAUUCCAAAAUUGAUUAAAUCUGGAGUUUUCUUUAAAAAUUUAAAAUUUGAAGAUUUGUUGUCUUGACACCCUCAGUCAUUAAUUUUACCUAAUUAUGGUUUUUAUGAUUUUGAUUGUUUUGUUCAUAAAAAUGCUUUUACUAAAGGAUGUUCUGGUAAUAAUAAAAUUUAUAAAAAACACAUGGGUGUGCUGGUAUGGUUGGAAAAAUAUGAGUGCAUAACUCCAAACAAAUAAAAGAUAUAUAAAAAAAAGAUGGAGGAUUCUUACCUUAUUAUGCUUUAGUACGCGGCGGAUUUCCUUAGGAUCCCACAACCUACUGCGUCUGCCUGGCUCUUCCUCAGAUUCUUGGCGAACAAUCUCUCGACCCAUUUCUUGCAAUAAAUCAUGCAUUUGCAAGCAGUUAUUUGACACUGUUAUGAGUGACUUGUCCACGAGGGCAUCUAGUUUGUGAGACCCAGAAUCAUCAAGUAUCCUCGACACAAAAUCUUUAUCCUCUCCCUCAAGGAAACACGCAAUAUCUAGAAACAUACUCUUCUGCUUGCGUGUUAAUUCAUUAAAACUAAUCUUUAAUAUAUCAUAAAUAUUAUGAAUAUCAGAUUCACAAAUCCGAUUUAAGUCGUUCAAUACAUUUUCCCAACGGCUUUUAUCCUUGAGGGAGGAACCCAACACUUUAAGAACUAAUGGAUUGCCAUCGGCAUACUCUACAACCCUCUGUGAGUGCCAGUUGAGAUCUUCAGCACAAUGCUUUUCUUUAAAAGCGAAGUUACAAAAAUGCUCGAAAGCCUCAUCAAAUUUCAAUCCAUUGACCCUAUAUAUUUUCUCCACUCCAAAUUUUUCGAGGACUCGUUUAUCCCUAGUGGUUACAACAAUUCUACUUCCUGGACCAUAUUGAUCAAGCCCUCCAAUCAAACCCUCUAAUUGUUCAUCUUUAUUCACAUCAUCAAGUGCAAUCAACACCUUCAUGCGUCGGAGCCUCCCUUUAGUAAAUUGUGGAAUGUUGGGACCAUCUACUUCAAGUUUUUCACUUAAUAUUGUCGAAAGCAUUUCCUUUUGUAGCUCUUCUAGGCCACCCCCUGUUUCUGAUUUUCUCCUAACAUUUUUUGCAAAGUAUUUUCCAUCAAACUCACCAGAGAAUUGAUCGAAAAUAGCUUCAGCAAGGGUGGUUUUGCCUAUACCACCCAUGCCCCAAAUUCCAACAAUUUGGACAGUAUCCCACAAAUCCAUGCACAGCAAUGGUUUAAUCUGCUCAAUUCGUGAAUUUAAUCCAACCAGGCCAUUGGAUGAGUCCGUUGAGACUGUUAUUUUUUCCAACUUCUUCAAAACAUCUUCGACAAUUUUGUUUACAAGUUGCGCAUCAUGCCUAAUAUGAAGGUGCAAAGAUGCAAAAACAUUGAGUCAAAUCGGGCCAACACAGAAACAGAGAUAAGAUGAAUUAGGAAAGAGAGUUACCUGAAUUUUGUGGAUUCGUGGCCAGCUAGAUGGGAUGUUUCUUUCAGUGCAUCCCUCCACUUUUGAACCAUUUCUGGUUUCUCUUUGAGCUGCUGUUCUAGCUUGUAAAAACCGUCCCCAAAAACUCCGGUUUGAUGCCGCACAUCAGAUGGACUUACUUCAUAGAAGACUGGAAUAAUAAUUUGGCCGUUUGUGUUCUUGCAUUCAAGAAUCUUGACAAGUUCAUUUAGGCACCAUUUUGAAGAAGCGUAGUCCUUUGAGAAAAUGACCACCGAAAUUUUUGAACCUUCGAUUGCGUUCAAAAGAGCAGGUGAAAUCUCAUCUCCUCGCCUAAGCUCUUCAUCAUCAAUAAACGUUUUGAUUUUCGUUCUUUCAUUCAAAUUAUAAUAGAGAUGGCAUGUAAAGCUCACGCGAGUGUCCUCUCCUCUGAAACUGAGGAAUACAUCAUAAUUGCAACAAGAAGAAGAGGAAGCCAUGAAGGAAAUUUUAGAAAUUUGGUGACAGAAACAGAGAAUUAAUCUUGAGAGUUGAGAGGGGAUAUGUAAGAAUGAAAAUGCGUAAAUAGUAAAUAAUUGAAUUAAUCUGGCGAGUACAUAGUAAAUAAUUGAAUGGCCGGGGCUUUCUUAGUUUCCUGGAAAUUUCCUGGAGCUUUCGUAUACAUGAUUUGUCAAGUCAAGAAACAUAAUCAUGAUAGGAAAUGGGGCAGACCAGGUAGGAAAGAAAAUUUGAUCCAACCAAUAAAGGAAGGAAAAGUAAAGAAAGAAAAUUUGAAAGUAGAUUCAGAGAAUUAUAAAAAGCUAAAGGAAAUUGGAAUUUUGUACCAUUUCUCCAGCCAGGAACUUUCAUUGUCAUUACCUCACUGUUACAGUUUGGAUUAAGAUUUGACUUUUGAGCAAACAUUCGCCAAAAUUUUACCUCUGCCUGUAAAUUCUUAAGUUUUGAAAAUUAUGAGACCUUUAUAUUGGGAUAUAUUAUAAUCGAAUCAAAACAUAAAAUUUUAAUAUUGUUAAUCUUUAAUCUUUUUUUUAAAAAAUUGAACAACAGAGUAAUUUCUAACAUAGAAAAAGUUGUAUAAUUGUCCAAUUAUUUAUAAUUUUAAAUAAUCCGGAUUGGUUUGUUAGAAAAUCAUCUCUUUGAUUUUUGAGAAUUUUUCAUAAAGAAUAGGGAAUAUAAUGUUCAUAUUUAAAGUAAGUAAGUAACACAUCUCAAUUGUUGAAAUUAUUUUUCCAUUAAAUUCAACGAUGACGAAUUAAAGUCAGAAAAUGACAAAAUCAGUGGUGGCUUGCAAUAAUUGCAAGGUCGCUGGACCCUUGCAAAAUGUGUGAAAGUAAAUAAUUGAAUGCACAGAGCUCGCUUUCUUACUUUCGUUCCGGUUUCCUGGAAAUUUCUUGGAGCUUUCAUAUACAGGAUUUGCCAUGUUAAGAAACAGGGUCAUGAUAAUGGGGCAAACAUUUGAUUGAACCAAUAAAGGAAGGGAAAGCAAAGUAAGGAAAAUUUGAAAUUAUAAGAAGCUAAAGAAACAUCCAACGUCAUUACCUCACUGUUACAAUUUUUAUUGAGAUUUGAGCAAGCACUUACCUAAACAUUACCUCCGCCUGUAAAUUUAUAACUUUUGAAAAUUAUGAGAUCUUAGAUUGCGAGAUAUUAAAAUUUAGAAUUUCAAUAUUAUUAUUCUUUUAAAAUGAAAUUUGAGAUAACAGAGUGAUUGAUAAUAUAGGAGAACUUGACCACGGUAGGCCAAAAAUCUAGGCAAGCACAUGCAUACACAGAAAUGUGAUGGAUUCUGAAAGAAAUUAAAGUAAUAAUGUACGUAGGUCCUUAAAAUAAAAAGCAAAAUCGCUUGGUGGCCCAGUAUAAUAUAUAUAUAUUAUAAUACAAUAUAAUACAAUAUAAAUUCAAUCCUUACCUGAGGCAUGGAUGCACAACGAGUUACCUGCCACGCUGGAGCACCUUGAGGUCAAUUGUUGCUCGAAUCUUGCUUUCUUGUCACGGAAUGGAAAUCUACCUCAGGCUCUUAAGUACCUUCGUGUUGAAGACUGUUCAAAGCUGGAGUCGUUAGCAGAAAGGUUGGACAACACAUCCCUUGAAGAAAUUGAUAUUUCAGGGCUUGAAAAUCUUAAAUCAUUACCUGCCGGUUUGCAUAAUCUCCACGAUCUUCAAAAGAUUUGGAUAUCUGAAUGUCCAAAUCUUGAGUCAUUUCCCGAAGAAGGAUUGCCUUCUACGAAACUGACUCUGCUCACGAUAUGUGAUUGUGAGAAUCUGAAGGCUUUACCCAACUACAUGCACAAUCUCACUUCAUUGAAAACUCUGCGUCUCGGUAAUUGUCCGAAGCUCACAUACUUUCCAGAGCAGGGCCUGCCUAAAUCACUUUUGGAACUAAUUGUCUCUAAUUGCCCGUUGAUAGAAGAAAGGUGCAGAAAGGAUGAAGGAAAAUAUUGGCCCAUGAUUUCCCAUAUACCUUGUGUCCAAAUUAAUUUCAGAUCAGUUUUUAAAGGAAGAUCCAUCAAUUAGAUUGUGUAAUCAUAAUUUCUUUUUUUUUUCCACCUGUAAUUUAAUUGUAAUAUGAACUGACUUUAUCAAUAAAAGAAUAAAAUUAUGUUUAGGAUUGUCAGUGAAGUUGAUAAAGUAAGAAGAGCAGAGGAAAGAAGUAAUAAGAGAAGAAGAAACUCCAGUUCAAGGAGGGAUGUUAGUGAAACUGAUUAAAUGAGAAGGAACAGAGAAAUCGUGUACAUGCUGUUAUUGUGCUCUUGACAGCAGCUAAGCAGCUCACUUAAGCUGACGUGGAUUAGUUAGUUAUUUGGUUUAACAAAUUAUCAUUUUAUAUAUAUAAAUGAUAAAAAAUUGAAUUUAUAUUGUAUUAUAAUAUAUAUAUAUAUUAAACCAAACCAAACUUAUGUUAUAUGGUUUUUUAAAAAAAACUUAUUUUAUAUGGUUAAAAGAAAACCUUAUGUUAUACGGUUUCAAAAAAAUAAACUUAUAUUAUAUGGUUUCUUAUUAAUAAUCACACAAACCUUAAGGACUACCAUUUGUUUUUUGAAAAAAAAAAUUGAAUCUAAAGAUUUUUGAGAAAUGACCCAUUAUAAGUUGAACUUAUAUUAUAUAUAUUUUCUCCUUACAUGGACAACCACAGAAAAGACCGACCAGUUAUCUCCAUGAACUCGUAUAAAUUCAACCAAAAUAACAAUUCCAAUCUUACCAAAUUCUUGAGUUAAAUUUAUUCAAUGCUUUUUUUUUAUAGGAAAUUUUUUCCAAUGCUACUUUUCCUUUUUUGGGGAAAUUAGACCGCGGUAUGUGUAGAAGACAUUGAGGUGUAAAGCGACAUUAAUUUCAUGGGUUAUGCGUUAUAGGCAUAAUAUAUUUUCAGUCCAGAUUCAAUUAUGCAAAGAGGCUUGAGAACUUAAAAUUAACCACAAACUAAACAGACGAAGUAAAUACAUGAUUAUGCAACAUAACAUUAAUUCUCUCAAUUUAUAACUGUUUUUGCUACAUGAAUCUUGCACAGUUAGUCCUAAUUGAAGACUAAAAAAGAACAAUUGGAACAAGGUUUUGGAAUAGAAUGAUAUACAAUCAAUAUGAUCCAUUUCUAGUGGCCAAAGCUAAUUAACUGCAAUUUCUAGACUCCUAAGUAUACUAGUCAUAGGAAACUGUUUAGAAAACUAGUGAUCAGAUUAGAUUUUGAAAAGAAAUAAUGUUCAUUUCCCCUUCUCUACCUUUUUUUUUUUUUGUUUUAUUUUUAUAGCAAAGAAUUAUAUCAUGAAAAGAAUCAAUUUAAUCACCUUUUCCAGCAGCCCAAUUUUUCUUUUAUAAAAUUGGACCACGGAGACAAAGAAGAAUUAUUCAUACCUUCAUCACUAAGGAAAUACUUUUCGGUAUGGCUAAGGUGAGAAAAGGCUUUCCACAAACACUAGUAGUUUGUAUUCCUAUAAAUUUUCUUUGAAGUCAAUAAAAACCAUAAGUUUUUUACAAUAACCAUCUCUUUGAUCAAAAAGUGCCGUAUUCCUUUAGAAUUUAAAACCGGCAAAAACCGAAUCGAUCAGUGUCUUUGAAGAGACAUAAUGGUCGUAAUUCUUUAAAUGAGUUGGCUAUGGAAAUCCUUAUCCAAGAUUCUUUUACGCCAUAUUCUUUCGUAAACCAAAAUUCAUUUUGGAAUACUCCUCGUCCCAACAUACAGAGACAGUCUGUCAUAACUUUAGCCGAAUACUUAUGAUAAUGAUCAUUUGUGAUUUCAUCAGGCAUAGGCAAGAACUUGAACUUGUCUACUACCAACCAAAAGCCGAAAUUCGCCUGCCACCCCCAAUGAUUCCUAAUACUAUUUUAAUACCAAGUUUGAUCACAAGAUAAGAAUCAGAUUUAACACUUUUCCAAGUGUUGUUUCUCAAAGAGAAGUCAUACACAUUUUAUUUUCUACCAGGAACUGUUGUACUAUCUAGCCAAAUGUAAAUUUCCGGUCUUGGUAUUCUCUUACCUCUCUAGUGGAAGGAUUGUAUAUCUUAUAUAAAUAGUUAUUAUAAUUACGCUCCGAGUCUCUCUUUAGUCCUCAAGCACAAUAAGCCAUUACAAGAACCCAAUAUCAAAACCGAUUCAUAAAGCUAACCAUUGCUUUAAUUUGCAAGUUAAAGAAAAAAUCACUUCAGGUUUCAGGGAUACUGUACGUAAAAUCGAGGAAGGUAACUGGAAAACACUUGUAUAUAUGUCAAGCAAACUGCAGGAUUUGUGAUUAUAUGUGUAAAAUAGAUAAGACUGAUAAUAUAGCAAUCGCAUAUACAUGCCAAUCCUAGUGGAGUAAAAGCUCUAUUGCCACUAGAAUUCUGUUCGUGGAAUUUGUUCUCAAAUUUCAACCGUAUGUAAAGUUUGAACUCUAAUUGCUUAUAAUGUAUUGAUUAAGAAUAAUCCUAAGAGUUCCUGAUUGAAAUUUUUUAAUGACUUUUUUAUUGUUUUGGAUAUACAAAUUGCAUUAAGAAAAAAUAUUGUCAAUUUCAGAGGAUAACGGGAAAUGAUUAUGCUUCAAAAGGCCAGAGAUUAGAGAAUAAAGAAGCAUUCAUUACUGAUAUACAAAAGAGAAACACUCCAAAAUUGCUAGCAAACUAGUUUCAUUUACUAUUUGGAUUUUGGAAGGGGUGAAGUUUUGAGCUUCAGUUGUUCCUCUAAAAUCAAAAGUAGCAAUUAAGCGUUCUCAUUUAGAAAGAGCAAAGAAGACUUAUUCGUACCUUACUAAAGCUAACAUUAUGGCAUGGUUGUUCAUAUAUAACGGCUGCUCUGUUAUGCUAGCUUCUCUGUUUUUUUUUUUUUUAUAUUACAUGAGACUAUUGCUCAAAUUACAACUCAUAUUACAUGAGAGUAUAACUGAUAUUUACAAAUCAAACUAUCACUGGGACCAAUUUACAUCAAUGCUAAUGGAACUCUGCCCAGAUUUUAACCCUCACAAAUAUUCGAGGGAUGUCUACUCCUUACUUUUAGGUAAGGGAGAAGACUACCUUCACUCAAUUUUAAUUGAGGAAGAAAAUAACCCCACAAUGCAUUUGCUUCUAUUUUUGCUUGCAGUUUUGAACAUAAAUUCUUGCUCAAAUAACCCAUAAUUAAAUAACACUAAUAUGGCUCGUGAAAUCCCAUAAUAGCUAAUUACGCAACUUUCUCCUCCUCCUCAAUUCUGUCUUCCCCUGCUCGUACACUAAAUUCAAAAUUCAAUGCCCCUAAAAACAACACAAGAAAUCUUUGAGAUAAUUCAUGACCAGUUUAUACAUAGUAGCAAUUGAAAAAGGAAAAAGAAUGAAAGAGUUAAUUAUUAUUCAGACCUUCACGUAUUCGGAAGUUUGUUCUGCUAUUGGGUGAGAUCAAGCUCUCAGCAUAUACUUCCAUAUGAUACUUUCCAACAUUUUCUUGAAAGCCAUCAAUCAUAAAAUCUUCAUACUUUUUUUCAUCCUUUGGAUCAAUAAGUACAAAUUUCUCGUCUAAAACAUACAAAAUAAAAUCAUUGUCCUUCUUGGAACAUAAUGGCUGCAAUGCCUGAAUUGAAUUGGCUAAUGAAAUUUAAGUCCAGGAUUCUCUCAGCCCAUAUUCUUUCAUAAUCCAAAAUUCUUUCGACCAUAAUGUUGACUCUGAGAUUAAACAAAGGCAAUUUCCUAUAAUUGAAUAUGAAUAUUUGGAAUGAUAUGGGCAAACAUUUUUCAGGUAAGGCUAAGAAUUUGAACUUGUCUUUUGCCAAAACAAAUGCCGCAAUCAUGUAAUCAGAAUUGAGCUUACAAAAACCGAAGUGGACAGUUCCAUUGAGAUUGGUCACCCGAGAACAAUGAUGAAAAAACUUAAAAUCAGUUUCAAAGGUGUUCCAAAGUAUUUUUCCUUAAAGAGAAGACAUGCACACCUACUACUACUUUGGCAUUUCUAUAAGAGUGAGAAAACCCUAAAACCUUGAACUCAUCUAUUGAUUGAGCAUAACCUAAGCUAACUAACGGUGUAUCUCUAUUAGUGAAGGGUUCAUAGUCGUUUGGUAUUCUCUUGAACUCUCUAGUUGAACAAUUGUAUAUAAAUAAAGUUUCAGUUGCAGUUUCAUCUCGGAGGGAUAAGCACAACAAAGCAUUACAAGGGCAGCAUAUCCUAAGACAAUCAAAAGAGCUUUCUUUAAUUGGAAAAUCAAACUGAUCUUCCGUAAUAAUUUUGCUAUCGAGGUCUAUACGGAGAAGAGAGUUUCUUACCAAGCUCUUGACCAUAUCAACAAGAACCAGCGUUUGUCCUUGUUGGUUUUUAGUUUGGUUGAUCUUGACGAACCGAGGAUUAGUAAUUAAGGCCCUGAAUGACUUGGAUAAACACUUGAAUAGGCAGAGAGACUUGGCGGGGAGUUUUGCAAACACAUCGACGAUGAUAUCUGGAGGAAGAGCCACAUUGCUUCUUCACCAAGUUAAGCAAAGACUUUAGGGUUUCUUGAUCUCAAUUUGGUAGCCGUGAUGUUUGUAAAGAGCAGUCAUUCGCAUAAAAACUAUUAAAUAUAUUAUUUUUUUAUUCUAAAACAAUAUCAAAGCAUUUUUUAAAUACUGCUCCGUUAAUUUUGAAGUAAAGUUUUUGGGCUCCUUUCAAAAUAUUUUGCCUCUACUCCCAAAUGGGGGUUUUUAAUUAAAUACCCUUUAAUAGUUUUAAAAUUAUUUAAAUACCCCAUCCUUUUUUAGUUUUCAUGGAUACCCUAACAAAUGUGAGUAAAGUCAGAAAUACCCUUAAUGAAUGCAUCAAAUUCACUCAAUGAAUUGUCUUCAUAUUUCUUUCCUCAUUUCUUUCACCCAAAUCUAUUUUUGCUGCCGAUUCUCUCAAAGUCUCUUAGAAUCUCUCAAAAUCUCUCAUAACUUCUUACACAAAUACAAUUAUGUAUUCAUUUCUUUAACACCCACUCUUUCUUUAAAGGUGCAUUGCUUAUUAAACAACCCAAUAAGAGAUGUUAAUGUUGUUAGGUUUUAAAUUUUUUAAUUUUUAGGAAAAUUUAGAAAUUUUCCUCACAUUACAAUGUUUUAUUUUCACCAUUUUUUCUUAUAUGUAGAAAUUUAUGCAAUGUAGGUUGUUUGAUUAUUUUUUUCAGCAAUAUAGCUUAUUUAUGGCGAAAAUGUUUCGCGUUAUGCAUUCUUUUGAUAUCGUGUACGUCAUAUAGUUAGUCAUAUAGGUCAUGUAAAUAAUAUAGUCGUGUAAGUCGUGUAGGUCAUGUAAGAAAUAUAGUCAUGUAAGUCGUGUAAGUAAUAGAGUCGUGUAGGUCGUGUAGUUACUUGUAUAUGAAAUUUGAUAUUAUUAUUUUUAUUGUAUCAUCAGAUAUGGGAAGUGGCUCGUUCUCACUUCGAGGGGAGGUGUUAUGGGAUUAUGACAACUAACAUUGCAGAAAGUAUGAAUUCUCUCUUGAAAGAAGCACGAACCUUGCCUAUUCAUAAGUUAAUGGAUUGUAUCAUUGACAAAUUACAAGAAUAGUUUGCAAAAAGGCGAGAUAUGGAAAUGGAUGCAUGUACUCUAAUUUGUUGCAUUAUGAAAUAACUAAAUUUUUUUACAUUCCAAUUUAAUUUCACUUCUUUGUUUUUAUAAUUUCAGUUGACAUUUUCUACAUAGCAGCAAAUAUAAAUUCUUAGCACCAAUUAAGUCUUUAAAGAACUAAAUUAAUCUAAUGAUUAUUGGAAAAAGUCGUGUAAUACAAGAAGUCGUGUAAUACAUGAAGGUGGUGUAAUCGCAUAAUAUAUGAAGGUCGUGUAAUACACGAAUAUAUUACAUGACCUUACACAACCAAAUCGUGUGUUCAUAAAUUACAGCAAAAAAAUAAAUUUGCAUAUUCGACAGUUUGAGAAAUGAUUAGAUUAAUUAUUAUAAACAAACAAAGUUAUUAGUUUACAAUGUCAAUAUUUGGAUAGGAUACACUAAUGGGCAUCGCAAUUAAACAAAUUACAACCAUUUAAAAAGUUUUUUUUAUCUUCAAACUGUUUUCUUCCUCUGCCCAAGCAUACAUGAGGAAUGUCUGCAAAUAAUAAAUUCAUGAAAUCAAUUAGAAACAACUCUUAAUCAAAGGCUGCUUGAAAAAACCACUUUAGUUAAUUCUUCCUAUUAAUAGCCCAGGACCAUUGAUAGUGAUGGCCUAUAAAAUUUCAUUUUACUAAAUCAAACUAUUCCACCAGCAAUGACUUCAUUUAAAAAAACAAUACUCACAUGUUAGUUGUUCUCCGAAAGUAAUGACUGGUCAUAGAAAAGUCUUUCAGCAAGUUGCUUUCAUGAAGGUCGUGUAAUUGCAAUACAUGAAGGUCGUGUAAUCGUGCAAUACAUUAAGGUCGUGUAAUCGUGCAAUACAUGAAGGUCGUGUAAUACACAGCCUUAAAUCCUACAUAACCUUACACGACCAAAUCAUGUGUUACAUGACAAAAUUAUAAUCGGCACAAUCCAUCAAAUUUUCACAAUUUGCAUGCAGCAAGACAACUAGAAAUUUAUUUUUGAACAUGUAAUGAGAGACCCGCAACUAAUUAAUCUAUAUUUUCUAUAGAAACCCUAACUUUUUGUUUUUUUUCCCCGAAUAUCAACAAGAAAACUAAUUAUAGGGAAUUGCUUACCUCAACUAGUUACAUUAUGACCAUUUUAUAGUAAAAGAUCAACUCUCACCGAUGAUUAUGUAGCGACAAACUAGGCUUCUCUUUCUCAGUUGUGGCAGCUUCUCCUUCUCAGGCUCAGUUUGCUCGUGUUGAAGUUCGAUUUAGCAUGUAUGGAAAAUGAAUAUUUGUUUCGGUAGAGGUGAUGCCGGUGAGGGAAUUGCAGAUGUGAUGCUGGUUGAUAUUUGAUUUAACAUGUAUGAGAAUGGAGGAUGAGUGUUUGUUUGUUUGAGUAAAGGUAAUGAAAGGAAUUGCAGCAGAUAUGAGUGUUUGUUUACUUCAGUAGAGGGGGGAGAGGUGUUGUCCGUUGAGUUGAAAUGUUUUAAAAUGAGGAUAACUUAGUAAUUUCCUAUCAAUUUUUAAAAGAUAUUGAUGAAAAUUUUGACAAAAUCAAAUUUUAAGGUAUUGAGAUAAUUUUUGAAGUAUGGAGGUGUACUUGCCGCAAUUAACUUUCCCAAAUGCCCAGCUAAAUACCCAAUGAAUAGCUCCGCCUCGAAUAUCAGAUGAAUAUCUCCAAUGAAAAUCACGUUCAACUCUUUUUUUUUUUUUUUUCCUCCCCAAGAGCUGGUUUUCACAGAGAAAACGUCUACAAUUUUUUCACAAAAACCAAAUUUCACAAUUUUGUAGUCAUCAAUUUGCUCAGCAUAACAAAACCCAUAUAAACUUUUCACUAUUUUACAUAUAGUAUAAUAUAACUCUUCUCCUCAGUCCUCAGUUCCCUCUUAUGAGAAAACUAAAAUUCACGUCUCCUUCUUCGAUAACAAAUUCACGUUAAAACCCUCAAAAACAACAAGACUUGCCAAUAUUUUAUAAUAAAGAAGAGAGAAACAAUGCCUUCAUAUCCUCGAAGUAAAUGAGAACUUGCAAUAAUUAAAGUAAGUAGUAACAUACGGUUUGCGACCCUGUUGAUGAUAGGCGUCUAGGCUAGCAAGUGGCUUUAGUAUGUAAAACUAUCUAGAAUCAAAAUCUAUGUACAUUCGAUAAGCGGGUCGGUCAGCAGAGUAGUAACCUUGGAUCAGGGUAUCAACUUGGAAACCAAAUUUCUUGUAAAGAUUCACAGCGGGAGUUCUCAAAGGAUCAACAUGAAGCGUUAUGCGGAGCACAGUUCUGGUUCUGCAUUUCUUAAUUGUUGCUUCCAGCAGUGCCUCUCCGUGACCUUGUCCCCGAUAAUUCUCCUUCACUAAUUAAGUUCACCCCAAAACCCAUUAAUUUCAUGUCAAUUAAAAAAAGAAAAGAAAAUGAAUAACUAACAAAUAUUUCUUUGAGGACUUUUAUCAAACAGUUGAGAUUACGGGCAUGCAGUGGAAAUUUCAACAAUGUGGACAAAGAUAUGGGACCUGCAAGCUUGGUGAUAGAAGCAGACAAGGAAGUAGGCCACGCGUACAUGACGUAGCCAACGACUUGUCCAUGAAUAUGAAUGUAAAGCAGGCCUGAGUUCUUCUUUUUCAGCUCUUCAUCAAAAGAUCUUGCCAGUGAUUCGUGCUUGGGAAAAAUCUUCUUCUCCAUCUUCACAAUCUCGUCCACUACGACAGUCCAGUUCGUUGAGUUUCUCUGCAGCUCCGUGACGGUUCCAUUACUCCCCAUGGCACGUGGCUUGUUGCGACUUACAGUUGAUCCAGCACGUACAGAAAAUUAGAAAUGAAGCCUCCUAGCAUUCUUUCGAACAGGCAAAAAAGUCAAUGGACAUGGAGGCGCCAUGUGUGGAAAUGUUAAGAGGAUGAUGAAGCCCCCAAGAGGCCAGCGUGGCGUGGCAUUGCACCUCAUCAUUUUUUUAAUGCUAAUCUGUAGAGCGGCCCAAAAUGACGGCACAAUAUAUAGCUGGCAAAGCCCACCCAAGCCCAACUAUUUGGGCCAACAUAUCAUAAAUUAAAACAAAUAUAAAAUGCACUGUACAGCGCAGACAAAGAUGCUUUGUGCAGAGAUGUGUUUUCUUUAUGGGUCCAAUUAUAUUGGUACCGCUCUAAGGUAGAGUAUCAUUUCAUAACUACAUUAUCAAAAUCAUAAUUAUUUUUUUAUUAUUUAUUACUUUGCGUGUGUGACUGAGAUUCGUGAUCCAUCAUAGAUCAGCUCCAACGUAACAGAAGCCUUCUUUUAUUGCUCAUCAUCUUUAGCAAACAUUCAUUGGCUUUGGAUGUUGCUACAAUUUAUUUUGCAUAAUUGAAAAGUAUAGUAGAUGUGCAUAAUGUUAGAAAUUUUAUUAUAAUAUAACAAAAUACGUAAUAACUUAUACUAAGAUGUUAAGAAUUCAUUGUGCCAAAUUCCUAUAUUUGUCUAUAAUAAAUCAAAAUUUCAAAAUAUAAAAUAUGGAUAAAAUUAAAUAGAAAAUGAUUCAAUUUAUAAAAUUAAAAAUGAAAUUUGAUUAAAUCAUAUUUCUAAGUAUGAAUAUUUAGUUAAACAUUUUUGAAAUAAAGAAAAUUAUUAAAAUUGAAAAAACAAAUAAUUAAAAAAUAGAAUUUUAAAAUUGAAAUAAAACUAAUUUUAUUGAUUGAUAAUAUAUUACAAAGAGAGAUGAGAAAAAUAAAUUGAGGUGAAAGAAGAGAAGAGAAGGUGUGUAGAGAUGUGUUCCACCCUCUUCUAUUUAUACUAAUACAUGGUUAAUCCAGACUACGCAAAUAAAUAAAACUAAUUACACCUUAACCGUAUAUUUGUCACACUGAUAAAACACAAACUUAACUUAAUCCACUAAUGCAUAUCCAACACAUUCCGUUAACAAUUACCAUAAAGUAGUGUACUAGGGUAUAUACAUAAUCAUUUUACAUAACUAUACGCUGAAUGUAAUACAUCAGCAAACUUGGAAAUCAUACAUUCAUUACAAAACUGCACCAUAUAAUACCCAGAGGAAAUAAGUCUCAAUACUUACCGAGAUCAUCAUCGCAUGAAUAGAGGAUAGAAAACCUUUCAAUACCUAACAAAACUUAACUACAUCAUACAGGUAAAGUAAUUUAACUCUCAAUACACAAUGCACAUAGCUUAUAAAGAAGACUACAUAUAUGAUGAUUGGCAAUCACAUAUCAUGACUCAAUUAAAUAUAUAAUACGUGUAUAUAAAAUCAUAACAUGAUAUUAAAUCAUAUUAUCAAUCAUAAAUGCUUCAUAGAAUACAUAAUGGUAAUAAUUGUCUCUACUCACAGAUUUUGUUUCACUCGUGGGUUCGUUGGGGCUCCUGUGGGUUUCUAAAUUCUUGAAAUUCUCAUAAAAUGCAGGAUUCAAAAAUUAACUGUUAGAACUGAUAUAAAAAUUAAUACGUACGAUGUAAAUUAAAUCAUAAUUUCUUAUAUUUCACAAAUCUAUUACCCACUGACUCACUUAAUAUAGAUCUAACUGUCCAAUUCUAUUUCUUAUAAUAUUUCUCUCAAUUCCACUUUUCAAAUUCUUUUCCACUCACAACUUUUUAAUUUUCUUUUUCACUCUUUUCUUUCUUUUCCUCAUUUCCCACUCUCGGCUUCUUUCUUUUCUUUUUCUUCUCUUUUAUCUUCUCUACUUUCUUAUUUCUCUCAUGUUUCCUUUAUUCAUUCUCAGUGCUCAAAUUUGAUAAAAUGAAGCAGUGUCAAAAUUUUGCAUUUAUAUAGCCACCAAACAGCCACCGAAUUGAAGCAAGUAGCUCUCACUUUUUAAAUAUAUGUAGGCACCACUUGAAGCAAGUGAAUAUGUAGCUAGCUGCUUCCAAUUGCCUGCACUUGUGCUAUAUAAUUGUAAAAUUGGACUUGGGUUUGAGAGGCCUCUUCAAUGCUUUCUAUUCUCCCGUAAUUAUUGUUAUUAGAAUAUUCCAACCUAGCCUACGUACAACUGCAUUCUUCACUCGUGCUCAUCGUAGGCCUCUUUCAGCCAAUGGUUAAUACUAAAAAACUUAUCACCCAUAUAAUUUUUUAAUUUGUGUGUAGGGUAAUAAUAAAAUUGAAAAUAAUUAAAAAAUAGCACAAUAAUGAGUUUUCACAAUAAAACAAAUCAAAUGAAAAUUGAAAAUUUAGAAAAGUGUAUCUAAAAAAAAGGAGCAUUUUUGGAAAUAAAAUGAAUAUAACUAAAAAGGGGCUUUUAUGAGAAGAUCAUAGGGGUGUCAAUAGUCCAACUCUUAUAUUUAAAGUUAUUUUGACUUUGUAUUUCCGAUGAUAUAUUUAUUAGGUAAUUUUUAAUUGAGUCAUUAUUUGUAGAAAAUUUUUCUGAGACCAGAAGUUUAUAAAAUGAAUCAAUUAAAUCCCUCUAAGUAUAAAUUUAUGUCAUUCAAGUCUUUAACUUAAUUUCUUCGUUAAAAUUAUUAACAACAUCAAGGACAUUUUAGUUAAAAAACAAUUAAGCACCUUCUCAUUCUUUAUUUUUGACAGCCAACAAUAGUUUAAAGUAAACUCAAGUAACCUAAAUUAAUGUUCUUUAAAAAAAAAGAAAAAAGAAAGAAAGAAAAGGUUAGUUAAUGUGUAGGCAAGCAAUAUCACUUCAUCAACUGCACAGAUAUGAUUUCUUUUCAAGCAAGUGGAUUUCUUUUAUAUAUAUUCAUCAUGUUAUCAAAUGAAUUAAUAAAUUGGUGAUCCUAGUGAUGUGUAUGGAACCAAUAGGAUAUCACUAGCUAUACAUGUUUGAUUUGAUUGUGAAAUCCUAUUGAUUAAUUGUUUUUAAUAAAAAGAAAUUGAAGUCUCUUUUUUCUUUUUUCAUUUUUGGACGGCAUGGAAUUAGCCCACAAUCUCAAUAACUAGAUGUCAAUGAAUAAGCAAUUGACAAUAAUUCUAAACAUGCGAAUUAGACUUCAAUCAAUGUCACUCAACCUGUGGGACAACAUACACAACUUUUAUGGGCUGUAUCUCAACCUCAAAAUGAAGAACCAAUGUUAUUGACAAUGAGUAGAAUAGUACAAUAUUCACCUUGAGCUGGCAUUUAAUUCUCCAAAAUAGAAUCUAGAAGACAAUUAACUAUUUCUUGUACUUGAAUUUCAGUUUACCAUAAUGUUGUCAAGGUGUUUCUUAGUUUCAAUUUAAUUGACCUUCAUACUUUUAGUUUUAUUUUUAGACCGAAUGUUAUUGUGGUUUUUCUAAUAUUAUAUUCAAUACAUGUUAUUUAGUUUAACAAUCAUCGUAUAUUUUAUAAAUGUGACGGAAUUACAUUUUCAUGUGUAAUUCCAAGAGUUAUUAUGGUUAUGUUUUUUAGUGGUGCUCUCUUUAUUCGAAUUAGUUUAAAAACUAAAGAUUUUGUUUAAAUUGUUGCAGAAAUUUGUUCCCGAUUACUCAAAUUGGUAAAUAGGCUAUUAGGCUCUGAAAAAAAAAUUAAUGCAUAAGGGUAAAAUUGUACUUUAAAUCACUAAUAUGAUAUAUAUGGGAAUAUAGUUAUCUUUUUAUGUUUAAAUUAACGUUUUCACUAACUUUUAUGGCCAAAGAAUUAGGUGAAGAAUCUGAAAGACAUAAAUUUGUAUUUAAAAGGAUUUAAUUGAUUCAUUUUAUAAACUUUUGGUCUUUGAAUUUUUUUUCUAUAAAUAAUAAUGACUCAAUUAAAGAUCAUCCUAUUUAUUAUUGGCUGUUUAAAAAAACAAAAGAGAUGACUAGAGUUUAUCACUUUGACUAUAACGUGGGUCAUAUUGGUAGUUGCCAUGAUGGCAUGUCGAAUUUGGGAUGAUACGUUGAGGACUUGAGGUUGGAUUUCUUUCAGCUUAAAAAAAAAAAAAGUAUGCGGCCAAAAUUUUGCUUAAAAGGUUAAAUGUACCCCUGUCAAAGGACCAUCUCACCUCUGACCAUUUAACUUCUACCGUUAAAUCUGGUAUAUUUAACUAGUUUUGACCUAUGCAAUGAUUUUUUCUUGCAAGUUGUGUCAUGUGUGGAAGGGUAAAUUUGUUUUUUUUUGGGUGAACUUGUUCUUUUCUUAAAAGUUUCGGGGCUAUAAGUCUCUUAACUUAAAGUUAUAAUUAUAAUUGCACUAAUGAUACAAUAAAUUUUUGAUAAAUAAAUAUUUAAGAAAUUAAUAACUUUGGGUAAAUAACACACUUCUCCCGCCCCAACUUGCACUAUUUAAAUUAAUAAUUUCAUUUAAUGCAUAUGAUAAUAUUUUUUUUAAAUCCAUUAAGGCCCAAUGAAAAUAUAAAUUAAUAAUUAAUUAAAUAUAAAAAUUCAUAACUACUAAAAUAUAAAUUUGUAACAUUAAAGAAUUCUGUUUUUCUUACAACUUCAAUCAUCUAAAUUAAACUCUUUGCAAAUAAAUGCAUAUAGAGUUGUUUGCUUUUUUUUUUAAUAUUUAUUCCUAAAUUGAAUUCAAUCUCCUCUCUUAAUUUUUUUUUUUUUUUUUGUAGAGCAUGCACCACAUUUAUAACUUUUUUUUUCAUGUUUUAGAAAGUAGUUACUUAAUAUUAUUAUUGCUUGAAAGACCUCUUUUGCAGAAAUAUUUGGCAAACACAAUUAUCAUAUGAAUCGUAAUUGUCAUCAGCAUAGUUAUCUAAUACCCUUUUAAUAAUCUGGUUGAAUUAGUGAGUGAUUCCAUCACUACAGCUAUGCUAUUAAAUAUAGUAGUCAUCAGAGGAGAUAUUGUUGACAUGAGGAAGUACGAUAUGUGUUUAUACAUAAGUAAAAAUAUUGAUAAAACUCUUCCUAAAAACAAAAUAACAAAAUUAUGUUUCUAAAUUAAUAAAUAUUCAUUGAUCAAUAAAUUAAUAAAUUAUUAAAAUUUAUAAAUAAAUAAAUUCUCUAAAAUGAUAUUUUUUUCUUAGUCCUAGCAAGUAGCAAUAUUAUUUUAUAGAGGUUUUAUUUUAGUAAUAGCAAUAGUAUAAUUAUAAUUAUUAUUAUCAUUAUAUAUAAUAAUUAGUUAUAAUAUUUACUAUUAUGAUAGUUAUCAUUAUAAUUGUUAUUAUAAUUGUUAAUUAUCACUAUCAUUAUUAUUAGUUAUUUUACUAUUUAUUAUUAUCGUUAGCAUAGUAGUAAGAUAUUAUGUCGCUAUUAUUAUUACUAUUAAUUUUUUUAUUUUGUAAAUGGGGCAAAUUUCAAAUUUUAAAAACUAUAAGAAGAAUUUCAUUAUUUCCACUAGUUUCAUUCUCAUAUAUAUAGAUACACACACAUAAAGAAAUACGAUCAAUUAUUCACAUUUCUCUAUCCCACGAAUAAAUACUGUAAAUUAUUAUUUUUUAAAAGAAAAAUAUCAAAACGGUGUGGGUCCCAGCAUAAGCCUUCUAACCUACCUUCUCCCUGUAGAAAAAAAAGAAAAGAAAGAAAAACUCAACUUUUAGGAAAAUGUUUUGGAAAAUGAGAUUCUUCCCACGUUAAGCACCACAAUAAGCACCAAACGGUGCGUUUUGGGCAUAGUAUAAAAUGAGCCAACUCACGUGAUACACACAUAGCCACCAGUAAACACGCGCAGUAGAUCUCACGCGAUAUACACCUUUUCUCCAUUUGCUCUCACAAAAAUCUCACCGUUUCUCUCGCUGUGUCUCUCUUUGAUCUCCAUUCUCAAACUUUCUCAGGCAGUGGUGCUCGGCGUUGGUCUCUGGCCGUGGGUUUCCGGCUGUGGGUCUCCGGCCGUGGGUCUCUCACCGCUGGUCUCUCACCGUGGGUCUGCUCUCUCUCUUCUCUAUCAUCUCUAUUCUCAAACUUUCUUAGGCAGUGGUGCUCGGCGUUGGUCUCUCACCGUGGGUCUGCUCUCUCUCUUCUCUACCGUCUCUGUUCUCUCGAAUUGUAUAGGUAAUGGCAAAUUUCCGUGAGUUGAUUUUUAAUUUUUGAAAAUCCAGUUGAUAUUGUGAGCUUAAUUACACUUGGAUUGAUGUUGUAGUCGAAUUGUAUAGGUAAUGGCAAAUUUCCGUGAGUUGAUUUUUAAUUUUUGAAAAUCCAGUUGAUAUUGUGAGCAAAUGAGACAAUUAUUUUCAAUAGUCUUAGGAGAUGGCCUUGUGCUGGAGAUGGGAUUUUGAUAGCCUUAAGAGAUGGUCUUGUGCUGGAGAUGUCAUUUUGAUAGUUAUUUACAUGCAGUUUCUUGGUUACAAUUGGCAAUCCGUUAUAUCCUUUGAACUUGACUACUACAAAUAUUCCAAUUGAUGGAUGAGUUGAUUAUUCUUGUGUUCCUCUUAGACAUUUUUGAAAUGAGUGGCAAACAGACCAUAUUUUUCUUCUUUUUGUUUUCUUUGUAAUUGAAAUUGAAUAAUUUUAUUUGAGCUGAAUGAAAUUAGUGUAGACUUUUUGUUGUACUUUUGAGAUGAAUGCAGUAAGAUGUAUUUCUUUUUUUUUGGGGGAGAAAAAAAGAAAAUUAGACCUAGCACAUACUUAUGUAUUUCUUUUUUUUUGUCUUUGCCUAGGUGAAGUUGAAUUGGUGGUCAUUAGCAUAAAGAUGCAAUUGGUAAUUUUGAAGUUGGUUCAGUAAGCUGGUUUUUAAUAAAUUGACUACCAUUUUUUCUUUCUGGAAGGAAUCUGGGUUGUUGUGUAUAUUGAACAGAAUUUGUUCAAUCAUUAUGUCUUCAAGCACAAGCGAAAUGCAAACACAACUAAAAGCUUGUGAUAAAUGCUGCAACAACAAUAAGGUCUUGCAAACUUCACGUACAAAAGAAAAUCCGAAUCGUAGGUUUUGGAAGUGCAAAGGAUGUGGGGCUUUUGAAUGGGAUGAUGAUUGGAAGAGCAGUGAAUGUACUGAUUUUAGAGGGAUGGAAGAUCGUAUUAUAAAUUAGAAUAAAAUUGAGAUGUUGAUAGCAGAAGUCCGCAAGUUGGGCCAUCAAAUCGAAUGCUUAUCUCUUAAAUUUCAGUUGCUUGAGCAAGAACUUCAACGAAGACAACAACCAAGUGUUCUUGUAACAUACAUCCCGCAAAUAAUGAUAACUCUUUUAAUAUGUAUUAUAUUUAAGUUGUGCAAUUAAUUAAUGUAUUGUUAUUUUUCUUUUUCUUUUUGGCGAAUUGUAUCAUGAAUGCUUCAGUGGAUGUAAACAAAAACUAAUGUUUCUGUAAAGGGCAGGAAAGAUUAUGCUUAUGAUUGUUGCUGUCAUUUUAAUUUGCCUUAUCAUUUGCAUCUUUCUGUCAUUUGAUCCCCAUAACUAGUUUGUAAGGGAAUUGUUCCAUGCUUUUUCACAAAAUAUAGAUAAUUGCUGCACAUUAAAAACACAUUUAUUCUUUAGGAAAUAAUUAAAGAAUAACAAAUCUGCAGUUACAGAGGAUCAAUUCCAAUAGCAUACAAUUAAAAAAUAACAUAAUAUCAUUUAUCUCUCCACCAUUUCAGUAGCACACAAUCAAAGAAUAACAUAUUUGCAGCAUCUCCUCAAUUCCAAUAGCAUACAAUUAAAAAAUAUCAGAAUAUCAUAUAUCCUCUCACCAUUCCAGUAGCACACAAUUAAAGAAUAACACAUGCAGCAUAUCCCUCCACCAUUCCACCAGCAUAUAAUUCAAAAAUAACACAUGCAGCAUAUCCCUCCACCAUUCCACCAGCAUAUAAUUCAAAAAUAAAACAUGCAGCAUAUCCCUCCACCAUUCCACCAACAUAUAAUUCAAAAAUAACACAUGUAGCAUAUCCCUCCACCAUUCCAAUCCAAUAGCACACGGCCAAAUAAUAACACAGCUGCAGCAUAUAAAUCUAAUAAAGGAUCAUGCAUAGAUAAAAAACAAUUUCAUGUAUGAAAUCCACAAUCUUACAUAUCAUAGCCAAGGGCUUGUAUCCGAAUAUUAAUGAGAAUAAAACAAAAACAAUGCUAUUCUAGGAAAUCACUUCGAAACUCCUUAUCAACUUCAUAUUCACUAUCUUGCUGAAAGAGUAGCUGCUGAAAAUGUCCAUGCGGCUGGAAUUGUGGUUCCUAUUAAAAAUAAAUAAAUAUUUUGUUAUAAUAAAAGAAAAUAAAGUAGAUAAGAUGAAUAAAUACUAAAUUUAUCACCACUUACCGUACAAGAAUUUUGUGUAGGUGUUGGAUAAACAUUAUCCCCAACCAUAUGAUGUAAGCUCAUAAGACCCUAAAACAAACAUACAUUAAAUGAAGCGAUAAUAAAAAAAAUUCAUAACAUAUACUAUGAAAAACUUACAUUACAAUAGUCCAUAACUCCAUGUGGGUACAUAUUCAUAUCAACACAACUUCCUUCAGGAUUUUGAAAUGCCUAUAGAGGAUCAAUAAUAUAUUAGAAAAAUGUCUAUGAUUAAGUAAUAAAAAUCAACGACAUGCAUAUGAAUUCCAUAAAACCUACCGUAACAACAUUGUUCUCGUGUGUUGGGAUCACAGUCAGCACUUGCUCGUUCACCUGUCCAUCCUGCAAAGUCAACAAAACAUACAUUUGAACAUCAUUUAUCUCAUAAAUUUUUUAACUUUAAUUAAAUUGAAAAUACAUUUUAAAAGUACCUUUGCAUUAGAACGUGAGGAAUUCAUUUUAGAUUUUGAAAAUUUAUUAUAUUUUUUUCUUUGACAAGGUGGCCGACCUUUACGACGCCGAGCUACUGGAUCUCUAACUGUUUCUACUUCCACACUACAACUUCCUUGGCCUGUAACAAUAGUUACUUCAUUAUCUCCGCAAGGAAUUGCCUUUGAUCAAUCCUCCCGUACAUUCUCAAUCCAAUUGAAAACAAGAUUAGAGCUUUCAAUCUUAUGUGCAGCCAUAUUCGCAACCUCCGCGAAAGUAGCACACAUUUUCUCAUAUCGUUUUUGCUCAUCCGUACAGCUAUGAAGCUCAUAACUCGCUUUCACUCUACUAUGGCAUCUCCACACAUCUUUUCUCCAUCUUCGUAAAAUAUACUUUUCUGGAAGUACUUCUACGUCAUUGCGGAUCAUGAUUGUAAUGGCAUGCCUACAAAGAAUACCUCUAAAUUGGAACCUUGAGCAGCUGCAACGUAUUUCACCAUUUUCUUUUUCAAAAUAUACUUCAAAAAAGGUUCUCUUUUUACCCUCUCCAACUUUGACAUCCUCUCUAACUAUAUAUUCACAACCCAUAGAAUUGACAAAUUCGCAAUACAUUUUCCCAAUCAAUUCUUGCUGAAAUUCUUGAAAUUUUGAAAUAGUGUACACAUCUCGGACUUGCCUCUCCAUUGCAUAAGAUGUUACACGUGGCAUUUGUUGGGAAAGACACCUGACAUCUUCUUCAACUUCCUUCUGAACUUUAUUCUUCAACGCACAACUGUAUUGCUCUACAAACUGCUUCAAAGUAGUCUUUAAGUUAACAUAACCAUCAAAAAAUGCAUUCAUACUUUCACUGCGUUGAGUAGAUUACAUUCCUGCCCAAAAAGUAUUGUUUAGAUAACAAGGUACCCAAUGAUGCCUCUCAUCAUAUAAGCCUCGUAACCAUUCGUUAUCCCCCAAAUCAUAUUCUAUAAUCAUGUGGUGCUAAGUUUCCUCAAAUUUUGCAGCACUCUGGGAAUCAUAAACAGCACAAUGCAAGACAUUACUUAUGUUGCGAUAUUCUUUAUAACCCCCUAGCUUCUCUGGAAUUUUCUUCAUUAUAUGUCAUAAACACCACCGAUGUCGAGUAUUGGGGAAGACAUUCUGAAUUGCAACUUUCAUUGCCCUGUCUUGAUCUGUAAUGAUUCCAUUGGGAGCUGAAUUAGACAUGCAGGAUAGCCAUGUUCGAAAUAACCACGUGAAUGUCUCAAUAUCUUCGUGUGAAAUCAAUCCACACCCAAACAAAAUAGAAUGCCCAUGAUGAUUAACUCCUACAAAUGGAGCGAACGGCAUAUCAUACUUAUUUGUAAGAUACGUGGUGUCAAAUGUAACAACGUCUCCAAACUCCUUGUACGCUUCCCUAUUCCUUGGUUAUGCCCAAAAAACAUUUUUUAAUCGUCCCUCAUCAUCCACUUGCACACUAAAGUAAAACCUAUUAUCUUCUGCUUGCACUUUCAUAAAAUAGUUUUGAAGAGCAGCAGCAUCUCCAUCUCCAAGCCGUAAUCUUCUUUCUUUCUGAACAUGAUUUCUACAAUCUCUUUCUAUGAAUGUCACAUUUUCAUGACCGCUAGCCUCAAUAACAAGUGAUUGAUAAUUUUUACACAAUCUGAUUCCUGCUCGAUCAUUCACAUCAAGCAUCUUUUUUGCAUAUGUAUUGAGGCUAAGAUUGCACCGAAAAUACUUGGAUUUGGUUGGAGUUAACAGCACAUGGUUGUGUUCAAGAUUUAAGCUUCGAAUUGUCCACUUUCCAUCAUCCCCUAAACCAGCUCUCAAUCUAGCAUUGCAGCUUGUUUUUGCAUUAGGUUGGGGCUUUAAAAUUUUCACAGAUUUGCUUCUUGUUUCACCACUUCUCCCACAAGCAAAAGUCACAUUUCUAAAUAUCCCAUCACUAUCCUUUCUACUAGUUCUCCUCAAAACCGGAAACCCUUUUCUUUUACCGUACUCUUUUAAGUAAAUAAACAAAUCGACAUCACUAUCAAAUGACAUCCCAAUUAUUGGCUCAUCAUCCUCCUCAUUUUUCUCCAACUCUUCAACUUCGAUGUCCUUUUCCAUAUUAUUUAUUUCUACAAAAUUGAAAUAAUUCACAUUGACAAAAUGAAAGUAACAAAAUACAAAUAAUUCAGCACAACCUUACAAAACUAAACUAACUAAUGAUGCAAAUUGUGAACACAAAUUUAAUAUAUACCAGCUGAAUUUGCAGCAUAUAUUUAUUUAUUUCGUGCUUACUAUUAACUUUGUAAUAGACAAUUAAACAAAUAAGUAUGGAAUAAUUUAUGGCAGUGUAAAUUACUAGCUGAAUCUGCAGCAUAUACUAGAUAAAAUGCCGAUCACUGUCUUGAUUUUUUAUUUUUCCAUUUCAUUAAGUAAUUUGUUUAACUUAAUUUAAAUUAAAAUAAUGGGUUGCAAAUUGAAAUUUAAGUGAAAUGGGCUGCUGCCAUUUCCUGCCUUGAGUUGAUAGAAAGGUGCUUACGGUCUACAACAUAUGAUGCGGGUUUUUGCCCAUGCCUUUUUGUUUAUAGAGAUCGACUAGACAAGUUUUUUACAAGACAAUGCGUCAUUGGAGAGGAUGAAAUGGUUUAGGCUCCUAAGGGCUGCAUUCUUUUUUUUUUUUUCUUUUUCAAUGAAAUUAAAAAAAAAAAGUAUAUCCUGGAUCGCAAUUAGUGCGUCUACGAUUUAACUAGUCGUCUUGAACAAAGAUUCUAUAACUCCUAAUCUGUAGCAUAUACGCAUCCAAUGCAUACCUGCAGAAAUUGAUUGCCGCAAUCGACGAUGAGUGAAGUCAGUCACCAAGAUGCAACUCAAUUCUUCACACAGCUAAGAGGAUGAUAUACCGUGAGAGAGCCAACGGAUUUCACACCGUGAGGAACAGUCCACAAGUAAAACAGAAAAUGCCUUAGGAGAAUUAGUUGUUCAGAUUUCUAGCUUGAAUGAGGAGUGGGUUUGGUGUGAAUGAGAGUGAGAGUGAUGCGUGCGUGAGAUGCACGUGUAAUGUGUUUGUUUGUUCAAACAGUGGCCUUUUAUAUUGCACACAAAACGUACUGUUCGGGACUUAUUGUGGUACUUAUUGUGUGCUGAAUAUCGGUGCUGAAAUGUUUUUAUUAAGAAAAAAACAAAACAGAACGUAGAAAUAGGAGCAAGCAGGCCGCAGGCCAAAACCUUGGGGGUACCACCAUACGACUUCUGACCUCCCUGCGGGCUUGUCCUUUGCAGGGGUGGUGACAUGUCACAUGCGUACCAAAAAAUAAAAUUAUCUUUUUGUAUUUUUGUAUUAUUAUUUUCCUCCGCUCAUUCACAAGUAGUGGAUGUGAAAGAAGAUUUUAUAUAGGACCGCCGCACUAUUUCAGCAUGCCGUAUUGAAUAACAAUAAAUCUUAUAAGCGAAAUUAAUGAAGAAUCUUAUAAUCCUAUUUAUUUUAGAAUCUGCUUUUCUAUUAUAUGUCUUCUUUUUUGCCCCCCCGCCCCUCCCCUCUUUUUUUUUGCUAGUCCCAACGAUUUUGAAAUAUUAACUGAUUCCCACUGGUUGAGAUAAGGAUAAUUUUUAAAAACCUCCCUGAAGUUUGAGGUUGUUGCAAGUAGACCGUCAAAAUUAUUUUAUUUAUAAAAAAUCUCAAACCGUCAGUUAAAUUUUUCUUAACUAGUAGUUGACUUUGAAAAGAUAAAAUUAUCCUUAAUGACAGUGCAAUCCUUGGCGUGAAAAUCACCGUUCUAUUUUUUAACAUUUUUAGUUACAAUGUCUCAAGUAACUAAAAAAUUUAUUUUAUCCUAUUUAAAUUAUCAAGAUUUCCUUAAAAUCCUAAAAAAAAGAAAAAAAUUGAAGAAAUAGCAACUACUACCAAUCCCAUCAUCACCCAUUCAAUUUUUUUUUCUAGUCAAUUUCUUCAAAAUUGAUAAAAAAACAUUCUUCAUCAUAAUCUACAUUCAGCAACAUCAUCAAGCCUAUAACUAUACAUCGCCUAAUCCAAAGCAUUAAAGACGAACAAGAAAAGAGAGUUAUGUGAUAUGUGAUCGUAGAUCACAAUCUAAAGAUCAGAUCAGGCCACUCUCAAACUUCCACGUCAACGUCCUUCUUGACCGGAGAGCAAAUGAGCCAUGUGAAACCACAUGGAUCCUUGACCUUUUCCACGUGCCCAGCCGCCCACAACAAUACGCGCUGUUGCCUUUAGCAAGCUUACCCUCAUCAACAAUUCCAGCACUCACAGCCUUGGCGAGGGCAGCCUCAACAUCAUCAAUCUCCAAGCAGAGGACGCAUCCGAUUCCCAUAUUCUUAGCUGCAGCAGAAUCAUCGGAAAAGUCAGAGACAAGAAAAAUGGAGCCAGCAAUCUCGAGUUGAGCUCUUGUUCAGCCUUUCGUUUGGUUUCCAUGUUGCAGUUGAUCUCCACAGCACCAAACGCUGUCUUGUAGAACUGAACAGCGUCAGCAACCUUCGAUGCUUCCACAAGCAACUGCGGCUUCAUCCCAUGAAGUUGGCCAAGGUAGCAGGAGCAGUCAUCUUCACGGUGCAGUUCAGAACAUCAGCCAUUGAGAGAGUUUUGGUGUCUAGACAAAGGGAAAGAACCUGAACUUAGGAGAGAGAAAAUCAAAGAGAGAGAAGAAAGAUGAAACCAAAGAGACGAAAUAAAAGAAAAUGAACUUCACCCAUUUUGAUACAGUGUUAAAGGCAAUAAAACGAUAACUCUUUGAUAACAAUACAAAAUAUCAAUAAUGCCCUCAAUUAGUCAAACGGCAACCAAACGGAACUAAAAUGUAACGGAUCUUUUACAACUAAAACGAUUUUGGCCAUCUACUUAUAACAGCCUCAAAUUUCAAGAAAUAGGGAUGGCAAUGGGGCAGAUAUGGGUUGGAUCUACUCUGCUCCAGAUCCAAAUCCAUAAUAAAAAUCAAGAUCCGUAUCUGCUCCAGAUCCGUUAUGAAUCCAUAUUUUUCGCUCCAUAUCCAAAUCCAAAAAAGAAAUAAAUAUCUAUAUCUGCUCCAAAUCCGAAAAAAAAUUAAAAUCCAAAUAUGCUCUAGAUCCGUCAUGAAUUCUAAAAUUCCGUAAUAAAAAAGUAAUAAUUUUUUAGAUUGAAAAUUGAAGGCUAAAAUGUAUUGAUAACAAAUAAAUUAUAUAAUUUUUCUCAAAAAUAUAAUAAAUAUUGUAGCUUAUACUUCUAUACCAAAACAACAAACAAGAAUGAUAAUAAAAUAUCAUUCAGAAGUAAUUGCAGGAGUAAGAUCAAUCUAAUAUUCUAUUGUCUCCUUCAUCAUUCUAGUAUCCACGAUACACCUACCCUCAUUUCUACAACAUUAGAUAAUGACAUAUAAAUUAAAUAUGAUUUAUAUUCAGUCCUUUAUUAUUUUUAUUAUGACCAUAUUUGACUAAAUAUAUGAAUAACUAUAUUCCUUAAAAAUUAUUUGGCCAAUAAGAUAAAAUAAAUUACCAGGUUAUAUUACUUGGAUUGCAAUUUGAAUAUUGCAUGUACAUGCUUUGAGGCUGGUUGAUCUUUAAAUUUACAAAACUAACCUUUAAGUUUUAAGAGUUUAAAUUCAUGAUAAAUACUACUAAUAUGCUAUGAAUAAAAUUUAUUAUCAUUAUCAUUCCACAAUUAUUAAGAAACUUUUAAAAUAAAAUAAAAUUAAAAGAUGAGUGGAUAUGGAUAUGGAUUUAGAUAUUAAGAUAGAUCUAUAUCUGCUCCAGAUCCGUCUUAGAUCCGCACAUCGAUAUCCAAAUCCGAUCCAAAUCCAUUUUAAACCGAUCCAAAUCCGAUCCGAUUGGAUUUGGAUCACAUGAAUCUUGGAUCAAAUCCAAUCCAUUGCCAUCCCUAUCCAGAAAGAUUUUUAAAAAUUACCCGUUGAGAUAACGUUCAUUAAUGGUAUUAGAUUCGGAGCAGACUGCAGACUCAGAAUUUUUUUUUUAGAUAACGUUCAUUAAUGGUAUUAGAUUCGGAGCAGACUGCAGACUCAAUAACUUUUUUUAAAAAAAAAAAAAUUCUGGAGAUUAACAACUUUAUUAAUUAUUCUUCGUACAUAAAUUUUUAGCCUGGAUUAGAUUUAUUUCAAUGGAAUCAGCUUUUCAUUGAAGAAAAUAAAGAUUGACGCGGGGGCGGAGGCCAACCAAUUUUUGGCAUCAGGUUCAACAACUUUAUUCUUUAUGCAGAAACUUUUAGCCGUCUGAUUAAUUUUAUCAUACAUUGAUAUUCGGUCGUUGGAUUAGAUCUAUUUCAAUUACGUGAGACAUAAUUAGCUUUUAAUUAAAGAGAAUAGAGAGUGACGCCGGGACCACCAAUUUUCUUUCCUGACUUUUGUCUAAAAAUUAUUGUGAAGUGCUUAUCUUAACCGUUGACCUGAAUCUAAUCAGAGGGCUAAAAAUUUGUGACUAGGUAAACAAACAGGCACCCAAAGUUCCAUUUAAGAUCAAUCGGAAAGAAAGUGAGCGAGCAUAAUCACAGAGAGAAAAACCUUGUUGAUUUUCCUUAAUACCUUUUCUUCUAAACCCCCCCCCCCCCCCCCGCCCCGGGGGAAAAAAACAAUAACAACCAAAAAAUAAAAAAUAAAAUAAAAGACACGCACAAACACAUUUUUUUUUUUCUAUAGAUUUCAGUUUUCUGUAGAUUUAUCCUGCCAACAUUUUUUCAUAGUCAUUUUCUGUCAAUUCUUGUCGUCCUUCCCAAAAAAAAAAAAUGUCGAUCGUUGGAGAAACCAUUCUAACUGUCACCAUUGAGAUGUUGGUGAAAAGUUGAUAUCAGAUGUGAUUCAGCUGUUCGCACGCCAAGAACAGAUCCAAGCCGCUCUUAAGGAUUGGAAGAAGAAACUGGGGAUGAUCAGGGCGGUGCUCGACGACGCCGUUGAGCAGCAGACAACGAAGCAGUCAGUGAAGACGUGGCUGGGCGGACUUGAGAGCUUAGCUUAUGACGUGGAAGACAUAUUGGACGAGUUUGCAGCUGAGGCUUUGCGGAGGAAGUUGGUUUUCGAACCCGACGAUCUCGUUCAACCUCGUGCAGGUUACUUGCGGAAACUCAUUCCUACCUGCUGCACUAAAUUCAGUCCGCAAAAUGUGAGGUUCGAUUCCAAGAUGGCGGCGAGGAUAGAGGAGAUUACUGGCAGAUUCCAGGACAUCGUAGCGCAGAAAGACCUGCUGGAUUUGAAAGAAAAUUCAGGAGGAAAGUCCAACAAAUUAAGCAGUCGUCCAGAGACCACCAGUUUGGUGAUUGAAGCCGAAGUACAGGGCAGAGAAGAAGAGAAGAAAGCAAUAGUGGAGCUGUUAUUGAAAGAUGAUUUAAGUUCUGCUGGUAGAUUCUCCGUUAUUCCUAUUGUAGGCAUGGGAGGGCUGGGGAAGACAGCUCUUGCCCAACUUGUCUACAAUGACCCAACGGUGGAAAGCCAUUUUGACUUCCAAGCUUGGGUAUGUGUCUCAGAAGAUUUCGAUGCUGUCAGAGUGACAAGAGCCAUUCUCAACUCUCUGCAAAUUUGAAAUUGGAUGUAAAAAAGUGGUGUGGAGAAGAAGAAGUGCAAUGGUUCUCAGCCCACAGAAUUCACAGGUUACAAAUGAUAUGUCAAAUCGAGUGUUCCUAAGAGGGAUACUCCAGGAAGAGUUACCAAAUUUAGAAGAAGUGUCAAUUAAAAACAACGAAGAGCUAACAUGCUUAUGGCGGGCAGGACAUGGAUUACUGCAAGACAUUGGUUCCCUUCACCAAUUGAAGAUUGCGAGUUGUCCCCAACUUGUUUCCUUGGUGGAGGAGGAAGAAAAAGGCCAACAACAGCAAGGGUUGCCAUGCAGACUUCAGGUUCUGGAAUUAAGGAGCUGCCCAAGACUGGUGAAGCUACCACAAGCAUUUCUCAGCUUUAGUUCACUUCGGGACUUGAAGAUCUCAGACUGUGAUUCAAUGGAAGCUUUACCGGAUGCGCUGAUGCACAAAGGUAAAGCACCGCUUGAAAAGUUAAUCAUUUCUGGUUGUCAUACUCUGUAAUACAUCGCCAGGGCCCAGCUACCUCCUAGUCUUAAGAAGCUGAGGGUCUACUAUUGCAACAGUCUUAGGACGUUGGUAGAUGAAGAUCAAAUUUUAGACAUCAAUAGUUGCGGUGGGUACACCUCUGUUCUUGAGCAGUUACAGAUUAUUCAUUGUCCAUCUCUGACAUCCUUAUGGUCAAAAAGCGAGCUACCCGCCACGCUUGAAAAUAUUUAUGUUGAUCGUUGCUCGAAGCUUGCUUUCUUGUCAUUGAGAGGCAAUCUAUCGAAGGCUCUUAAGCACCUUUAUAUUGUUAGUUGCUCAAACCUGGAGUCAAUAGCAGAAGGGUUGGACGACAACACAUCUCUUGAAACUAUGGAAAUUUUUAUUUGUCAAAAUCUGAAAGUUUUACCCCAUAACUUGCACAAGGCCCGCCAUCUUCGACUAUUGAGGAUAAAUGAAUGUCCAAAUCUUGUUUCCUUUCCAGAAGGAGGGCUGGCGCCUUUUAGUAAACUGACUACGCUUGAGAUAUUUAAUUGUGAGAAACUGAAGGCCCUCCCCAACGGCCUCCGCAAUCUCACAUCUCUUCAAUACUUAUUAAUACAAGAUUGUCCAAGCAUAGGAUCUUUCACUGCGAAUUGCUUUCCCACCAACCUUACUUCAGUUCGUAUUGACUAUGAGAAGAUUUAUAAGCCAUUGAUAUUGGAGCGUGGCCUGGGAUUGCACAGAUUCACCUCUCUUAGACAACUCACGCUAUUUGGAGGAGAAUGUUGCAGCUUGGUAUCAUUUCCACUGGAGAAAGAUACAGGAAAGGCACUUCCUGCCUCUCUAAAGCAUCUGUCUAUUUGGAAUUUUCCUAAUUUGGAACGCAUAUCCUCAAUUGAAAACCUCACUUCAUUUGAAUCUCUUCAGCUCUGUUGUUGUCCAAAGCUCCAGGAGUUUCCAGACAAUGGCCUGCCUAUCUCACUUUUGAGACUAGAAAUCUAUGGAUGUCCGUUGAUUGAAGAAAGGUUCGAGAAGGAUAAAGGACAAUAUUGGUCCUUGAUAGCCGAUAUACCUUGUGUCCGGAUAGAUUGCCAUUAUGUGUGAUAGAUCCCAAAGCACAGAGACAACUGUAUCCUGUUUAAAUUCACAAAAUCCAAUCCCAGGUAUGUGUAGUUAGGGAUGGCAAAAAUUCUCACGGGACGGGUAGUCUCGGGGAUUUUUCCCAUUCGGGGAGGGUAUGAGGAUAAUUUCAUACCCAAUUUUUUAUUCGGGGAAGGGACAAGGAAAUUUAAUUUCUUAUUCGGGGAGAGGACGGGGAUGAGGUGGAAUCCCCAUCCCCUACCCAUUUCCCCAUUUUAAUUUUUAAUUUAAUUUUUAUUUUUUAAAAUUACUAGUAAAUAAAUAAUAAAAUUUGAAUUAUAAAAUUAUUAAAAUUGGUAAAAAUAACAAAUAGCAAAAUAUUUAUAUUAUUAAACUUUUAGGCCUAAUUAACUAAUUAAAGUCCUAAAUUUUUAUUUAGGACAUUAAAAAGACCAGAUAGAUUCUAUUAGCCCAAAAAUUUUGUUUUAAUUUUAAAAUUCAUUAAAUAUUUUAAACUUAAAUCUAUUUUUUUAUUUAUUUUUAGAUGUUAUAAUUGUCCACAGCGAAUCACAAUUUUAAUAUCUAAUCUAAUAUUUUCUCUUGAUUUGCUCCGACUUAACUAUUGUGUUGUAAAGGAAAUAGUCCACAUUUAUAAAGUGCCCACGCCACCAUUGAAAAAGUUAAUUUUGAAUCUAAAUUUGAUUUUAUUUGUAACAAUUUUGUAUUACACUGUUAAUUUGUUCAUGAUAGUUUGUAAAAGAAGUUUGUAUCCAUUGCAUGCUGCGUUACUUACUAAUUUAAUGUAUGUGACUUUUGUAAUGAAUAUUAAUGUAAGAUAUAUUUCGAACUUUACUUUUAUUUGAAUUUUUUUAUUUUAAUAUGAUUAACUUAAAAUCGAAAACAAAAAAAUGUAUUAGUUAUUCGGGGAUCGGGGACCUUCGGAGAUCCCCUGUUAUUAUUCAGGGAGGGGAUGGAGAUUCUCUCAAAUAAUUCUGACGGGACGAGGAGGGGACGAGGACAUACGCAAAAUAUCGGGGAUGGGUACGGGGAGAUUGAUCCCCUCCCCUCCCCUCCCCAUUGCCAUCCCUAUGUGUAGUUAAUAAAUAUCCAACCAAUUACAAUUAUGUUUUAAUUAUAUUUCUUUCUUUUUAAAAAAUUAAAUCUCAUGGAUUCUUCUUUUUCUUGAUGUUCUGAUCAAGAUCCAAACAGCUGAUUACACAAUUCCCCACCUGCUCGUUUCUUUCUAUAUCAGCUUAUCAAGGCAAUUUUUUAUUUUUCUCUUUUCAUGGUGAGAAAUACUUUUAUUUAUUAUUCUUAUUUUGUUUCUUUUCUUGACAAUUGACAAAGCUGAGCUACAUCUAAGUCAUUUUCCUUUAUGAUGCUGACCACUGAUGGUUGAUGUUAAGGAAGCUCACAUUUGCAAGAUUAUCAGCAAAGCAGAGGAUCACAGCAACAAUCAUAUGCAGUUACGAGUUGAUGACAUGGCAUGCCAGCUGGAGCCUGGUGGCUAUGUAAUCAGUUAUGCAUGUAUCAAUUAGCUAUAAGCUGUUAUAGUUAGUUGAAAGGAUUAGUUAAUAAUUUGUUGCUAAUUACAACUAUUUGUGCUGAGCUUCAGCUUAGUAUAAAUAACAACAGCUUUGUACAUAUCAUUAAUAAUGUGAUUAAUGAAAUUUAGUUUCUAGAAAACACUCAGAUCUAGUUCAUAUUUUCUUAGUUGCCAAACACGUUUUUCUCGUUCUUCAACUUGGUAUCAGAGCUAGUAACAAUGGCUUCAGUCCAUCUAGCUUCUUCUUCUUCUUCUCAAGCGCCAAUUAAUCAAACAACUGUUAAUUCAACAAAUAUGACAUUCACUUUCAAUACACCUAUCAAGUUAGAUCAAUCCAAUUAUUUGAUUUGGAGAUCUCAAGUUCUUGCUUCAAUUCGCGGCAACAGACUUGAGAAAUUCAUUGAUAACUCAACCACUCCACCUCCUUCACACAUUGCUCAGAGAAUUGAAGAUGAUCUAAGAUCUGUAGAAAAUCCAGAAUUUGCAACUCGGAGAUCACAAGAUCAGGUGCUGCUUGGCUGGUUACCUUCUUCAAUGAGUGAAGGAAUCAUCAGUCUAGUCUUCAAUCUAGAGACUUCUCGAGAGGUAUGGAAAGCUAUAGAAGUUCAAUUUGGAUCUCAAUCUAAAUUUAGACUUCUGCAUUUACGAUAUAUGAUGAAUUCAACUAGGAAAGAUGAUCUGAAAAUUACUGAUUACUUCAUUAAGAUGAAAAGUAUUGCUGAUAAUAUGGCUGCAGCUGGUAGUGCGUUAAGUGAUGAUGAUUUGAUUUUGCAUGUACUCUCUAGCUUAGGUCCAGAUUAUAACUCUGUUGCUACCUAUAUCACUGGACAAGUAGGAGUAGGAAAAAUGAAUGUAAAUGAAGCUUAUACUAUGCUUCUAACUCAAGAAGCUAGGAUUGAACAACAAACUCAUAUGCUAGCUAAUACUGAUGUGAUACAAAACUUUGAGGCUAAUCUUGCCUAUAACAAAGGUUAUAAAAUGGGAAAUAUGUCAGGAGGAAGAGGUUUUGGUAGCUUUGGAUAUAAUUCUGGUUAUGGAAACAGUGGAAACAGUAACAGUAAUGGUUACAAAGGAGGUUAUGGAGGCUCUGGAUUUAAUGCUAAUAGUGGAAAUGCUUAUGGAUCUAACAAUCAGUUCAAGGCUUAUCAAGGAGAUAAUCAGAGAGGUGGAGGAGGAGGUAACUAGAACCAGAAUGCUGGAAAUAGAGGAUUUAACAAUAGCAGACCACCUGGAAACACUAAGCCUCAAUGGAAUGUCUCUAAGCCAACCUGUCAAAUCUGUUGUAGAACAGGCCACACUGCAAAUAUUUGCUGGAAACUUGAGGAAUUCAUGGCAUUUGGAGCUUACAGACCACCACCAAACAGAAAUCCAAAAUCUGCAUAUUUGGCUAAUAUGGAAGGCCCCGCUGAUACUAACUGGUAUUUGGAUAGUGGUGCAACACACCAUCUGACUAAUGAUAUCAACAUGCAUGUUUCUGAAGCUUUUACAGGUAUAUCUAAACUUGUUGUUGGCAAUGGUGCUGGAUUGGAUAUAACACUUAUUGGAAGUGCUGCAUUGAAAUCACAUAACUCCAAUAAUGCCUCUUUAACUUUUAAACUAAAUGAUAUCCUUUUAGUGCCACAAAUUACUAAAAACCUUAUCAGCAUCUCUAAACUCACAAAGGAUAAUGAUGUUGUGAUUGAGUUUACUAAUAAUUUCUGUUUUGUGAAGGACAAUGUGAGAAAUUUGAUCAUAUUGCAGGGCAAAGCUGAAAAUGGUCUAUACAAAUUGCUAUUGGUAAUAGGAAUAGUGUACUGCUGAAGAAGAUUGUACUGAAAUUCAGAAGUUUUGGAUGGAGAAGAAGAACUGAAAAUUGAGGAAUAUGGAAAUGAAGUUUCAUAAAAAACAACAUGACUUGCUAUAUAGAUUUUUCCAAAAGAAUGGAGACAUUUAAAACCCUUAUGCAAAGGACUAUACCCCAGAAAAAUACAUUUGGAUGUAUGAGACUGAAAUUUGUGUUGAUUAUAACUUCUAAGGAAGGGAAAGCAUGAACAUCCAAAUGUUCUCAAGAAUUUGUAAUCUGGAGAGAUGUGAAAUAUAGACUCAUAAGGAGAUUUCAUUGACUGAACUGGUGUAGGCAAUCUGUUUAUAAGGUAUGUGGCUGUAUGAAAAGACUCCCACCAGAAUUUAAUGGGUAGGUUUGCUUGUGCAAGUAGAGUAAGACCAAGUUCUGUAAUAUGCCUAUGCUUUCUCUCUACAAUUCCAUUUUGAUUGUGAGUGUAUGGACAUGAAUGUCUGAAGUGUAUGCCCUCUGUGUGAAGGAGGUUAACAAAGGAUCGAAAUUCUCCCCCCCAGUCUGAUUGAAGACAUUUUAUGGGUUUGUCAAGUUGUUUUUCUAUCUGGUUUUUGAAAAUUUUAAAGACUGAUAGUGUUUCACUUUUGGUUUUCAAAGGAAAGAUCCAAGUAAAUCUUAUGAAAUCGUCAACAAAGCUUAUAUAAUAUAUGUAGCCUUGUGAUGAAAUCACAGGGGCUGGUCCCCAUAAAUUAGUAUGCAAUAUUUCCAGGGGAAACUUUGUUUUGAUAUCAGAAGCUGGAAAAUGAAGUUGGUGCAUUUUUCCUAUUUGACAAGCAUCACAGAAAUUAAAGGUUGUAUUCUUAUUGUCAAGAAUGAAAGAUGAACAUGUUUUGAUUACAUGAUUCAAAAUCUUAGAAGAUGGAUGUCCCAAUCUCUGAUGCAAUACAGAAGUACUUAACAAACACUCAGAGUUUUUACAAGUAGCUGCAGUAGGCAGACAGGAGGUUUUAUUUGAAAAAAUAGAAUUGACAACUGAAAACAUUAAAAGAGGAGAAGUUGAUACAACUGACUCAGCAACAAAGUUUUGACUAUAAGCAGAAGAGGCUGUCUUAUUAGGUGAAACCAAUAGCAAUUUGUAUACCUUUGAAGCUGAAACUGCAGGUAAUGAUUCACAUUCUAAUCACCUUGGUCCUAUAUCUUCACCACUCUCUCACAACACCAUCCCAACCCUCACCACCAGCUGUUGUAUCUCAGCAAUCUAUACCUUCUUCACCAACUCAGCUCAAUCUUCCUAUACUUCUACCUGAUACAACACAAAAUACAUUAUUCUCCCAACCUCCUAUAUCUCACUCUCUGAUUCAACCAACCCACUCAUCUCAACCUAAACCAAAUCUCUCCACACAUAAAAUGAUCACUAGAGCAAAGGCUGGCAUAUACAAACCAAAGGCCUACCUAACAGAUCAUAAUAGCCUGGAACCAUCUACAGUUUCAGAAGCAUUAUCUGAUCCCAAAUGGAAAGCAGCAAUGCAGACUGAAUACCCUUAUGCCUAUGUGCCCAUCCUACAAACUAGUUGGGUGCAAAUGGGUGUUCAGAACCAAGUACAACACAGAUGGCUCAGUUUCAAAACAUAAAGCCAGACUGGUAGCCAAGGGAUUUCAUCAAACUGCAGGUAUUAAUUAUUCUGAAACUUUUAGUCCUGUAGUGAAGUCUUCAACAGUAAGAUUGAUUCUUAGUCUAGCUGUCAUGAACUGUUGGAAGGUCAGACAAAUUGAUGUGAAUAAUGUCUUCUUAAAUGAGGAUUUGUCAGAGGAUGUGUAUAUGGUUUAGCCUGAGGGUUUUGUGUCCAAAGAAGGCUACAUAUGCAAGCUUACCAAGGCUCUAUAUGGAUUGAAACAAGCUCCAAGAGCUUGGUAUGAUAAACUGAAAGGCUGUCUUACUGCCUGGAAUUUCAUCAAUUCAAAGGCUGACACAUCUCUUUUUGUUAAACAUGAUGAUAAGGGCAUUAUUAUUAUCUUGGUCUAUGUUGAUGAUAUUCUGGUUACUGGUCCUGACUCAGCAUUACUUGAAGAAUUUAUCACUAAACUAAGUAAGGCUUUUGCUCUCAAGGAUCUGGGUUUGAUAGCUUAUUUUCUUGGAGUGGAAGUAUGUUACACAACUCAUGGAAUGCAUCUGUCACAGACAAAGUAUAUUAAAGAUCUGAUCAGCAAAGCUUCAAUGCAGAAUUGCAAAGGGUCAGAUACACCCUUCAGUACUGGAUUUAAACUAGAGAAAAAUGUUCAAGGUCCUCUGGGACAAGAAUUUGAAGAACCAGCACUUUAUAGGAGCAUUGUUGGAGGGCUUCAAUAUUUGAUUCUCACCAGGUCUGACAUUGCUUAUUCUGUACACAAACUCAGCCAAUAUCUCAAUACUCCUACACUUCAGCACUGGCUGGCAUGCAAGAAGGUUCUCAGAUAUCUUCAAGCCAUAACUACUCAUGGUUUAUACAUUCAAAAGGAAGGGACACUUGGACUUGCAGGUCUAACAGGAUACUCUGAUGCUGACUAGGCAUGUGAUGUUGAUGAUCGAAAGUCUAUUGGAGCUUACUGUAUUUACCUUGGUAAUAAUCUGAUCUCCUGGUCUUCAAAGAAGCAAGCUAUAGUAGCUAAGUCAAGCACUGAAAGUGAAUACAGGGCACUAUCUUCAGCAAGUUCAGAGCUUUCAUGGUUGCAAUCUCUGUUGUCAGAACUUAACAUUGUUCAGUUACCUACUCCAAUUCUUUGGUGUGACAAUCAAAGUGCUGGAGAGUUAGCUCGAAAUCCUAUUCUUCAUUCUAAAUCCAAACACAUUGAAUUGGAAAUUCAUUACAUUAGAGAUAAAGUGCUUGGAAAAGAAUUAGAAAUAAGAUAUAUUCCUACAGAAGAACAAGUUGCUGAUGUCCUUACUAAAGCUUUGUCAUUUCCCAAGUUUAACUAUUUUAGAUCCAAGCUCAAUGUCAUCAACAGGCCAUUGAGCUUGAGGGGGGAUGUUAAAGAAGCUCACAUUUACAAGAUUAUCAGCAAAGCAGAGGAUCACAGCAACAACCAUAUGCAGUUACGAGUUGAUGACAUGGCAUGCCAGCUGGAGCCUGGUGGUUAUGUAAUAAGUUAUGCAUGUAUCAAUUAGCUAUAAGCUGUUAUAGUUAGUUGAAAGGAUUAGUUAAUAAGUUGUUGCUAAUUACAACAGCUUUGUACAUAUCAUUAAUGAUGUGAUUAAUGAAAUUUAGUUUCUAGAAAACACUCAGAUCUAGUUCAUAUUUUCUUAGUUGCCAAACACGUUUUUCUCGUUCUUCAACUGUUGGAAGUCAACUAUUGUAUAGUAAGAUGAUUUGAAACUUCUUUUAAAACUUCUCUGUCAUCUAGCUUAGAGAACUUGACUGUCCACCAAGAGUCUGGAGUCACCUGUUGCAUCUCAAGUUGAUUUGGUAUUUGUUAUUUUUAAUGAGGAAAUACUUUGCUAGAACUUUCAGAUUGAACAUUGCAGGUAGGAUUAUUAUUCAAGUCGUGACCUUCGAGAACUUGUUGCAGUUGAAUGUUUUUUUUUUUUUUUUGGGGGGGGUGGGGGGGUAAUGACAAAAAUUAUUAAUGUUUAGGAACAACUCUUUAGGGGAGAAGCAUAUAUAUCUGGCUGGCAAUUUUGGCAUAUUCAACUGUUGAUAGUAGAAUGGAUGUAUGGAGGGUUGACUUCAGUGACCACAAUUAAUUAUGUCAUUGUACGGUUAAAUGGUUGCAUUAUGAAAAGCAGAGAUGCGUUAGAAAAUGACAUGGCCUUUGUCAUGCUUAAUCUGUGCCUAUGCAGCUAUUGUAUUAUCUUGGUUAACCUGUGCCUUUUUAAUUCUUGUACUAUGACUGCCUGGUCCUAAGCAAUAUUGAUGGAAAUGACAUCCAGCUUGAAGUUUAUGUAAAUCUUUCAAAAUAAAUUCUGAAUACCCUUGGAUUUGGUGUGUACAAAGUCAAAGAAUCCAUUUAGCUGGUCCUACAAGUUUUAGACUUUGCAGGGAGGCUUCAGAUUUAUAAAUAUGUAACAAAAAAGGUGUAGACUACAUAAAAAGACUUAAAAAAAAAGUGUAUAGAAUUAUUAGCUAUGCUUAGAUAAAUUCCCGGUAAUUACCUUUCUAGUAUUACUUUUUUUCUUGUUGUUUCUUUGAGAUAUUUCAAGAAAUAUACAAUAUAUGCAAACAUAUAACUUCUUGAAAUUUGUAAUUAUAGGAUUCUGUUGACUGGUUGGUUCUAUACCUCUUUGUGGGAAUGGGCGAAACAUCUUGAUACCUUUACCAAGAUCAGUUAGUGCUGAGGUUUUGGCUAUUACUGGAGCUGGCGUGUGACUGCAUGAUCAAGAUGCGUCAAACCUUCCACUGUUCUAUUGGUUUGCCUUUAUCAUUCGGAAUCCAAGUUUGAUAUUAACAGAGAUCACAUCAAUAAUAUCCUAUUUGGGUAGAUGUGGGUGAGGAUUUAAAAUCAAAUUUGAAAUUGAGAGGAAAGAAAAGGAGCCACAAUAAUUAAACAAAAUAAUUCUGAUGAGUUUUAAUCUCGAGGAACAAUUUUCAAAUGCAAAUUUAACUGCUAGAGAAAUUGUAGCUUUUUGUCAUUAGUUAAAAGGAAAAAGAAUAAGAACUAUCCGGCCCUUUCCUUCAUGAAUGUGUUGAGGUUGCUGUAUUAUUUAGUCAGUAUUUGUAAUUUUCUUCCCUGCAGUGCUCUCUGCUUCCUGAAUUUGCUACUGAGUCCAUAUUUUUCUUUGAGCUUUUGCUUCCUAUUGCUGUUACAGGUGCAAAUCUGGGCAAGCAAUAAGAUACACCGGGAGGAAAGGUCAUCAAUGCGAAAAUGGGAUGUCCGAUCCCUCAUCACAUCUUCUUCAGAUUUGUAUGGUCCAGAAAAGUCUGCUAGUGUUGAAAAAUUACCUAGGCAUGUAAAAUUUACUUUUAAGAAUCCUGUUAGGUGCUGCAUUAUUUGGAUCACAUUACAUCUUCAGAGACCUGGUUUGGGUUCAGUUAAUUUCGGGAAGGACUACAGCAUUUGCAGAUGAACCUUCAGAACAAGAUGAUUCAGGAUUGAGAGCUCCACUUGUGGCCACAGGUUUGUCUUUGUCAAACAGAAUCAAGUUAUAUUAUUAUUGUGAUCCUUAUGAGCUCGGAAAAUGGGCAAGCCUUUCUGGAGUUUGAUCGUUAUUUAUAUGUCAGAGAAAGAGUUUUGGGUUUGAUUUUGAUUUGUAAUUUUUGUCAGUUUAUUGAAAUUUUGUUGUUGUAUAAAAGCAGAAUGUAAAGGUAUAAAAAUUCAUUGAUGCUGUAAUGUCUGUACUUUUGAGAAAGAAGAAUUCAAUGUCUUUUCUAUGCCAUUGGAUUUUCCACUGCUGGUAAAACCUGAGCUGUCGAAUGCUCUGUGAACCUUAAGGGCUAGAAAGUAAUUUUCUUUUUUUUUUAAUUCUUUUAUAUACAUAUUAUUAUUGAUAUUACAUUAGACAUUACAAUUACAAUAUUUAUAAUCGUACUAAAUAACUGAGACCAACGUCAUACAUUAACUCACGCCAUACAUUAACUCACUGAAGCACUUGUCCAAAUACUUUAAACCUCUCUAAUAUUCGAGGAGUGUCUACUCUAUUCACAUUUUGUUAGGGAGAGACUGUCUCUACUCAAUUAGUUGAUAAUUAAGAAAGAAUUGAAACUAACCUCCAUAAUGUUCUUAUGAAAGCUCGAACUCUUGCACUCAACAUUAUAAGUGCAAGGUUUCUACCAUUGAACCAAAGACCCAUUGGUGGCUAUAAAGUAAUUUUCAAGAGUGAAGGAUUUAUUAAUCGAGUUCAAAAGAUUGCAAGCUGGUGAGCGUUGGCAUUUAAAAAUCAAUUGUUAUCCUCUCAAUAAUCUCUCUCUUCUGCCGACACCCGAAGCUCAGAAACCCGUUGUUCCGACGGACGUGUAACACUUCCAGAAAUUAGCCUUUUCUUCUAUAUGAAGGUUGAUCUCUCCUCCUGCAGUGUUUUCUUUUUCGAGUGAAGGUGGUUUUCUACUUACAUAUGUCGGGGGUCUUACAAUAUCUAAUGUGUGAAAUUUCUUUCUCAUUUUACCAUAAAGAAAAUGUCAGUAAUGAUUUAAAGCUCGAGUCUUAAAUUAUCUUAAAUUAAGAAUCUCUCAUUACAUUGUCAACCAAAAAGACACUUACAUAAGAAGAAGAAUUUGUCAGUUUGAUUUUAUUUGUAGAUCCAACAUUUCUCAUAUCCUGAGUGCCUUUCCGUAUCAAAUUAAAAUAGUAGUAGCAAAAUCGUAGUGCACAUUUAAUUAACCAACUAAUAGUCUAAGCAAAGAGAGGAUUACAAGUUCACAACACCAUUACAAAGGAUUCAAAAUCCCCGCACGAAAACAUCAAUGUACAGUUAUAAACAACCCGAAUUGGACACAAGAAAAACCCUUCAAUGGAUUGUUUGCCUUCCCAAUGCUAUAUACUGUGCAAACUGCGCACUGGCCAAGAAAAUGUUUUCAAUUUAGUGUACUUUCAAAAUGCUUAUUUUCUCAGAAUAUUAAAAAAAUAAAAAAAUAAAAAAAUAAAAAGAAUUCUUACAUGUUUCAUCAGCAUGAUUAAAAUCAAAGAAGAAAGCGAGACAUAAUGUCUCUGACAUAAUAAAAUUACAAAAAUUUCAAAAAAAAUGUUAAAACAUGUAAACAUGAAAGUAUUUUCAAAAGCAAAAUGGAAUACAUAGAUAAAACAUCAUCUUAAACAAAUCACAAUCUAGAAUUAGAGCAUUUUUGACAUACCUAAGGAAAAAGAAUACGUGAAAAUGGGUGACUCAUUUGCUAAGGAGUGUUGAUUUGAUUGGCUCUGCAAAUUCUCUUGGGGCUCAGUUCCAAUUCCUCUACAUCCAAAGUUCCACUCGCGCUUGGCAAAUCAUCCAAUUUCCAAACUUCGGUAGCAAAAUUGAUAGUAAAAGUGUUGUCUUUUGUUUCGCUGGGAUUUGCAUAUACUGGACAUAAUCCGCAACGUUUUAUCUUGUAAAACUUUCGCUCAGCGAAGAACUUAAAUGUGGCAAUUGUAUGAUGGUAACCAUCAGGAAACCCAACAUUCAAGCAAGGUUUAAAACCAAGUAUGACACGAUCUGAAUCAAUAAGGUCUUCAAUAUAGCGCGAAUUGUAACCCAGAUCAACAUGUUUGGUUUCAGAGAGAGUCUUUAUUUCUAAGUCGAAUUGAAAGCUGACGUAAAAAUAACGAAAACAAUCAGAAUCAACUUUCUUAGAAUCAAGAACAGCACAAAAAGCAAACCCGAUUAAGUUUCUGCAAGAAGAGUGCGGUGGCAGUUGAAUACAUAUCGAAGAUCCUGAACUUUGAUUGCUAAACCAGUCAGGAAUUUCGCUCCCAGGUAAAACAAUUAGGGAUCCCCUGAGUUCAGAAAGUUUCUGUGAAAGGACAUUUAAAAAAAGAAAAUUGUAAAAUGAAAACCAUUGAUUUCAGAUAUAAGAAAGAGGGACAGAGUAAACAAGAGAGGGAAUUUGAUACCUCGUUGAUUGCCAUUUCAUAGCCCAGUCUCAGUGAUGCAAUUGCCAUAUGCCGAAUUCUUAGUAGUGAAUCUGCCAAAAUCUUGUUGUUUGCUUUUCCAUUCAGUUUCAAGCAGUUAGUAAACUCAAAACAAAUUGCUGCUGACUUCAGAGAUUCUGGUGCCCAUUGAAGGUCAGGAGAGUGUUUGGAUAGCUUUUCGAGUACGGAUGCAUCUAGUUCUUGUAGACAUAACAGAAUCUCUGGCAAAGAUUGAAGCCGGUUGCAGUUCCUUACAGUUAGUAACUGUAGACACAAUGGAAGUUCUGGUAAUGACCGAAGCAUGUUACAAUCCUCCAAGUUAAGAUAUUGUAGACACAAUGGAAGUUCUGGUAAUGACCGAAGCAUGUUACAACCCGUCAAGUCAAGAGAUUCUAGACAAAAUGGAAGUACUGGUAAUGACUGAAGCAUCUUACAAUCAAUCAAGUGAAGAUAUUUUAGGCACAAUGGAAGUUCUGGUAAUGACUGAAGCAUAUUAAAAUCCUCUAAGUGAAUAAACCUCAGCUGCGACAUUUGCUUGAUAAUUGCAGGUAAACUCUCAAAGUUAUUUCCACUUAGAUACAAUAUUUCCAGUGAGGAUAGAUAGGCAAUCUCUUGUGGAAUUUCCCUUACAGCAUAGUCACUUAUAUGUAGAAGUCCCAUAGCAGAUAAACCUAAUAAAAAUGUUCGAGGAAAUGAUUCCAAACCUUUGCAGUGAGAGGAGUCAAGACUUCUAAGCAUGUUUGACAAUGCAACAGAGGAUGGUAGUUGACUAAUAGCUGAUGCAGCUGCUAAGAUGUAAUACAAAUAUUCUAAAGAGCCAAUGUUAUCCGGUAAAUUAUCAAGUUUAGAGCAAUCUUCUACGAACAAUACUUCAAGCCCCGGUAGAUUUUCAAAUGACGAUGGCAGCUCUGUAAUUGGCGUCCUGUCUGAAUAGAUGCGUUUUAAAUGUUCCAUUUUCUCCAAGAUUUCUGGGAAAUGCUCAAGGUUCAAGCAGCCAAGAAGAAUAAGCGUAACCAAAGAUCUCAAUUUACAAAAGCUUGUUGAAAUCCGCUUCAGCCGUUUGCAACCCCUCAAAUCCAACACUUCAAGAUCAGUUAGACACUCUAUUGAUGAUGGAACUUCUUCUAUUGCAGACUGGCCUAAGUAUAGCCGUGUAACUUUCCCAGAAAUUUGUGGAAACUCUAUGAGAUUAACACAAUAGGAGAAAUUAAUAGUUACUGGACAAACAAAAUGAAGAUUGCUUGGAAAAGACCUAAGACUUUGGCAGCCCUUAAAAGACAACGCACUGAGAUACUUGAAAUUCUGGAUAGAUGAGGGAACACAAGCCUUUUCUCCUUCCCAAGGUUGCUCAACUUUACUACAACGCAAAUUCAGUUCAACAAGGUUCUUUGGCUUGAAAUUUGAUGGCAGUGUCCUUAAUGGAUAUGUGUCCCAAUGAAGAUAUCUCAAUUUUUUAGGAAGAUAAUCUAGGCCAUUUGGAAGCUGCACUUUAGAGUAUGAAAGUUGCUCUUCAGUGCUCAUGCUUGGAAGCUUUUCAAUCUCAUAAAACUUAGGUACAUAAAAUUUGAACAAUCUCAGAUUAGACAUAUUUGUGAAGGCUCUGGGGUCUAAAUUGAUGCCUUUUAUUUUGGACAGAUCUAGAAAUAUGCCUUCAAUUGCAUCGGUCCCCUUAUAAAAAAAAAAACAAAAACAAAGAAUGGGUAAGCCUAAAACAGAAAAGAAACAUUCGUAAACUUUAUUAACUAAGAGCUCCUUAAACAAAACAAAUUCUACAAUCUUUGAUUUAUUUUUUAAAUAUAUUAAAUAUCUAUAUGCGAGAAAAGAAAAUUUUGGGGACCAUUGCAAAAUUAAACUAACCGAAAAAAAAAAAUCAAAAUUUCUCUAAUUUACAAACCUGUUAUCUUAAUAUUUAGAAGUUGAGAAGACAUGGCUUAUUUGAUUGGUAUAAGAUUUCGAAUUUUUUUAGAGUCCAUAGAAUCCAAAAUAUUAGUCCAAAAUUAGGGAAAAAAAUGAAAGAUUUUUUUACCACUAGCUAUAAUUGUAUUCAAGUCAAAUUGAGAUACGACCCUUUUCGAAAGAAUUUAUCCGUCUUACAGCCUCCUUAAGAUACAUUUAAGCUAAAAGGAGUGAUUGGAGGCAGAACUAGGUGGGCCAAUCAGUCCAUUUUAUUAGCGAUUGUUGCUUAAAAAAAAUGAUACUCUAAAACACACUUACUUUUUUUGAAAAAAAAAUAUAAUUAUAUUGAAAUAGAACCAGGUGGGCCAAUUCUCAUGGCACUCACUUUGUUCUUACACACUUCACUAAAUUUGAAGAAAAAUAAAAUUAUACUCUUCACACUCUUAUUCAACAUUUCAAAAUUGAUAAAAUCUGGAGUUUUCUUUAAAAUUUUAAAAUUUGAAGACUUGUUCUCUUGACACCCUCAGUCAUUAAUUUCACCUAAUUAUGGUUUUGAUGAUUUUGGUUGUUUUGUUCAUAAAAUAAUUUUACUAAAGGAUGUUCUCGUAAUAAUAAAAAUUAUAAAAAAAACAUAGGUGUGCUGGUGUGGUUGGGAAAAUACGAGUGCAGAACUCGAAACAAAUAAAAGAUGUAUAAAAUAAUGGAGGAUUCUUACCUUAUUAUGCUUUAGUACGCGGCUGAUUUCCUUAGGAUCCCACAACCUGCUGCGUUUGCCUGGCUCUUUCUCAGAUUCUUGGCGAACAAUCUGUCGCCCCAUUUCUUGCAAUAUAUCAUGCAUGUUCAAGAAAUUACCUGAUAUUGAUACGAGUGACUUAUCAAUAAGGAUAUCCAGCACAUCAGACUCAGAAUCAUCAAGAAUGCUUGCCACAAAAUCUUUAUCCUCUCCCUCAAAGAAACACGCAAUAUCUAGAAAUAUACUCUUCACCCUGGGCGUUAAUUUGUUAAAACUAAUCUUUAAUAUAUCAUAAAUAUCAUGAAUUUCAGAUUCACAAAUCCGAUUUAAGUCGUGCAAUACUUUUCCCCAAUGGCUUUUCCUCUUGAGGCACAGGGAGGAACCCAACACUUCAAGAACUAAUGGAUUGCCUUUGGUAUAUGAUACAACACUCCGUGAGUGCCAGUUGAGAUCUUCAGGACAAUGAUUUUCUUUAAAAGCGAAGUUACAAAAAUGCUCGAAAGCCUCUUCAAAUUCCAAUCCAUUAACCCUAUAUAUUUUCUUCUCCUCCCCUCUAAAUUUUUCGAGGACUCGUUUGUCUCUGGUGGUUACAACAAUUCUACUUCCUUGACCAAAUUGAUCAAGCUCUCCAAUCAGACGCUUUAAUUGUCCAACUUCAUUCACAUCAUCGAGUACUAUCAACAACUUCAUGCGUCGGACCCUCUCUUUAGUAAAAUGUGGAAUAUUGGGACCAGCUACUUCAAGUUUUUCGCUUAAUGUUGUUGAAAGCAUUUGCUUUUGGAGAUGUUCUAAUCCACCCGCCGUUUCUGAGUUUCCCCUAACAUCUGACACAAAGCAACUACCUUCAAAUUCAUGGGAGAAUUGGUCGAAAAUAGCUUUGGCAAGGGUGGUUUUGCCGAUACCACCCAUGCCCCAAAUUCCAACAAUUUGGACGGUAUCCGAUGAAUCCAUACACAGAAAUGGUUUAAUCUGCUCAAUUCGUGAAUUUAAUCCAACUAGGCCAUUGGAUGAGUCCGUUGAGACUGUUAUUUUUUCCAACUUCUUCAAAACAUCUUCGACAAUUUUGUUUACAAGUUGCGCAUCAUGCCUAAUACAAAGGUGCAAAGAUGCAAAAACAUUGAGUCAAAUCGGGCCAUGACAGAAACAGAGAAAAGAUGAAUUAGGAAAGAGAGUUACCUGAAUUUCGCGGAUUCGUGGCCGGCUAGAUGGGAUGUUUCUGUCAGUGCAUCCCUCCACUUCAGAACCAUUUCUGGUUUAUCUUGGAACUGUUUUUUGAGCUCAUCAAAACCGUCUCCAAAAGUUCCAUUUUGAUGCCGCACAUCAGAUGGACUUACUCCAUAGAAAACCGGAAUAAUGAUUUGGCCCUUCAUCUUCUUGCAUUCAAGAAUCUUGAGAAGUUCAUGCAGGCACCAUUUUGAAGAAGCGUAGUCCUUUGAGAAAAUGACCACCGAAAUUUUUGAACCUUGGAUUGCGUUCAAAAGGGCAGGUGAAAUCUCAUCUCCUCGCCUAAGCCCUUCAUCAUCAAUAAAUGUUCUGAUUUUCUUUCUUUCAUACAAAUUAUCAUAGAGAUGGCAAGUAAAGCUCGUACGAGUGUCCUCCCCUCUAAAGUUGAGGAAGACUUCAUAAUUGCCAGAAGAAGAAGAAGAGGAAGCCAUGAAGGAAAUUUUAGAAAUUUUGGUGACAGAAACAGAGAAUUAUUCUUGGAAGUUGAGAGAGGAGAUGUAAGAAUGAACAUGUGUGAAGAUUCUUGCGAGUACAUAGUAAAUAAUUGAAUGGCUGGAGCUUUCUUAGUUUCCUGGAAAUUUCCUGGAGCUUUCGUAUACAUGAUUUGUCAAGUCAUGAAAUAUAAUCAUGAUAAUGGGGCAGACCAGGAAGAAAAGCAACAAUUCAAAUAUUUGAUUCGACCAAUAAGGGAAGGAAAAGCAAAGAAAGGAAAUGUUGAAAGUAGAUGUAGGGAAUUAUAAAAAGCAAAAGGAAAAUGGAAUUUUGUGCAAUUUCAAUAUGAGAACCUAUAUUGGGAGAUAUUAUAAUCGAAUUAAAACUUAAAAUUUCAAUAUUAUUAUUCUUUUUUUAAAAAUUGAGAUAUCAGAGUAAUAUCACAUAGAAAAACUUGCCCACGGUAAGCCAAAAGUCUAGUCAACCACAUGCAUAAAGCUAACUAGAACAAGAGAACAGAGAAACGCGUGGGUCCCUAAAAGAAAAGGCAAGCACAUAAAUAAAUGAAAAAGCCAUGACGUUUCUAUUUUACAUGUCAUUCCUAAUUUUUGUAACACGGUGUGGCAGCAUAUGCACAAUCAAAUGAAGCAAAAGGGGUUCAACUAUCGUGGCAGAACAUGGACGAGGACGCGUGAUGAAUAAUUCCUUCGAUAAAACGAAAAACAAACGCAGAGAAAAGAAUUUCUUACAUGACAAGAAAUCAAAGUAAUGUGAAGGAACAUGAUGAAGAAAUUGCAGACCGAUCAAUUAUCCCCAUGGACUCCUAUAAAUUCAACCAAAAUAACAAUUCCAAUAUUACCAAAUUCUUGAGUUAAAUUUAUUCAAUGCUUUUAUUUUUGGGGGAAAUUAGAACCGCGGCAAGUAUAGAAGACAUUGAGGUGUAAAGCAACAUUAAUUUCAUGGGUUAUGCCUUAUACACAUAAUAUAUUUUCAGUCCAAAUUCAACUAUGCAAAGAGGCUUGAGAACUUAAAAUUAAGCACAAACUAAACAGACGAAGUAAAUACAUGAUUAUGCAACAUAACAUUAAUUCUCUCAAUUUAUAACUGUUUUUGCUACAUGAAUCUUGCACAGUUAAUCCUAAUUGAAUUCUAAAAAAGAACGAUUGGAACAAUGUUAUUUCAAAAACGUACGUUCAUAAGCGGGUCGGUCAGCAGAGUAGAAACCUUGGAUCAGGGUAUCAACUUGGAAACCAAAUUUCUUGUAAAGAUUCACAGCGGGAGUUCUCAAAGGAUCAACAUGAAGCGUUAUGCAGAGCACAGUUCUGGUUCUGCAUUUCUUAAUUGCUGCUUCUAGCAGUGCCUCUCCGUGACCUUGUCCCCGAUAAUUCUCCUUCACUAAUUAAGUUAACCCCAAAACCCAUUAAUUUCAUGUCAAUUAAAAAGAAAAAGAGAAUGAAUAACUAACAAAUAUUUCUUUGAGGACUUUUAUCAAACAGUUGAGAUGGCGGGCAUGCAGUGGAAAUUUCAACAAUGGGGACAAAGAUAUGGGACCUGCAAGCUUGGUGAUAGAAGCAGACAAGGAAGUAGGCCACGCGUACAUGACGUGGCCAACGACUUGUCCGUGAAUCUGAAUGUAAAGCAGGCCUGAGUUCUUCUUUUUCAGUUCCUCAUCAAAAGAUCUUGCCAGUGAUUCGUGCUUGGGAAAAAUCUUCUUCUCCAUCUUCACAAUCUCGUCCACUACGACAGUCCAGUUCGUUGAGUUUCUCUGCAGCUCCGUGACGGUUCCAUUACUCCCCAUGGCACGUGGCUUGUUGCAACUUACAGCUGAUCCAGCACGUAUAGAAAAUUAGAAAUGAAGCCUCCUAGCAUUCUUUCGAACAGGCAAAAAAAGUCAAUGGACAUAGUGGUGCCAUGUGUGGAAAUGUUAAGAAGAUGAUGAAGCCCCCAAGAGGCCAGCGUGGCGUGGCAUUGCACCUCAUCAUUUUUUUAAUGCUAAUCUGUAGAGCGGCCCAAAAUGCCGGCACAAUAUAUAGCUGGCAAAGCCCACCCAAGCCCAACUAUUUGGGCCAACAUAUCAUAAAUUAAUACAAAUAUAAAAUGCACGGUACAACGCAGACAAAGAUGAUUUGUGCAGAUAUGUGCUUCCUUUAUGGGUUUAAUUAUAUUGGUACCGCUCUAAGGUAGAGUAUUCUUUCAUAACUACAUGAUUAAAGUCAUAAUGAAUUUUUUAUUAUUUAUUAUUUUGCGUGUGUGAUUGAGAUUCGUGAUCCACCAUAGAUUAGCUCCAACAUAGCAGUAGCCUUCUUUUAUUGCUCAUCAUCUUUAGCAAACAGUCAUUGGCUUUGGAUGUUGCUACAAUUUAUUUUGCAUAAUUGACAAGGAUAGUCGAUGUGCAUAAUGUUGGAAAUUUUAUUAUAAUAUAUCAAAACACGUAAUAAUUGUUUAACUAUAUUAAUACUGGAUUAAUUUGACGAAUUAUGAAAUGACAGUAGGCAUUAUAUUUUAGAGGAAAAAUUAAAUAUAACAACCUAAAAAGUAGGGAUAAUCUCUUAACCAAACUAAAGAUGUAGGACAUCUAAAAGUAAAUUUAGCUAAUGUGUAGUACAAUUACAACAUCUUAGAAUAUGUCAAAACUUGAAGUGUUGUUGUGUUGAAAUAAGUUCCUAUACUAUUAUGGACAUGUAUGAGAUGUACUAAAAACAAAUUAAAUAACCCACAAUAGAUAUGACACGACCACCAAAAGAGACACACUAUUCUCACUAGGUAGUUGUAACAAGAGCGAAAUGUUUUAACCUAUAUCUACAUGCAUUACUAGAAAAAAAGGUCUUUAUUACAAGUAUUACCUACCAUCUAUCAUGUUGCACGAUAAUUGAGUGACCGUCAUUGAUUUCGGUGUCAAGAAAAUAAGAUGAUUGUUUACAUACGUCAUUUUAUGUAUGACAUAUUAUCUGAUACUAUUUUGGUCAUAACUGUUUUGAUGAAAAAUUUCGCGUAUGAUUAAUAUUUGUCAUAAUCACUUCCAUGCAUGACUAAUAUGUAUCAUAAGAUAAUGACAUAUACAAAUAAAUUUGGUGGGAUUCCAAAAUUUUAAAUGAAUUUUGUUGUGAAUUUCAAAAUUUAGUGGAUAUUCAUAUUUUUUUAUUCCAUUAUUAAUUUAUUCCAUUUGUUAUUAUUUGUAUUUAAUUAAACAAAUAGUUGAAGGAAGGUCCCACCCUAACAAAAAGUUGAUGGUUGUUAUACACUAUAAAUAAGAGCGAUAACGUCAUUAUCUGCGCAGACCAAAGAGAAUUUCAAUAACUAAGUUAAUUUUAUUUAAAUAAAAAAUCUCAAUUAUAUACACGAAAGCUCGGCACGUGUGUCAGUCGCAUAUCUGAUAAUAUAUAUACACACACAAACACAUACACACAUAUACAUAUACAUAUACAUAUAUAUCUAUAUAUAAAUUUUAUUUAUAAUCUUGUAAACUGAAUUUUAUAAAAUUAUAAAAUAGUAAAAGCAUUGUAAACACUUCUCAAAUUUUAAUUCUAAAUUUUAAUUUUAGACCUGAAUAUAUACCCACACAUAUGGCAUAGGUAAUUCCUCCAUAGACUCUAGAGUUUGGGUUAAUUUUACUUCCAAGAUUAUUCAAAAUAGUAUUUUUAAUUUAUAUAGUUUAAAUAUUCAAACAAAUCUAACAUAUAACAAAGAUACACACACACACACACACACACACACACACACACACACACACAACAUGUAAAUUAAUAUUAAAUGUAAAAUAAAAUAUAAGUGUGCAAAUGAAACAUAAGACUUGUGAAUGGAAGGUAAAACAAUUAAAUCAACAUAAGAGUGGUAAAUUGAUAUAUUACCGGUAAAUAAAAUAAAAGCUUAUAAAUAUAACAUCAAACUUAUAAAUCAAUAUUAAGUGUAAAAUAAAACAUAAAUGAUGUAAAUGGAAUAUAAGACUUGUGAAUAAAAGGUAAAAUAAGUAAAUUAAUAUAAGAGUGGUAAAUUGAUAUAUCAUUGGUGAAUAAAAUAAAAUUUUUUAUUAAUAUAACAUAAAACUUGUAAAUCAACAUUAAAUAUAAAAUAAAACAUAAAUUAAGUAAAUAAAACAUAAGACAUGUAAAUAGAAUAUAAAACAAGUAAAUUGAGAAAGGAGUGGUAAAACGAUAUAUUAGUAAAUAAAACAUAAACUUACAAAUGUUACAUAAAACUUGUAAAUCAACAUUAACUAUAAAAUAAAAUAAAAAGUAAGUAAAUAAAAUAUUAAACCUGCAAAUAGAAAGUAAAACAAAUAAACUAACAAAAGAGUGGUAAAAUUAUGUAUUAUUGAUAAACAAAAUAUAAACUUACAGAUGAAACAUAAAAAUUAUAAAUCACUAUUAAGUGUAAAAUAACAUAUGAAUUAUGUAAAUGAAAUAGAAGAUUUAUAAAUGAAAUGUGAAAUAAGUAAAUAUUAUAAGAAUUAUUAAGAAAAUAAAACUUACAAAUAUAAAAAUAAAAACUCACUACAAUAAUGAUUACCUUAUAUAUUUAUUGUUUUUAUUUCUAAAUUGAAUGAUGAUAAUUUUGGGUCUAUAUAAUACAUGUAAUGAUAUUUGUGAAAUUUUAUUAAGGAUAAAACUUAUUUCUAAAAUCAAAUUUUGAAAAAAAAAUUUCAUAUUUUUCAAAAUUGUUUGCAAGAGAAGUGAUUUUGCAUCCUAAACCUGCUUGACAACAACCCUAAAUAAGAUUUUUUUUUUUUUUUUUGGCUUGAUUCACAUUAAGAAAAAUAAUUUUACUUAAUUAACUUGUAUAUUUAACAAAUAAUAUGACGGAAAAAGAAAAAAAGGUUUAUAAGUGUCCUAGCAUGAACAUAGAAUUUAUGGUUAAACCAAUUUAAUGAAAUUUAUUCCAAUUGUCUUCAAUAUAAAUUAUUUGUUUUCAAUUGAACAGCAACUUUUUUCAUUACUUAAAUAAUUAAAAAAUAAUUUUUUUUAAAAUUAAAGUUUCAUGCUAAUUUACAAGCUUAUGUUAUUUUAUAAGUAACACUAAUUUACAGUUCUUAUAUUAAUUUACUUGUUUUACCUUUUAUUUACUAUCUUUAUAUGUAAUUUAUGAAAUUUAUAUUUAUCACGAUAUUGAUAUCGUAAUUUUAAUCACGGUAUUGUAGAAUUUUCCUUAACGACAAAUAUGAGCUUGAUAUCGUCUUUUCAUCUGCAACUUCCUUUAUUUAUUUAUUUAUUUAUUUAUUUUGAGAGAGAGAGGGCAACUUCCUUUGAUUCAAAAUUGGGAACUUUUUGGCCUUUCAACUUAGGCUAAUGUUAAUUGCUAAGUUACACACAUGUAACUUACAAUCAUCUCACAUGAAUAGUGAAUGGUGUGGGCUCACUCACUAUUUAUGUGAAAGAGUUGUAAGUUAUAUGCGUGUAACUUAGGGGGAUCCUUCAACUUAACCUUACUAAACAUCUUCGAUCCUUUCACUAAAUUAAAGUUUUCUCAGUCUCCUUGCCCAUGUCAAAAGACUAAAAUACCCUUUAGGCAUCAAAAUUUCUCAAUAAGACAUGGAGAUGAAAAGAAUUUAUUAUGUGACUGUUCUAAUGCUAUAUUGAUGGUGUGUAAGACAUUACAAUUGUAGGAAGAAGAGGAUGAAGUCAUGAAACACAGACGAAUGAAAUUAAAAAUCUACUUUUUUUAUUUUAAAUAUCUACUGUUGGGUUAUACAAGAUCAAUAGAUGAGAAUUUAUGUCAAUAUUUGAAAUUAAAAAUUUUAAUUAAAAUGGCUAGUCCUUUUUUAAUACUUUUUAAAUAAAUUCUUCAGUGUAAUAUGACAACUGAAAUUUGUACAAGGUAAUCUGAAAAUUAAACGAAUCUAAAAUCUAAAAAUAACUUUCAAAAACGGAUGAAAAUCACUGAUUAAGAAUAAUAUAUUAUGUGGUUGAAGCUUUCGUUUUAUCAAUCUUCUUUCUACCAUUGAUUUUCCCACGACUUUCCGGUUUCAUUUCUUGAAUCUCCAUGGAAACUUUCAAUAAACCAUAAAAUAAACUAGCGGUGUUUGGUUUUAAGAAAGGGAAUGAGAGGAAAAUAGUGAAAUGUAAGGAAAAUGAGAAAAGAGGAGUGAAAAAGGAUAGUGAAAUUAAAUUUCAUUAUUUAGUUUGACAUAAAAUUUGAUAGGGAAAAGAAUUGUAAUUUUUUUCUUUGGAUAAAUUUAUCCUUUGCCUUAAAUAUUAAAUUAUCUAUAUUAGUAAUAAAAUAUAAUUUAAUAUUAAUACCAAACUUUUUUAAUUUCAAAAAGUUCUAAAACAAUUCAUGAUUUAUAUUUAAUAUAAAAUAUAAAAAUAAUUUAAUAUAUUAAACUAUUUAAUAUAAUUUAAUAUAAAUAAAAGCUAGACAACAUAAGUCAACGCCGGUCAACAUAAGUCAUCACCGGUCAACAAAAGUCAACAUCGGCCAACACAGGUCAAUGGAAGUCAAACGCCGGCCGGAUAUUUUCUGACAAAAUUCCGGCGAGUUCCGGCUGAGAUCCGGUGUACCGACGGUGGUUCGGCGAAUUCCGGCGGUUGUCCGGUGACCUUCCGGAAAGGUCCACAUGGAAGUCCAUUUAUAAUGUUAAAUCAAUAAAAUAAAAUUAUAAAUAAUAAUUAUUAAUGACAUUAAAUAAAUUUAAAAAAUGAAAGGUUAUUUUGAAAAUUUUAGUUUCUAAUAUAAGAAAAUUUUAAAUUAUUCACUGCUAAGUCUGAAAUUCAAAUUCUACAUUAUAAUGAAUAUUAAAUUCAAAUGGAAAUUAAAUUCUUAUACAUUUUCUCAAAUUAAAUAAUAGAAAUAAAAGAAUUUUAAAUUAUUUUUCUCUCCUACAUUCUCUCCUCCCAACCAAACACCAUUUAAUGAAUCAUUUUCUGGAACACAACUAUAAUUUUAAUAAAUGGGCGGACCAUCUAGAAUAGUAUAUAUAAUUCUGUUUAAUUAAUAAGUUGAAAAAACCAUCAAGAGAAAUUCUAAUAUUAUGAGCUUGACACAAAUUCUUCACUAAUUCCAAAAUAAGGAGUUGUUUUAUAAGAACUGUGGUGUCUAUGUUUUCUAUACAUUUCGCUGCUAACUUUAACCAAUUACUUUAUUUCAACUUUAUUUUCUGGCGGGCACUAUAUGGUGGGUCCAAAAUGGGACCUACAAUAAUCAAUCAUAAGAUUUAGUACGGCUAUCAAAUAGCUAGUGCUAUUUUGGGUUUGAUGGAAGAGAUUGAAUAUUUAAUUUUAACUUAACCAUUCAACUAAUUAGAAAAUAAAUAAAAUUAAAUGAAAUAUUUAGAUAUUAAUUUAAAUAUUAAUAUCGGGAUAUAAAUUAAUUAUAAUAUAGUUCAUUACAUAAAAUUGAUUAAAUUAAUAAUUACACACGAACAUAGAUGUAUAUGCGUUCCAAUUUCCAAAGUGCUCAAAGCACUUUUCUCACCGAACUUUCCUCUGAAUUUCCCAUAGCUGACUCCUUUGUUUGCAUUUUUGGAAAUUUUUAGGAGCUUUUUCUAUUUAGUAUAUUGUACAUUUUUCUUUUCAGGUGAGAUUAAUUUAACUUAAAUUAGAAAAUCUUAUCUUUUUUUAAUAUUAUUUAAAUAAAAUCUGUCUAUCUUUCAUUUUAUCUGUCUACUUUCUACCCAUUAAUUAAGACUUUUCGAUUUCUUUUUGCCUAAGAUUUUCAUUGACUAUCUUUCAAUAAACCAUAAAAAUUACUGUGUCAUUUAUCGAUUAGAUGACCAUAUUUCAAAAUAUCAACAAUAAGUUGCUCUUAAAUAUUUCAUUAAUUGUUGAAGAAUUGUGAUCAGUGUGGACAUCUACAUAAAAAUUAUAUUGAAACACAGCUAAAAGAUAAAAAAAAAUAAAAUAAAUAGCAAUACACUAAAAUGUUUUAGUUGUCGUUAGUUUUCAGUUUCAUUACUUAAGUCCCACGUGCAUAAGUCACGUGACUGAGGUCAAAAAAAUGAUUGUCACAUUAAAGUUCGAGGUACCGAGAGGGGUAAUUAAGGAGUGGAGCUAUUGACACCCCUAGAUUAAUCUUACAAAACCCCACUUUAAAUAAAAUUACAAUUAAGGACAAUUGAAAAUUAAACAAUUAUAGAUUUUUUUUUACAGUAAAUUACUUAAUUCAUAAUCAAUCCUUUUUAAAAAAAAAAAAUUAUAUGUUACGUCCUAUCUAACUAAAAUAAAUUGUACAAAUUUAGAAUAAUCUAUUAUUCUCUUUUGAUUUCUUAUUGAUUAAAUAUUUUUAUACUUAAAAUUGCUUUGAAAUUAUAAUUUGAAAUAUGUGUUAUUUCAGCCAAUGAUUAAUACAAAAAAAUUAUCACCCAUAUAAUUUUUUAAUUUUUUUGUAGGGUAAUAAUAAAAUUGAAAAUAAUUAAAAAAAAUAGCACAAUAAUGAGUUUUUACAAUAAAACAAAUCAAAUAAAAAUUGAAAAUUUAGAAAAGUGUAUCUAAAAAAAGGGGCAUUUUUAAAAAUAAAAUGAAUAUAACUAAAAAGGAGGUUUUAUGAGGGGAUUAGAGGGGUGCCAAUAGUCCAACUCUUAUAUUUAAAGCUAUUUUGACUUUGUAUUUCCAAUGAUAUAUUUAUUAGGUAAUUUUUAAUUGAGUCAUUAUUUGUAGAAAAGUUUUCUGAGGCCAGAAGUUUAUAAAAUGAAUCAAUUAAAUCCCUCUAAGUAUAAAUUUAUGUCAUUCAAGUCUUUAACUUAAUUUCUUCAUUAAAAUUAUUAACAACAUCUAGGACAUUUUAGUUAAAAAACAAUUAAGCACCUUCUCAUUCUUUAUUUUUGACAAUUGACAAUAGUUUAAAGUAAAUUCAAGUAACCUAAAUUAAUGUUCUUUUAAAAAAAAAGGUUAGUUAAUGUGCAGGCAAGCAAUAUCACUUCAUGAACUGCACAUGUCUGAUUUCUUUUGAUACAAGUGGAUUUCUUUUAUAUAUAUUCAUUAUGUUAUCAAAUGAAUUAAUAAAUUGAUGAUCCUAGUGAUGUGUAGGCAACCAAUAGGACAUCACUAGUUAUACAUAUUUGAUUUGAUCGUGAAAUCCUAUAGAUUAAUUGUUUUUAAUAAAAAGAAAUUGAAGUCUUUUUUUUUUUCAUUUUUGGAAGGCAUGGAAUUAGCCCACAAUCUCAAUAAGUAGAUGUUAAUGAACAAGCAGUUGGCAAUAAUUCUGAACAUGCGAAUUAGACUUCAAUCAAUGUCGCUCAACCUGUGGGACAACAUACACAAAUUUUAUGGGUUGUACCUCAACCUCAAAAUGAAGAACCUAUGUUUUCGACAAGGAGUAGAAUAGUACAAUAUUUGCCUUGGGCUGGCAUUUAAUUCUCCAUCAUAGAAUCUAGAAGACAAUUAUCUAUUUCUUGUACUUGAAUUUCAGUUUACCUUAAUGUUGUCAAGGUGUUUGUUAGUUUCAAUUUAAUUGACUUUCAUACUUUUAGUUUCAUUUUUAGACCGAAUGUUAUUGUGGCUUUUCUAAUAUUAUAUUCAAUACAUGUUAUUUAGUUUAACAAUCAUCAUAUAUCUUAUAGACGUGAUGGAAUUAUAUGGAUAGGAAAUUACAUUUUCAUGUGUAAUUCCAAGAGUUAUGAUGGUUAUGUUUUUUAAUGGUGCUCUCUAUAUUUGAAUUAGUUUAAAAAAACUGACUAAAGAUUUUGUUUAAAUUGUUGCAGAGUUUUGUUCCCGGUUGCUCAAAUGGGUAAAACAGGCUGUUAGACUCGAAAAAAAAAAAAUUAAUGCCUAAAGGUAAAAUUGUACUUAAAGUCAUUAAUAUGAUAUAUAUGGGAAUAUAGUUAUCUUUUUAUGUUUAAAUUAACGUUUUCACUAACUUUUAUGACAAAAGAAUUAGCUGAAAAAUCUGAAAGAUAUAAAUUUAUAUUUAAAAAGGUUUAAUUGAUUCAUUUUAUGAACUUUUGGUCUUUGAAUUUUUUUUCUAUAAAUAAUAAGGACUCAAUUAAAGAUCACCCUAUUUAUUCUUGGCUGUUUAAAAAAACAAAAGAGAUGACUAGAGUUGAUCACUUUGACUAUAACGUGGGUCAUAUUGGUUGUUCUUAUAAUGGCAUGUCGAAUUUGGGAUGACUAUUACGUUGAGGGCUUGAGGUGGGAUUUCUUUCAGCUUAAAAAAAAAAAGUAUGCCGCCAAAAUUUUGCUUAGAAAGUUAAAUGUACCACUGUCAAAGGACAAUCUCACCUCUUACCAUUAACUUCGACCGUUAAAUCUGCUAUAUUUAACUAGUUUUGACCUAUGCAAUAAUUUUUUCUUAUAAGUUGUGUCAUGUGUGGAAGCUCUUUUCUAAAAAUAGAAAGGUAAAUUUGUUUUUUUUUUUUUCGGUAAGAGAUGGAAGUGGUUUUCUAAAAGUAAAGAGAUGAACUUGUUCUUUUCUUAAAAGUUUCGGGGCUAUAAGUCUCUUAACCUAAAGUUAUAAUUAUAAUUGCACUAAUAAUACAAUAAAUUUUUUAUAAAUAAAUAUUUAAGAAAUUAAUAACUUUGGGUGAAUAACAAACUUCUCCUCCCCCCCCCCCCCCGGAACUUGCACUAUAUUAAAUUAGUAAAUUUAUUAAAUGCAUAUGAUAAUAUAUUUUUUAAAUUCAUUAAGGCCCAAUGAAAAUAUAAAUUAAUAAUUAAUCAAAUACAAAAAUUAAUAACUACUAAAAUAUAAAAUUUAUAACAUUAAAGAAAUUUUUGUUUUUCUUACAACUUCAAUCAUCUAAAUUAAACUCUUUGCAAAUAUAUGCAUAUAGAGUUGUUUUUUUUUAAUCCUAAAUUGAAUUCAAUCUCCUUUCUUAAUUUUUCUUUUUUUUUUCUAGAGCAUACACCACAUUUAGUAUAUAUAAAACUUUUUUUUUCAUGUUUUAGAAAGUAGUUAUUUAAGAUUAUUAUUGCUUGAAAGACAUCUUUUGUAUAAACAUUUGGUAAAACAUAAUUAUCAUUUGAAUCAUGAUUGUCAUCAACAGAGUUAUCCAAUACCCUUUUAAUAAUCUGUUGAAUCAGUGAGUGAUUCCAUCACUACAUCUAUGCUAUUAUGGAUAGUAGUCAUCGGAGGAGAUGUCGUUGACAUGAGGAAGUACGAUUUGUGUUUAUUUAAAAGUAAAAAUAUUGAUAAAACUCUUCCUAAAAAUAAAAUAACACAGUUCUGUUUCUAAAUUAAUAAAUAUUCAUUUAUCAACAAAUUAAUAAAUUAUUAAAAUUUAUAAAUAAAUAACUUCUCUAAAAUAAUUUUUUUUCUUAGUCCUAGCAAGUAGCAAUGUUAUUUUAUAGAGGUUUUAUUUUAGUAAUAACAAUAAUAUAAUAAUAAUAAUUAUCAUUAUAUAUAAUAUUUACUAUUAUGAUAGUUAUCAUUAUAAUCAUGAGAAGAAUUUCAUUAUUUUAAAAGGGGCAAAUUUUAAUUUUUAAAAACUAUGAGAAGAAUUUCAUUAUUUCCAUUAGUUUCAUUCUCAUACACACACACACACACACAUAAAGAAAUCAAUUAUUCACAUUUCCCUAUCCAACAAAUAAAUACUGUAAAUUAUUAUUUUUUUAAAAGAAAAAUAUCAAAACGGUGUGGGUCCCAGCAUAAUCCUUCUAACCUACCGGCUCCCUGUCGGAAAAAAAAAAAGAGAAAAUGUUUUUAUUAAGAAAAAAACAAAACAGAACGUAGAAGUAGGAGCAAGCAGGCCGCGUGGCAAACCCCUGUGGGUACCACCAUACGACUUCUAAGUUCUCACCUCCCUGCUUUUCCUCCCGGGCUUGUCCUUCCCUGGGGCGGUGACAUGCGUACCCACAAAAAAAAAAUUAUCUUUCUGUAUUUUUGUAUUAUUCUUUUUCUCCGCUCAUUUUGAAUUACACUGGCAAGUAUAAAAACGACACGCGUCCCACCUAAAGUCGUGAAUGUGAAAGAAGAUUUUGUAGGACUGCCGCACUAUUUGAGCAUGCCGUAUUGAAUAACGAAGCAGUCAGUGAAGACGUAGCUGAGCGGACUUGAGAACUAAGCUUGUGACGUGGAAGACAUAUUGCAUGAGUUUGCAGCUGAGGCUUUGCGGAGGAAGUUGGUUUUUGAACCAGCCGAUCUCGUUCAACCUCGUGCAAGUAAGUUGUGGAAGCUCGUUCCUACCUGCUGCACUAAAUAAUGUGAGGUUUGUCGUUGUCAAACAGAAUCAAGUUAUAUUAUUAUUGUGAUCCUUAUGAGCUUGGAAAAUGGGCAAGCCUUUCUGCAGUUUGACCGUUAUUUAUAUGUCAGAGAAAGAGUUUUGGGUUUGAUUUUGAUUUUGAUUUGUAUUUUUUGUCAGUUUAUUGAAAUUUUUUUGUUGUAUAAAAAUUUUAAUUGUCCAAUGAAAACCUAUCCAUUUUUGUCAAAUUCAGAUACAAAUACAGUUUUAAUUGUCCAAUGAAAAUGUGUCAUCAUCAGUGCAACCAGUUAAACAAUCCUUGCGUUGACAUUUUGACCGGAGGGGACAUGUUUUCUGAUCCUCUUUCUGAGUUAGUGACCAGAAAUAUUGUACCUGAAGGGGCUACUUGCUUGAUUUCUUGGACCAACCUGUUGUCGAACAUCAUGGUGGGUCGAAGCUGAUAAAAAAUCUUCUUCUACACAGGAUGGAAUAUUUCCAGCUAGCAGUGCCCUGCAGUACGUAAACUGUCUAGAGUGGCAUGGUAUAGUACUGCUCUUCUUGUGUUGUUUUCAACUUUAAUGUCAUACCAGGUUCAUCGUGUUUAUGGAGUAAAUUCUAGAAGUUCAACAAAUUUUGCUUUGCAAAAUGUAUAACUUAUUAAUCAGAGUCCUGUUAUGAUGAUUUGACGCUGACUGAACAUAUUCUGUUGGUAAUUUAUUUGCACUUUUCUUGGUUGAAUUAUUUGCUGGCUCCACGCGGUUACUAGGCCAGUAUUUUUAUGAUUUAUCGAUGGAAAGGUCUUCACAUAUUAAAUUCAACCUCAUAAGUGUAAGACUGACUGAUUCUGUGCAAAUUUUCAGGAAAAGAAACUAGACUUUAUGGAAGCAAUGAAGCUGAAAAGGAUAGACCUUUAUUGUCAAUUGGAACUGAUCCUGCCUCUAUAAAUCCAAAUGGAUUGCUUGAUGAAUCUUAAAUAGGAAGACCAUGUAGAGUAGCAAGCAAUCUUGCUUUACUUGGCCAAGUUUUCCUACAAAUAUUGUCAGUGCAAUUGGCGUUGAGAAUAGUGAUGAUAGUGUUUUAGACUUCUGGAAUAUUACUAGAAUCAGAGAGGGUUGUUCUGGUGCCAGGUGCGAUGUUUGUGCAGAAACUAAGGUGCCUGCUCGUGCCUCCUUUACUGUGUCUUCAGUUGGAGCUUCACAAUCCCCUUUGUUGUAUUCUCAAUGCAGAAGAAAGGUUUGCAGAGUUUGUUGUGCAGGAAGAGGAUCUCUACUGUUUUCAAAUUAUAAAUCAAGGGGUGUAAAAUGGCUUCUCAAGUCAGGGUGGACCAAGCCAUGGCAGCCAAGUUGAUGUAUUUACCAGUCGUUCACUAUCACUGGAUGGCAUAAUCUGUAGACAAUGCUGCCAUGAGAUUGUGCUUGAUGCAUGUUGGGCUAUGUUAGGUUCUUGACUAGCUUGGGAAGAAGUGCCGUUGCAGAAAAUGCAGCUUAUAAUGCUUGGAACGAGGUUGUUGGAUCUUUCUUAAAGGAUAAUCUUUCUGAAAGGAUUCAGUCUUAUGAUAAUGAGCAAGCUGUCAAAGUCCUUCACCAAUUAUAUGGAGAGUCAUUUUGUAUCAGUGAAAUCCAAUAAAUGAAGGAAUCACUUGCUGAAUUUCCAUUUGCUAGCUUUUUGCACUCGGUAUGUUCUUGGUUUGUACUCGGUUCUCAUCAAAUUAUGUUUUCCCUUUGCCUCUUUAGGUUAAAUUUAUUUUCCUGGUUAGAAUCUGUAGAAAUAUAUUUUAGCAUUUAAGCUUUAUGAUAUAUGCCCAGAACAUUCCUCUCACUUAUCCAUGGAAAUCCCUGUCUGGUUUAAUUUUCAAUUGAGAUAUUUUUGUGGACCCUGAGUGGGUUCCAUAUGCUAAUCAUCUUUAAGGUAAGGCGAUGGAGAAUGCCUUGAGAAGCUAAAAACCUAUUACAAGGAAAAGCUCUUGCAUUGUUUUGUGCAAUCUGUGUGCUACCGAGUCACGUCUCUAAUAAUUUCAAAGUUUGCUUGAUUGGAAUUUUUUAUCUUGGUAUGAUUGUUUAUUUUAGAUUCCUUGGUGCCACUGUAGGU